Molecule: long non-coding RNA, 116598 nt
Filed under: Coffea arabica (coffee)
Lineage: Eukaryota; Viridiplantae; Streptophyta; Magnoliopsida; Gentianales; Rubiaceae
Description: long non-coding RNA (CARA_LNC002087)
Rfam family: MIR167 microRNA precursor family (bases 47717-47810)
Source: RNAcentral
AACUUCUUCAUUUUGUCUCAAGCAUUAGUUUACCUUUGUUGCAUUCGUCUGCCAUCUACUUGGGUGCAUGAAACGUGGAACUUGGAUGUUUUGCAGUGGUUUUAAUUUCGUUUUGCAAAUUGGCUGUGCUUAACUUGAUUGAUGUGGAAGCACUCGAACUGGAAAUAUGUUGGAUUGGAUUUCAUUGUAAUUUGAUAGAAAAAUUCUACCUUUUAUUUCUGCUUAUCUUACGUUCGAUAAAAUGCCUUAACUACAUGAAAAAGUGUUGCUGGCUGACUAUUAUAGAGGCUUGGAGAUCACUCCGUGUGAUAUGUAUGUGUUACAAGCAGCGCACCGACUAUUAUGGCUAGUUCUGGCCGAAGUCGAGAGUCAGCCGGAGAAGAGGAAGAAUCAGAAACACAGCCGCAGCAUCCUGUUUAGUUGAAGAAGAUGACAUUUUAAAAUUGCAGUUUUAGUCCUCUAGCUUAUCCUUGUUUUCUGUUUUGACCUCUCCCCUUGUUUUUGUAGCCUAUUGAUUUGACCCUAGUUGUUUGCUCGAAAAGUUUUCAAUUAUGUCACUAGGUUUGUUAACUCAAUUAUUUAGUUUAGGUAGGUUUUCGAUUGGUCAAAUUAAGUCAGAACUGGCUUUAAUUCGUUUGCUUACCCUUUUAGAACUCGUGUGAACCCCAUGUGGUACAUAGGCUUAGUGCAAUUUUGUUAUUUCUUUAGUUUAUUUGCUUUCUACUAUAUUGUUGUAGCAUGUGAUUAGGUAUGUGCUAUUCAAUAAGUUUUCUGACAGAAAAGAAACUUCAAAGUAGAUGUUUUACUUUUACUUGUUGCUAUAUGUGCUAUGCACAUUUAAGUCUUAAGUCAGUUUUGUUAAUUAUAUGCUUAUCUUAAAUCGACUCAAAUCUUGGCCUUAAAUUCCUAAGAAUGCAUAGUAAUCUAGGAACCAGUUUUUAAUCCAGUGAAGGAAGGUGUUCAGGGCUAACUAGAAUGGUCUGUUUUCCCUAUUUUAUGUUAUUCAAUUCGAAAAUCAGCAACUACUUACUGUUUUCCUUCGUCAAAUUGGAAAAAGGUUUACAACACACCUACAGUUUUUCCAAUGGCGAGGGACUACAAACAAGAAGAAAAUGGUGUGGUAGCAUUGCGAAAAGAAAGACAAGAAGACGACAUAGACUUGGACCAAGACGAAGAAGAAGAUGAAGAAGACCAGCAGAACUGGGAAGACUGGAAUGAAGAAGAUGGUGAUGACGAAAAUGUUUAUGACACAGAGAUGCUGUGUUUGUUCUGCGACUCUUUGUACACUUGUUCCAAUUUGCUCUUUCAACACUGUGCUUCAGCUCACCAUUUUGAUUUCAACGCCGUAAAGAAAAUCCUCAGUUUGGAUUUCUACGGAUGUUUUAAGCUCAUUAAUUACAUCAGGUUCCAGGUACUCUUCUUGUGGCAACUUUUACAUGUUUGAUCAUUUUUUGUAGUCGUGAGGAGACAAAAGGGUUUUUAUAGUUUAAUGUGUGGGCUACUGGAUGGAUGUUGGUCAGUUUAUUAUUCUGUUCAUAGUGCUAUUUAUUUGCGGUAGUGGUUAUAGGAAAAUUUGUGGGAAAUUUUGUGGGGUGACUACGUGAUUGGUAGGUCUGCUUUAGUGGAAUUAUUGCUAGUUAUCCUUCUUGUCUUUGUUGUUGCUUCAAAACAUGAGGAAAGCAUGACAUAUGUAGACUUUAUACCAGAUUUUCUUUUGUUUCUAUCUCAGAACUUGAGUUAACAAUGAGCCAUUGACACAACUAAUUACUAUGGAAUACAAAAAGUAGUUUUUUUUUUUUUUUUAAAUCAGGUUUUCAACUCUCUCUCUUUCUCUCUCCCUGGACUUUUGCCAACCGGGAGCCAAAUUGUUACUUUGUUUGGACAGUACAUUAUUGUCUUCAUUCUGCUAUUCAGUUUGAUUUAACAAACAUUUAAGGGUCAUGAGUUUCCUUAAGGGUAAUGUUGCAUUCAUUAUGUUAUAGAGAUCCCUGCUGAUUUUCAUAAUUACUCCACUAGAAGUUGACAACUUGACUAAACAUGCCUUCUUAUUUUAGGUGUCUGAAAAGACAUGUUGGGGCUGUAGAAUCACCUGUGAAUCGAAGCAAGAGCUGCAACACCAUUUACACGAAGUGGCCAGCUUUGAAAAUAAUAAGCUUCCUUGGGAUGAUGAUAAAUAUCUAACCCCUUUUAUGGAAGAGGAUCCACUAUUGUACAGCUUUGGUGAUGAUGAGGAAGGUGAAGAUGAUGGUUACAUGCCUGAAAAAAUACUACGAGAUGUGGGUAGUUCUGAGAAAGUUUCCAAUGAUGAUAAUUGUGCAAUAGAACAAUUUUCAUCAAAAAUAAAAUCUCCUUUAGAAAAUGGAGAAUGGUCUUCUUCGCCCGAAAGUGAUAUAAAGACUGCAAAUCUUUUGGAGAAGUCUACAUGUAAUGGUUUUGUUGGUGUGGGAGAAGGUGCUUCGUCUCAUCAAAAGGUGAAGGAUAAACAGUUGAUUAUUUCUUCAGCAGAGGUUGCCGCAAAUGAAAUCAAGGAUAUAAAUAAAAAUUAUUUUGGUUCAUAUAGUUCAUUUGGCAUCCACAGAGAAAUGAUCAGUGAUAAGGUAUUAGACAUGAAUUAGCUACAACCUUGAAUAUGAUCUGAGAAAAGAAGAAGAUUUCACUGUUUAUUUGGUUGAUAUUUUCAUAGACUUGCCUAUUUAAUUAAUGCAGGUAAGAACUGAUGCAUACAGGCGAGCAAUCCUGGAAAAUCCUUCUCUACUGAAAGGUGCUGUUGUAAUGGAUGUUGGUUGUGGAACAGGCAUACUAAGGUAAAUAGGAACUUUUUAUUCUAGGCAUUUUUCAAAUAUCUAAAUUUCAUAUUGUUGGUUAUUUUUGGCUUACUGCUGCCUUCUGUCUUUAUUGGAUUAAAAUGUUCAGCCGAUAACAAACUGUAGUGCUCAUGGUAAGCUCAUUUUGAACUAAUUAUCAUGCAACUAUUAUUGCUUGCUUUUAUUUCCAAUUUCAAGGUAAAAGGGAUGGAACUGCAAAGGCUAUGGUGUUUCUGUGUUAUCUUUUGGUCUGCUGUUCUAUGAUACAUCGGCAGUUUCUUGUGUAUUGAGGACUUUAGAGCUUCAGAAAAUUACGCCGUGAUGAGCUAAUCUUUUAACUGAAAUGCCAUUUGUUUUUGAAGAGUUUGGUGGUUGAGUGGAGGAGUUUGGAUGGUUCUUGGUUGCUAAUUAUGCUUUUGGAUAAGGCAGAUUUUAUCAUAUAGGAAGAUUGCAGAACUUAAGAAGAAGAUGAUGAUAAGAAAAUGGGCCUCACAGCUAAGUGAUGCAGAGAGAGUCACACUCGAUUAACUUUUACAUUUCAUCUCGCUUUUAACUCUGUGUUACAACUGAUAUGUGUAAAUUACUAAUAGACUAAGAGUUCUUGAUUACUAAGUAAAUCUCGUAGUGAAACCCACCUGGAAGGAAAGAAAUUUUCCCUGGAACACUAUUUGAGGUUCAAAAGCUUCUAAAAGAGAAGUUCACUACUUGGGAUAUGAUUCUUCCAGUCAAAAUUUUGAGUAAAAGAAACAGGAUUUAUAUUAGCUGUUAUUUUAUGUCAAGGGGGCAAGACUGGAUACCGAUCACCUCUUGUUACAUUCGAAAAUGACUCAAGAAUGUUGGGGACUGGCUUUAGGCAUGUUUGAUUGCCAACACCAUGAUUUGAUAUCAAACAAAGCCUAUGUUCAGUAGAAAUGCUGAGAGAAAUGGUGGAGAAUGAAAAGUCGGAUGGGAGGGUUUGGUACGUUCGUAUUCACUCACAUUUUCAUCUGAAAUAUGGGAGUACUGUUUUCUUACCCUAAAGAAAUAAAAUGUUAGUAAUUACAGUGUUAUUUCUCUUGCUAGAAGAAGCAACUAAUUGAUACUCUUGAUUAUGUAUCUUUAAGUCUCUUUGCAGCCCAAGCAGGAGCAUCAAGGGUAAUUGCAGUUGAAGCUAGCAAAAAAAUGGCUUCUGUGGCAGCUCAGGUUAAGAUUUCUUUUUGCUUUUUUUUUUUUUUGAAAAUUUGAAGUUUUUCAUUGUCAUUUUUGUCUCAGAUUGAAUUUGCACUUUUUGCUUCUCUUUAUCAGUUUCUUGUUCUUUAUAGCUAUUGAAUUUGAAUAUGGGCGCAGGUUGCUAAGGAUAAUGGUCUUCUGUCAAGUGAAAGCUCCGGUGAAGCUAAACAUCACUGCACUGGGAAAAUAGAGGUGGUUCAGGCUAUGGUUGAAGAGCUAGAAAAUGCCAAACAUAUUAAACCUCAGAGUGUGGAUGUAUUACUGAGUGAAUGGAUGGGUUAUUGCCUGCUCUAUGAGUCAAUGCUCAGCUCUGUGCUGUAUGCACGGGAUAAAUGGUUGAAGCCUGGUGGGGCCAUUCUCCCGGAUACAGCUACCAUUGUGAGUCUUUCAAACUUCUGUUCUUUGUUUUUCUCCUUUGUAGAACUUGUGCAAUAACUAUUUGUAUAUGGUCAAUUCUAGUUUGUUGCUGGAUUUGGAAGGGGGGGAACCAGUCUUCCAUUUUGGGAAAAUGUGUAUGGUUUCAAUAUGUCUUGUAUUGGCAAGGAAGUUGUUGAAGAUGCUGCUCAGCUUCCUCUUGUUGACACAAUUGAUGGCUGUGACAUUGUAACCGAGACACAAGUUCUUCAGGUUUGUGUUUGAAAUUUAAGUUAGAUCACACUAUAUGGAUAUGUCUGAUGAUGAGGGAUUUUAUCUGUGGUCUUGUACAAUCUGUAUUCUUAACUUUGUUUUUGGUUUUGACUGCAUCAGAGCUUUGAUCUGAUGACAAUGAAGCAUCAAGAGAUGGAUUUUACGGCGAAAGUGGAACUGGCACCAAAGUUUGAUGCACUCGUCGACGCCCCGGCAGAGUUAAGCUCUAAAAUGGGAAAAUGUCAUGGACUUGUGCUGUGGUUUGAGACUGGGUUUACAAAAAGGUUCUGUAGGGAAAUGCCAACCAUUUUAUCAACGUCUCCAAACACCCCCAAAACCCACUGGUCACAGACGAUACUGACAUUUAAAGAACCUAUCACCAUGGGAAAGGGAAAGCAGGUUGGUUCUGAUGGAUCAGGCGCAGUUGGUUCUGAUGCUUGCCCUGCUGCGAGAAUACAAUCUCGUAUCAGCAUUGUUCGUGCUGCUCAACAUCGCAGUAUUGAUAUUUCCAUGGAGAUUUCUGCCAUAGGACCCGAUGGCCGGAGAAGACGUAGCUGGCCUGUUCAAAUGUUUAAAAUGGAGUAGCAUAUUGGGAUGACUGUCGUUAAUUAUCUCUGAAAGUAAGAGACGCAAAUUAAUUAGCCAUUCUGUGAUUUAAUACUCUCACAGGCUCUCUCGCAAAUCAUUCAUUCAUGGUUUGCAAAUUUGAUAGCUCGUGUCAUUAUCUCUUAAUUUGUUCCGUAAAUUUUGGGGGUCCAAGCAAAUUACCUAAUCAUCAUUACAAAUCUAUUUAAAAAUGAUAUAAUCUUGACGCGGACACUGUAAUUGACUCAAAAUUUCAAUAUUCCAUGAAUCUAAAGCUUUUUAUAUACAGUAAAAUUAUAUGGCUAGAUUAAGAUUUUAAGACCUGGAAGUUUUGGAUACACAAUAAUAUAAGCCGUUAUGGUAGCUCACCAAGUAAUUGACAUAUUCCAGUUCAUCUGGAUGCAAUAAAAAGAUUUAUAAUUACCAGUUACAUGAUCAGUUAUUUAUAAGAGAAAACCAUCCAACUCACAUUCAACUAAUGAUUUCUGGGACACACACCGUAAGAAACUCGGAUGAAUCCUGCAUGCACUCCAGAGAUUUCAAUGCGUGGAAUUAUGUGGCUGACGAAUUCUUGUUUUUGGGUGGUGUUGUUGCAAACUCCCAGCUGUAUUUAUACAUGUAAGGCAGUUGUCUUUCACCAACGACUGAAUCGACUGGCACUGCUUCAGAGAUUGAUUUCGAAUCCUCUUUAUUAAGCUUCACAACCAAAGAUCUGAUGUUGUUGUCAAGAUUCAUAAGCUUUGUUGUACCUGCACAAGAUUAUGGUGACAAUAAAAAACUCCACACACCAUCAGAGCCAGUAGUGUUGGUCAGGGGCUUGUCGACAAACUGAUUCUUAUUUAGCCAAACAAAAUUGAUUUUACUGCAUAUUGUAGUUAAAUAAGAGCUCCCUAAAUCCAAUUUUAUUCAUCAAUUUUGUCAAACCAACAUUGAAAAUAAACUUAAGAUUGAAAUGUAGUGCGUCAUAAUGCAAAAGACUUUAAUUAGCUUGUUCAAUGGGGAAAAAAAAUGCAAGAUGCCAUAUGGGAAUAACUUACCAGGAAUUGGUACAACAUCAUCUCCCUGAUGGAAGAGCCAUGCCAAAGCUAGUUGCGAGGGCGUGCAGCCAUGUUUUAUUGCUAAUUCUGCUAUGCGGGCAUAAUGAACUUUGUUCCUUUCUAAAUUCUCUCCAGCAAACAUUGGAAUUGAACCCUAUGAAUGAAUGAUUCAAAAUGAGCUUAGAAACCUAAAAUAAGCAAUAAAGGAAAUCAUUCAAUGCCAUCAUAGGUGACGAAAAUUAUCUGAUAUAGACAAUAAUGUUAUUGCAGAUAAAUGUCAUUACACGAUAAUCCUCUCAAAGUGGGCUAAAGAUUCCCUCUGUGACCAUCAAUGUAGGUUAAAGAAAAGACAGGUUCAUCCUUAGAGUCUUGCUCUUGCAUUUUCAUGAUGAGACCUGACACAGAACAUAUCAGAAAAUAAAGACAUACCAAUAUGCUUUCUGAAUUGAUACUCUCCGCUGCUGCCUUCCCUCCAAAAAACCCGUGACCAAGAGGGGAAUAUGCCACAAUUCCAAUACCAAGUUCUCUGCACAAAAAGAAACAAGACUUAGGUUUCGCCAGUCUAUAAAAUGUGCCAUCACUUCCGACUAAUUAUAAAUAAGACUAGGACUUUGAAAACGUGUAUUUUUCACUGAAAUAAAACUCGGAGCAAGUCUGCAGAUGGUAAAAAACUUGCAUGUAAUCGUUACCAACCGGCAAAGUGGAAUAACUUCUUUUUCAAUUCCACGAUACAGUAAAGAAUAUUCCAUUUGUAAGGCUGUAAUAGGAUGUACAGCAUGCGCUCUCCUUAUUGUGUCCGGACUAGCUUCAGAUAGUCCGAUGUACUUUACUUUCCCCUCCUCCACAAGCUUUUUGAGCUCCUCCAUCUACCUCGGCAAAGAAUUCAAGAUUAUCAUUCAAGUUUAGCAGUUCAAAGCCGUGAGAACAAUAAACAAAUAACUCAAGAAUGCUUACAGUCUCUUCUAUUGGCACUGAAACAUCUACACGGUGCUGAUAGUACAGAUCAAUAUAGUCCACAUCGAGCCUCUUAAGACUAGCUUCACAACAUUUGCGAACAUAUUCAGGGGUACCGGUGAUACGAAUUUGAUCAACCAACCCCAUUGCUUUUGUACUUUCAGGAAGUACAGAAAUGCCAAAUUUUGUUGCUAGUUGAACCUUUUCUCGAGGAAGCUGCUUUAAAGCCUGAAAACACAAGAAAUACAACUUGAGACAUCACUUUGAAAAGUGACUUUCAAAAGACUGAGAAUAUUCCUUGAGAACAGGAUGAAUAAGCAUUAUGACUUGCUAUUUUUUGAUUCUACAUCAACACAUCCCGGACAAAAUGUGGAUUCAGAAAUCUACCAAUUCAUAGCAGUUAAUUAUAUUUCAAUCUUUCUGAAGUUUCUGGUUGUUUGCUUCAUUACAACAAUAAAUAUUGUCACAAGAAAUUAGAGCUCAAUUUUGGAAGCCAACGACUUACCUUUCCGACCAAGAUCUCGUUAUCAUUAUUUCGUCCAUAGGCAUCUGAUGUGUCAAAGAAAGUUAUACCUCUAUCAAAUGCUUCCUUGAUUACUGAAAAUCCCUCUUCAUGGGAUAGAGGAGCAUUAUAAUAGCCAGAAAGCCCCCCACAUCCAAAUCCCAGUUUUGACACCUGUUAGAUCAAAGAAGCAACACCAGUUAUGAAAUUAGUAACUAGCUUCUGCACUCUGCGCACUGCCAUCGAUUCAACAUGAAAAUGUACCUGUCUUGAUUAAACUCUUCACACUCUGGUUUCUGUAUUGACAUGUUACCACUUUCUACACAAUACAUGUUACCACUUUCUACACUGAGCAUCCUAGAACACUUUUCCUCCUUGAUUAUCAAACGGAGGCUCUAGCAGCUUGCAAUGAAAACAUUUAGCAUAUGAUAGGGUACAAUAGGAUGUAGUAUGAUGAAGUAUUUGUUCUUAUUACUCGUAGUACCCAUUUCACUUUUCCCUAGUAACAAAGUUCUAAGAACGGAUAAUAUUCCUCACUUGAGAUUUCUCUUAGUUAACACUGUUGUUAAAUCUUGUCAAGGGAUUACUAAGGGACCAGAUACAUGUUAUCUUGGUCUCUUAAUUAAAAGUUAAAAAUAGUGCUACAAGAUUACCUUUUGGUCCUUGAAUGGAUUUACCAUUGGACUGGAAAUAGCAGGGAAAACUUGCUUCUUUGUUAUCAUGGAUAAAGAAUAAACCUCUAGCCAAGGCAUCAAAAAGACGAUAUACACCGCUUAAUUUCCUCUCUCUACUGGGCAUGCAGAAACAAAAGUUGGAAACAUUUAAAGGUAUGAAGAAUUUCACGAGCAAUCCAAGCUUCUUCUCCACGUAUGACUAUCCAAUUUCACCUUAAAUCGGGUCUAAGAACCAAAGUUUUGGUAAGCGUGCCAGAGUAUGAUGGCCGAACCAAUGAUCCAUCGAGCCCGGCAAAAGACCCAAAUGACAAGCACUUCAAAAUCCCUCGACAGGAAACAGAUGAAUGCAGAACAAACAACACUUCCAUCUAUUUAUUUACCCCAAGAAACACUGCACAAGUUCUUGAUAGUGUUAAAAUCAGAGAUGUACUGAUCACACUGAAUGUUAGCUAACCUUUGGUAUCUUCUAACAUUAGUGACUAAUGGAUAUAAAUUCUCAUUAUCAAACCAAAGUUGGCUGUGAAAAUUGAAGCAAUUCUUUACCUCUAGCCCCUGAGAACUUAGCUUCACUCUUGGAAUUUGGAUUUGAUUCUUUUCUUCCAUCUAGGAUUGCAGUUCUUUGAGGGACAAAUAGCUGAGGCAGUAGCAAGAUGUUAACCUCUGCUUGAUAGUUUGAUACUGUAAGAAAGUCAAUAAUUUCUCCAAAACUCAAGAUCUAGUAUUGGCUGAAAAACCUCCUCUAUCACCCAAAGUUCGGCAACCAGGAGAAGUAAAAUAUCAACCAUUCAAUGCAAUGACUUUCAAUGAAACGUGCAAGUGAAAAUCUGUAAUAUGUAGUGCAAAUUUAGAGCUGUUAAAUGGAACGAGCAGCUCAAUUCGAUAUGGCUCGAGCUCAAUUCGUUAAUUGUAGUAAACAAGUGGAGCUCGAGCUUGAGAUAUACUCGUUUAAUUAACAAGCCGAGUAAGCUCGACUCGUUUGUUAUCAGAGCGGUUCAAUUAGGCUCAAUAAGGAAGGGUAUAUAUGUUAUUUUACAAUUCAAAAAUAUAAAAAUUGAAAAUUAUAGACUUUUAUUGGGAUCAAUUUACACGAGCUCGAGCUGUAAGCUCGGCUCGUUUGUGAUAAACGAGUCGAGCUCGAGCCACAUGUCCCAUUUGAUGAGCCGAAUCCGAAUGCAUUUCAAAGCUCGUCUGCCUAGUCGAGAAAGCUCGAAUUGGGCUCGAGUUAAACUCAAGUCGAGCUCGACAGCUAAAUACUCGACUCGAUUCGGCUCGAUUAACAACACUAUGCAAUGAUUUUCGCAAAAAAAUCUGUAAUCUGAAAUAUGUAAUAUGUAGUGGCCACGUGUGUUUGAGUUAGGAUUGUCAAUGGUCCGGUCUGAACUCAACUCGGAAAAAAGUCCAUUUAGCCUCAACUUUGAUCGGGCAGACACCAAAAACUGGCAACGAUAAGAUGCGAACAAUUGCACAAGUAAUUUUUCUUUUUUUCUUUUUUUAAAGCAAUAAAUUUAUUUUAUUUUAUGAAUACGAAAGGGAAGUGAAAAUUAGGAGGUCAAACCGAACUUGAUCUUUAGUAUGUGACCAUAAAAAGUAAAUGACAAGAAAAUAGACGUUAGGGUGGGCUAACGAUCUAUUGAGCAUUAGGAACCCUGCCCGCCCUACCAAAAAAAAAAAAAAAACUACUCUACUGGAAAUAGAUGAAUGAAGAAUAAGGCCCUCAGCUUCUUUGCUCUAACGUGAUCGGCUGAACAUUCAUUCUCCAUUAUACUUUAAUAUAAGAGGCAGGCAUGCUAGUAACACUGGAAGCUUCAAGCAUAAGGCUCCUUUUAUUCAGAAUCUUGAGAAAACAAAAAAAAAAAACCAGAAAGAAUCCAGCAAAGAAAACUAUCAUAAAUUGCUGCAUACACUAAGAAGAUGUAUCUUAAAAGAUAGAACGGUUUUUCUGAUAAUCCUAAUAACCACUUGUAUGUAAAACACCAACUUGUAGGUUCUGAAACAAAUUAAGCCACAAAAUAUCAGCACUCCUCUGUAGAUUUAAACGGUCCCUAGGUCGACUUGUUUUUUCUUGGGGAGGUGUGAUAGCUGUUUUAAUUCCAGGUGUAUUUGGAGAUGAUCUCCGGCUCCUUUGCACCAGCCACUUCAUCCAUUGGCACUGCUGCAGAAAUCUCCUUUAAAUCCUCUUGUGUUAAGCUUCACGGCUAAUGUAUUCUCAAGGUUGCUAAUCCGAGUUGUCCCUAAAGAAGAAGAAGGUAAACAAUAAUAUAAGAUCAGAAUGUCUCAUAAUAGCCAGCUAACUUCAAGAAACCUUUGCCUUCAUACGUUUAUAUUGAAAAUUGUUUUACUCGAACAAAAGCUGAACAAUUUUAACUGAUUUAGCUUAGUCAAUGUCGGACAACGAUAGGUGACAUUGUAGUAAGAAGAAAAGUUACCAAGAUUUGGUCAAUAUCAGCUCCCUGAUGGAGCAGCCAGGCCAAAACUAGUUGAGGAGUUGUGCAGCCAUGCUUUGAGGCCAACUCAGCUGUACAGCAAUGCAUGCAUUUUCAAGAUAUUCAAACCUUUCUUUUUGUACUUCGCUCCUUGAAUCACAGCUCUUUCUUGUCCAGAAAAGAAAAGAAAAGAAAAGAAAAGAUUGUGUAGAAAAGUAUAAUUCUUCAAUUAAAACAUCAUGUGAGGAAGAAAAACAAAUACUAAAAAUAUUAGUGGUACAAAGUGUAAUUAGUCAUUUUUCUUGCCUGCCUUCAUUUAUAGCUCAAAGCCACAUAACUACAUCCAAUUACUAGACGCCAUGUCAUGAAAAGAAGCCAAGCAGGAUACGACAGCGUUUUCAAGACAUCUCAUCCUCACGCUCUCUAGGAGUAGUAUGUUUUAACUCACUAUUCCCUCCUCAAGAGAUGAGAUCAUGAGAGUUGGAGGAUUUUAAAAAAAAAAAAAAAAACAAAAAAAAAAACAAAACCCAAAAAAAAAAAAAAAACAGGAAAAUCACUUUUCUUCGUCGAAGAAUCGGAAAGCAGAGGGAGAAAAGAGAUCGAUUCAUCGAAGAUGGAAAGGAGGAGAGAUGGAAUCCAGUGCACGAAGGUGUAUGGGCUUUUGGUGCUCCUGCUGUUCAGCUUCCUCGGAAAUCUCUCUGUCUCGGCGCUGUCCGUGACAGUAAACGACGUCGAAUGCGUCUACGAAUACGUCCUCUACGAAGGCGACACCGUUUCGGGCAACUUUGUAGUCGUCGAUCAUGACAUCUUCUGGAGCUCCGAUCACCCCGGCAUCGACUUAACUGUAAACCCUCUUCUUCUCUUUUUCAUUUUUCUAAUAUUGUUGUUAUUUGACGUGGGAUUGUGUUUAAUUCAUUUUUACAUUAGGAAAAAAAACUGGAUUUUUAUGCAAUUUUGGUACCUUUUUUUAUUUUAAAUAUCAGUUGAAACCUUUCAUGCUGAUAUUUAAAUGGUUUUCUUUUUCUUUUCUUUUUUUCCCAUACAUUUUUAUUGGCUUGCUAUUUAGUACUACUUGUUUCUAGUUGAAUGAAGGGUACAGUAUUGUCUUGCAAAAAGAUUGAAUUUUUUGGCUGCCCCCUUAAGAUAUUUAAUUUCAAAAUUAAGGGAGAAGAAAAACAAAAACAACGAAAAAGAUUAAUUUUUUUUUGGGUAAGUAUGAACUAUGCUGGAAUUUACACCUGGUGAAAGAAAUUUGUCAGUAUGGUUAAGUUAAAUGAUUACUUUAAGUUUAGAUUGGACAAAAGGGGAGUCUUGAUUUAACAUUUUAGCCUGAGUCUAUACUUUAAUGGUUUUUGGAGCUACCGUGUGUUUAUCAUUGUUGUAGUUUAAUGAAAAAAAAAGAAGUAAAGCUUGAUGUUGAUGAUACGUGACUAUGAGCAGAACUAUAGUUUGAUUUAUGAGGACCCUGACUUUCUUAUUGAGUGCUGCUGACUGUUCUUCUACAAAUUCGAAAGAUGCAAAUAGAUUUAGUUGUUAUGCAACUCGUAGAUGAAAUAGAGGGUAAAGGAAAAGUUACUUGUACUGUUUGCAAUUGGUGUGAUGAAAUUUAUGAUGAAAAUUGCAUGUAAAUGCUCGUAAAAGACCAAGGUAGAUUGAGAUGUUUAGUCUUUAUCAUUUUGUCAUUCCUGAGAUAAGGAAAGUGGCUCCAUUUUCUUUCUUGGUCUCCUGAUUUCAUCACGUAUUCACUGCCUAUCUUUUCUUGUUUCCUCCUUUAAAAUGACAUUUCUUAUAUCUUUCUGUUUGAGGAACUAAAGUAGCAGUCAGACAACAUUGUGUUGUGUACUUUCUUUUAUGUUUGACAAACGUUUAGUUCCCCUUUUGGUUCCCAAGGAUGUCUUGUGACACCUUUUCAAUUCCAGAAAACCUUUCUGGUAUCACUCUUGCUUCAUGUGGUACCAUCUUUGAUCAGCAACAGUGUGUCUUUCCCCUAUAUCUGUUGGCAUUUAUGACAUCUGAAAUCAAACCAUUCCAAUUUUUUGUUAUCAGCAAUGGUGCUUAAUGUCAAUUCAUUCAUUGUCUAUUCUCAACAUACUGGAACCUAUCCGUAAUAUUGAAACAUGGACUAGAAAACGUUUAUAUGUUGCAGCACUAUCCUAAUAGUUGAAAUAGCAUUUGUCAUAAAAAAGGAUCCCUUCAGAAAACCUAAGCUUUUGAGGUUUGAAAUUUUUCAAUUGGUUGGAGAAUGUAAAAUUUGGAACCAUGUCUGGUUUUGGAAUGAAAUGUAAAUGUGUCCACAUGAACUGGGAAUGUUUGCACUACUUGUCUGGGACAAGGUCAUAACAGAUGCACAAAUACCUACUUGUUAAUUAAGAAAUGGAGAAUGGGGAAACAACUAAGUAUUAAAUCCUCUAGUCUCUUUCCAAUUGCAGGUGACAGCUCCUGGGGGUAAUCAAGUGCACAGUGUAAGGGGAACUUCUGGGGAUAAGUUUGAUUUCAAGGCCCCAAGAAGCGGGAUGUACAAGUUUUGUUUUCAUAAUCCUUACUCAACACCAGAAACAGUCUCUUUCUACAUACAUGUUGGCCACAUUCCAACGGAACAUGACCUGGCCAAAGAUGGUUUGUCUGCUUCUUUUACAAUUUAUCUUUGGAUUUUAACGUAAUCAAGUUUUAUUGAUUCCAUUUUGAACUUUUGGUGUUAAGGUGUUGAUUCCUUGUAGGUAUUUUAGGCGGCAUUUGGUAGUGUCAGCAAGCAUACAUUGAACAUUCUCACGGAGGUUAUUGUCAAUUUCUAAACAUUGGUUUUUCUUUCAUAUCCUGCAGAGCAUUUGGAUCCUAUAAAUGUUAAAAUUGCUGAACUGAGGGAGGCAUUGGAAUCGGUUACAGCAGAGCAGAAGUACUUGAAAGCACGUGAUGCUCGACAUCGCCAUAGUAAGCUCCUUCUCUCUAUAUCCUGAAUUGAAGUCUUUUCCCCAUAGUUUGUCCCUGUGCUUUGGCCUCUGCCAGAGUUUCUGCGUCACUUUGAUGUGUCAAACAACUGAAAUAGAAUUUAACAGAACUAGGUGGUUUUAAGGAGCGUGGAAUUUUUAGUUUUUCAUCGGUUGCUUUGUGGUGGACGUGAUUUUUUUAUUGGUUGUAACUUAUAUGUUGGGUACCAUUUUUUUUUUGCUGCAGCCAAUGAGAGCACACGCAAGCGUGUUAUAUUUUACACCGCCACAGAAUACUUAUUGCUGGCUCUUGCAAGUUCCCUUCAAGUCCUAUACAUAAGACGUUUGUUUAGCAAGUCAGUUGCUUACAAUCGUGUCUGAUGAAUUCCAGGAGGAUUCCAAGCUAGGUCAAUUUGUUUGUUGUUUUGUUUUUCUUUUUUCUCAAAGGAACUGUAGCAAUGUAAGUUGGAAAGAGGUAGCGGACACAUUUUUCUUAAGUGUACCAAACAACUGACUGGAGAAUACUUGUUGUCCAUCCAACAUCUGAGCAAAUGCUGAUGGAUAGUGGAUUUACUUUACCCGAAAUGAUUUCCGUGAUUUGCAAUACAAUAUUAGUCGCAUAAGUUUAAUUAAAAUGUCGCAGGAAUCAGCUCAUCCAAGUGACAUUACUGUCUACCCCUGCUAGUAUUCAUGUUGGCUUUGGUCCACGGAGUUUUUUUUUUUUUUGGUAUUUGCUACUCAUUGUCAUUGACCCCAUGAAUGAUUUUACCCGAGAGAUCUUAUCCUUCUUAGCUACCAUGAAGUUUAGGUUGGAACUUGGCGUAACUCCCUCGAGCCUGGUUCAUAUAUUCUAUUCUGAAAUACUACUAAGCAGCUGAAGGUCUAUUUGCCUCAUUCAGACUUUUGGAUAAUGCAGUGUGUAAGUUGUUGGAUCGACAAAUCUGGUUGUCAUGUUUCUGGAUGAAGGUCGGAUGAAUGACUCAAGAGUUGCACUAGUUUAAAUCAGACCCCCAAUCUGUAGCCGAUGACCCAGAGAAUCUUGUGUCUCUCUUUGUGGCCUCCAGUCCAAAAAUAAAAGAGACUGGCAUUUCGUAGUUGGGCCAUGGACCUCUCUUGUAAGAGUAUGGGAUUUUUGUUUUUUAAGUAUAAGUGGAAGGUUUUGAAUACAGAAUUUUUUCGCUUACACUGCCUUCUCCGUAUUGUUCAAUCAAUCUCUCUUGUCCUAAGAAUAUGAGAUUUGGAUAAUAGAGGCUUUUUUCGUAUCACUUAACUCAUUUCUUUAAUAGAGGCUCUACUAGUUUUUUUUUAUUUUUAAUUUUUUGAUAGAAUCCCACUAAAAUUUUUUUCCCUUUAAGUUUUUAGGCUUAACAUGCCGCGUUGGCAUGUGUGAGUGUCAACCAUUAUAGAGGGACAAGGGGCAGGAACGUGUGAGUGCAACCCUUCCUGACGGUUUUGGUGAUUUUCAAUCGUGCGUAACUUUGGUUGCACAUUAUAUAAUUUUGUUUGCACAAUGUGUAACUUUAGUACAAAAUUUUGUGGAUCCCAUAUACGUUGUGAAAAUCGAUAUACAACUAGUGAUCUAAAUCGCAUAUUUUUUUUUGAUCAAAAUCUGAUCGUGAAUAGUUCAAGAGUGGUCGUUCAUUCUGAUGAUCGCUCCUGUCCCUUAUCUAUUAUAGAGGGCAAGAGUUGCAGAGAAUCUUGGAGGCGUGAUGAGAGAUUGAUUUUUGAAACAAGAAAUUGACACGUUAGUGUCCAAAUUCCAUUGACUAAUCAAUAUCUAAUAAUCAAUCUUCUUAGUAGUAGUUUUGGUAAUAUUAUUUUAUCGGCCACUUACAGGAAGAGCAACUUACGGGAUCUAAUGUUAAGACCGUGCUUUUGUCGUUAUUGGCCGCGAAUUUGCGGAUAAGAUUUUUAUCGUCGACUGAUCUACUACUAAAAACGUAAAGGCAACCGAAAUUACAUAGAUGCCCUGUAGUUGCUUCAUAGCCUUUGGUUGCCACCGACUUUUUCCGAGCUAUUGACUGGGAUUCAUUCAACAAUUUACAAAUGUUGCAUGUGGAUUGGAUAUAUAUAUAUAGACACAUGCAUACACGCACGCUUUUGAAGUUGCAAAUUUUGAUAGUCUUAAGGCAUGUGAUGCUUCAUUUUAAGGCCAACUUUAGUUGUAUAAUGUUGACAAGUAGCAGUAGUUGUGAUAAAUAUUAAAAGUCUGGUUAGCUCAAAAGUAUACAUAUACAAGUUCCAUAAUUACAACUUUGUAUAUAUUUUCAAGAUUUUAUGUUAAAAAAGAAAUGUAAAUUACAAUAAUUAAAACUCCAUUAAAAAAAAUUGAAAUGCACACAUAAAUCAUUUAUGUUAAAAAUUUUGAAUCUAAUAUCAUAUAGUUAUCUGCUGGUUUUGAAAGGAAUAAUAAUUUUGGACUAAUUGCAUUUACACCGUUGGAUGCAACAAAAAUGCUAACAUGAAAACUCUUGCACUCUUUUCACCCGGAGAAAAUAGAUUUUUUGAAAACGCAAAUCUUCACAAUAAAAAAGUUUAUAGAAAUUGCUAGACUACCAAUUCUGGGCAAAAGAUAUAUUGCAUAAUAUCCAAUAGGAUUUACGAAGGGUAAAUUCGUCAAUUAAUCCACCUCGCUGAAAGUAUAAUUAACCACCUUGAUCGCCCUUGAUGCCUGUGCCCCGUUAUUCUUUUCUCUAAAAAUCUUUCCAACCUCCCAAAGGCGUCCGUUUAUCAGAAAAAAGAAAGACAAUAACAAGAAGAAGAAGAAGAUGUUGGCAGUGUUUGAAAAAUCAGUAGCGAAGAGCCCAGAUGCUUUGCAGACACCAAAUUCUGAGUCAGUUUCUGCACUAAAAGAUGGGUUCUUGGCGCAGCAUUUUUCAUCUUUACAACCUGGCUCUGUUACAAUUAAUCUUGGUUCUUCUGGAUUCAUGGCCUACUCCAGCGACAAGCAAAACCCUUUGCUCCCCAGGUGCAUUACUCUUUUCUUCUUUCUGGGUUUUUCUUAAAAAAUUUUGUUUUUUUCUUGAUCUGAUACUUUUGGUGAUUUUCUGGAUCUUAAUCGCACAGUGUCUUUGUCAUGUUUGGUUUUAUUGGUAAUACUAUUAUUCGUUGUUUAGUAGAGUAAGUUUAAGAUGAUCCAGGGACAUAGAUCUCUUUUCGGGUUUUCUUCCUUAAUUUUCCUUUUCAAUUUUUUGUUGUUUUUUUCCCCCAUAAUGUUAUAGAAUAUUCUAUGAUUUUCGUUUCCAUUAGAAGAAGCUGAUAGUCUUCUUGUUUUUCUUUCAAUUAGGGGUUGAUAGACAGCUGUAGUAUUUUUUCGGUCUCUUUGCUGGUCAUUGGUCAAUCCCUUUGACUCUGUAGUCUUCUUCUGAUUCAGUUUUCCCCUCUUGUACUUCAAGAUUUUCAGGUUUCUUUACUAAUAAGUAUGCUAAUCUAAUUGUUAAUCUAUCAUUUUAAUGAUGAUCAGCUUUUGAGAUAAUAUCUGGAAGUAAUCUUAGUUGUUAUAUUUGUGAUGUUUGAGGUCAACUUUGUAAUGUAAAUUAGUGUUCUCAUUAGCCCUGUCAUGAUCAGGCGAUGAAUGAUAAAAGGAGAUCUAACUUAAGUCUACCAACCUACAUUCCUUCUGUUCUUUUGCGUAUGAUGAAGUUUAGACUCCAGAAUGUGUAUGACUUAAGGUCAAGAGUGAAUUAGUUCCCUACCUUUAAAUGCAAUCCAUGGCCAAUUUUUCGAAUCAAAUCACAGCAAUUAAUGGUUUUCUUUGGGGCAGAAGUAGUUUUUAGUUUCUCUUUCAUUCCUGUAUUUGCUUAUGCUAAAGUUGCAUGGUUGGAUACUCAAAUCUUUGGAGGUAAAUAUUUUGGUUGGUGCAAUUGGACUGAUCAUUCUUAUUCUACCAUUCUGGCAGAUUGUUUGCAGUUGUUGAUGACAUUUUCUGCCUGUUCCAAGGCCAUAUUGAGAAUGUUGCGCAUCUUAAGCAGCAAUAUGGGUUAAAUAAGAUUGCAAAUGAGGUGAUAAUUGUUAUUGAGGCUUACCGGAGCUUGAGGGACCGAGGUCCUUAUCCUCCAGAUCAAGUUGUUAGAGAUAUCCAUGGGAAAUUUGCAUUCAUCCUAUAUGACAGCACUGCAAAAACUACUUUUAUGGCUGCUGUAUGUUAUCUAACUUUUCCUUGCUCCUUUUUUUUGUCAUUCCAUAAAGUUUGCCUACUUGGGUUAUGUCAUUCCUGUUUCUGUAGAUUGUGCUCAUUACUACUUUGGGCUCUGAUUGAAUCUAGCUGAUUUUUAGUGUUCUCUGGAUAUAGGAUGUUGAUGGGAGUGUACCCUUCUUUUGGGGAACUGAUUCUGAAGGCCAUCUUGUCGUAUCAACUGAUUUGGAUGUUGUGAAAAAAGGCUGUGGCAAGUCCUUUGCACCAUUUCCCAAAGGUAGCAUUUGCAUAAUCCCAGUGCCAAGUUGUGUUUGAUUUUUAAGCUGUUCUCUUUUAGCUUGAAUAAUUAAGGGCAUGUGGAAUAUAGGUUGAUGACUAACAAAUUGACGGGAAUAUAUUUAUUUAUGUUUUAUAUGUGCGAUGAAGAAUUUUCCUGCCAUUUGUAGUGUCUAUUGAUUGUUGAUUUGUUUUAGUUUGCUCCAUCUGCUGUGGUUGAGUUUCCUUCUGGAAAACAUCCUAAUUGUCUAUCUAAAAGCUUUCUAUAAGCCUAAUAUGGUGGCUUCAUUCUCCUAGCAUUCUCUAUUAUUUUAGCCUUCUGUUAUUGUUUCUAACAUGGCUCACUAUCUUCCCUGCUCUAUAUUGGUGAGGCAAAAAGCGAAGCACUGACUCAUCUUCUUGUAUUCUAUACUUCAGGAUGCUUCUUCACAAGUUCGGGAGGGUUGAGGAGCUAUGAGCACCCCCACAAUGAGUUGAAGCCAGUGCCAAGGGUGGAUAGUUCUGGGGAAGUUUGUGGUGCAAACUUUAAGGUGGAUGCAGAAGCUAAGAAGGGGGGUACUGGAAUGCCCAGAGUUGGAAGUGCUGCCAACUGGUCCCAAAACUACUAGGCUCGGUCACCAUUUUUUGUUGUGGCUAGCCUAUUGUUAGUUGUUGGCCUUCCAUUUAUCUUCUGUCCAUUUGUGAACGUGGUCAAUCCUUGAUCGCUUGUCUAUGUUGCUACUUAAUUUUAUGGUUAGAAACACUGCACCUAAGAGUGAAGCUAUCUAUUUGAUGUGGCCAUUGGAGCUUUAUUAACUCUUUAGGUUUCACUUUACUACGCCAAGGGAGGUCACUUUAAGGCCUCAAAGAAACUCGAUAUAUGAAAUAAUAGAUACUUUGCUCUAAAGGAAACUGUCCAUUACCGUAUACGUAUGUUGUUCCUGUGCUUCAUUUUUGUUCUAUGAUGGAUGGUAGAUGAAUCUGUUAGUGUAAAUAACGGCAUGGCCUGAAUCUGGCCUGUGACAGUGUGUACUCGGUUGGUUUGCCUCUAUUGCUCUCCACUGUCUCUUACUGCUGCACUGGUUAAGGCCUUUCAUUGUAGCAUUAUUUUUGUCAUGUGCUCGACUAAAAGUUCUGAACAUGGUAGAGUGCAACGACUAAGUUGUGUUAGGCAUAAUACCACAACAUAAUUGCAAUGGGUAACGGAUGUACACUUGUCCCAGUCACAUUGUGCCACUUUGUACAGGAUGAAGAUCAAACUUAAACAAUAAAACAUAACGUGAUGAACAUUUCCACUUCCAAGCUGCAGAAAAGAAAUUGGAUAUCUUCUAGUCCUUUGCAUCUGCAAUGCCUCCUGGAGUUAUCUGAAAGACGUGCUUCAUGUUAAGGAAAUCUUGGGUGCAAUCUGGAAGUACUUUUGCUUAGACUCGGGCAAUUAGUAAUUACAGCCAUAUUUACCAUUUACAUAGAUUUUGGUGUGAUAACUGGUAUCAUUGGUCUACGUCAUAAUGAUUACUGAAUAAGUUAAAUUAAGUGGGAAGGAUAUAGCUUCAGCUUCAGGAAGAUUUGGUGCAUCAAAGACUUUGCAGACACGCUGUUCGCCUUUACCCUUCCUGAACAUUAACCGUAUUGUGGACGCAUGAGCAAGCACAUGUCCUCCUGCUGGUUUCUUUGGAUCAGAUAUGAAGACACCUCCUCCAGGAUCUGCUAUAACUGCAAAAUCCAGUUUAUUUUUGUACAUUAGAACCAAAUGUUAUAGAAAAUGUAUGAAAUGAUUUAUGCAAGACUGAACCCGAAUGCUUUAAUUGCAUAAAGAACUAGUUUGAUGAAACUGAAAAGCACAGCUUAAACAGUUAAAUUAAAGCUCAUAUAAUGGAUAACUUCUGUAGGGACUAAAAUCCUGGUUGUCUUUUCUAUUUCUCUCUUCUGUUAUUUGAGUACCUUGGUUGGUCAUGUAUACUGCAACAUUAAACUCCUCAGCAAUCUUUGUUAACCUAGAGAGCAUCUGAGCCAACUUUUGCUGCACAUACAGAAGUCUAGUGGAGGUUAGGAGACAGAAAAUCUUAGUAACUAUAUUAAGCAUUGUAAAGUAAUAUGUAGUAAACCUGUCGGUCUGCCAAUUCUCCUCUUCCAGUAAAAUCAACUCGAAAUAGAGCAAUCACCGAAUCAACAAUCUGAUGAUGCAGUUGAUAGAAUUAAACUAACAAGCUUCAGGUCUGUGCCUUAAUCUCUAUAAGCUAACAGCAGAGGCUUACCAGAAGCCUGAAAGGCUCUUCAGCCAUUUUGGCAGCAAGACCCAGAAGCAGAUUGUACUGAUGCUCAUACGUGUAUGCACGAGCAUAAAUGAUCUUCACAAUCCAAAGGACCAAAAGCAAUCAUUAAACAUAAUUAACAGAGCUUGAUGAUGAUAAAAGAGCCAAGUCUCUAAAAAACAUAAGGAUGCAUAAGUUGUUUGAGUAACAAGCUUUACGUUGUCUAGUACAGCUCCUGGAUCCAUGCCAAACCUUUCAGCAAUUGGCACAAUGCGAUCAGGUCGACUUCACGUGAGUUCAGUCAAGGGAAAUAAACAUCGAAGAGAAAAGCUUCAUCAGCAGUUCUCCUUCCAGUCACUGCUGGUAAAGAGGCUGAUAAUGUGAUUUUAGAGAACUUAAGAACUACAAAUAGCAAGGAUACAAAGUCCCCUCAGUAUCAAUGUAAGCAACCUUUCCAUUGCCACCUCUCAUGUUAACAGGAAGCUGCAAAAUUACAAAGAUGCAUAAAACCAAACUUCAAUUGUGGAUAUUAUUAAUUCAAACCAGGAAGUAUAGGGAAAUCAGUCAAUGGAAAGAAAGCUAUUGCGUCUCUAAAAGUCCAACCUACGUUACCACGAAGAAUUUUAAGAGCCUAGCAAAUAAUAUUGAACAGCUAGUUUUAGAAUCCAGCAAAAUAUUAAAUUCAUAUCAAGUGCAUAUUUGUUACACAGGUUAUGAGCAAGGAUGACAAACACACCUGUGUGGAGACGCAGAGUGUGUGAGCAAGCUGUGUCUUUCCUGAUCUGAAUCGAAGUGUCAAAGGAAGAAGCACUUAAGAUCGGAGUUUACGAGCAUAAACGAACAACAAAACCAAAAUGACAACAGUAAGGAUUUGAUUCAAGUAAUUGCGUCAUGGUAAACAUCACAUAUUUUACCUGAAUUCACCAAAAGCUUCAGUAAUUGCUGAUGUUUCAACUCCACCUAGACAAAUUAGGGCAGAAAAGCACAUUUAAAAUGAAAGCAGCUUAUAUUAAUUCAGUAAAACAACAUUAGAUUUCAUUGUUUACCCCCUAACAGUUCAUCUAGAGCCUGACUUCCAGUUGUAAUACGAACCACAGCUUUCCUCUGAACCCCAAAAAAAAAAAGAUUGGAGAUAACCAUGAAUCUUCAGGAUAAGUUCAGCAUUGCUUAAAAGAGAUACUUGGAUCUUUAUCUUAGCCAGUCAAAAAAAUAGGCCAGAUAGGAUUAUGCAGUGCUCAGGAAGAAAAGAAUCUAAAAAGAGUGCUUACUUUAAGAAGAGCAUCACUUCCAGUUAUGUAACCAAAGUUCUGAGAAAACAACGGAGAAUCAGAUUAGAUAAAAUCAAACUUAAAGUUGCAGCAAGACAGGCCUCAGUUUAAUUGAAUGCUUAAAUCUCUAACCACUAUCUUUUCAGCAGCUUCACAAAUCUUGUCAACUUUCGCCUCAGAUAAUCCCUUUAUUCCAGUCAAGCUCUGCACAACAAAUGCAACUGCUAUUGACAAAGCUACCCAAGCAUUGAAUUCUAAUUACGAAAUUUGACGUAAUAUUUUCACCUUCUUUGUUUGCAUCAUCAAUCCAUUGCAGGUAUAGAUCCCGGCAUCCUGAAGCUUCUUGACAUCACCAGCAUUUAUUCCAUGAGCUGUCACUGCCAGAACAAUUGUAACAAUUUAUGUUCGUGAACUGGAAAAACUGCAGUAGUUCCAAUAAACAUUCCACCGUGCUGAAUUUCGGCAAUACACAGUGAAACCAGAAUUUUUAGCUUGUAAUCACAAGCAACAAUUGAGCAUAGUUUUGAGUUUGAGUGAAUAGAUGUUAAAUAUAGAACUCAGAAGCAACAAAAGUAUUAAACUCCAAAAUUCAACAAUGAUGAAUAUUUAGGGAUAGGGUUCCUGUGUACCAAUGAUUGGCUUUGAACAAAAUGAAACAGAGAUCUUAUGAUAUACACAGCACAUUCGACCAAACAUCAAAUGUUAGAACAUGAUUUUUGAACCAAGAUAAUGAGGUCACACAUUAAGAAAUUGUCUUGUCAUAUGUUGGAUUUUUUUAACCAAUACAAACUCCUGUUAGAUCAUUAAGAAAAUAUCCAGGAAAAGAAAAUAAAAUGAAAGAUCAUUCAGCAUAUUGAAUCAGUAAUGUGGUAAAAACUCAGCUGAGAAUCUAAGGCAGGCAGAAAAUCAAAAGGAAAUUUGAUAAUCCUCAAGCUGACGAUCAAUACAAAAACACUAAAUUCAUUACAACAUUGUUUUCAGUAUGCAGAACAAUUAAGUAUGGUUUUGGUCACUAGAACAGAUAUUAACAGGAUGCUCGAAGCCACAUUUACCAGGAGUUGACUUAGAUAUCCAAGCAACAGGAUCCUGUAUUUAUCUAUUAACAGUAUAUUAUCAGCUAAAAAUUUGAGAGAAAACCACAAGCUGCCAAUUUAUGUAGAAACUAGACGAAAAUAGACUCGGAAAAGGGAAAAGCAAGUCAGCUCGUGACACAGAAUCAACUGUAAUUGAAAACAGAGUGAUUAUUCAGGGAAAUUCGAGCUUAAAGAACACUGCAGAACAAUGGCCAGAUUAAACAAGAAACUACUUAGACUUGUUUACCUAGUUCACCAAAAUUUGACAAAAUCGUCGGAAAAGAUGAAACGUUUUCCCGUUCCGAGACCGAUUCAAAUUUGAUAUACUCGAAAAUUUUGCUAAACGCAUGUUAACGAAACGAUCAAAGAAAAGCUUCCACAGUUAAGUAAAUAAAAAUAUAAUAAAAUAUAAUGAAUUUUGUGAAUAUGAUUAUCUCAAAUCGGAAGCUACAUCGUUUAACCUAUUAAUCAAAAGUUAAGAACAGAGUCGCAAAUGAAACUUGAAGAGACAUUUUACCGCACCGAAACAGUAAAAAAAGAUGAAUUCUAUGAAGGUUUUAAGCUAAAUAACGGAACAUUUGAGAGAUUACGUUUGUCAAUGGCUUCGAACAAGUCUUCUUCAUCGUCGAUCUCUUCUCUUUCAACAAGCUGCAACUGGCUCUGUUCUUCGGACCUGAGAUCACAAGUUAAAUACAGAAAAGAAUAAGAAAAACGAAAACAUUGAACUUAAAACCGAAUGUAAUAAUGAAUAACUGAAAAUUUUGAUGGAUUAGUAGAAACAUUUGAAGAUUACUUGAAAGCCUGCAUCGCCAUUAUUCAAAUUCGUCGAGAGAGAAGAAAAUGUGCGUGUUUCGUGUUGCCCGAAGAGAGAGAAAGAGCGCGGUUUUAAGAUUUGGAAUGGAAAGGGUGGAUUUAAAUUGUGAAGAGCAGGGAGUUUUUAUAGAGUGGAACUGAGGGGAUUUAUCAAUUCUGAUUUUAUUGUGUUUGGAUUACGACCCGGCCCGAUCUGCCGUUUCAAUUGGUAAUGUGGAGUAAUGCAUUCUUCAACCUUUUUUUUUUUUUUUUUUUUGAAAAAAUGUACUUUUCAUUCCUAAUGUUUGAACUGUUAAACAAUUUCAUCCUUAAAAUUUUAGUGAAAACAUAUUUCAUCCUCAUAAUUUUAUAAUUUGGAUCAAUUUCAUCUUUAAAGUUUCAUACAAACACAUUUCGUCCUCAUAACUUCAUAACUUUAAAUAAUUGAAUGAUUAUUAACUAAUUUGAAUGGAAUAUCAUUCCAUCACCAGCAGGUCCCAUUAAUAUUUAUAUUACUAAUAAUUAAUUUGGUCAUUGAUUUAAUUACAAAAAUAAUAAUGAGUGUGUUUAAAUGGGAGAUUUUUUUAAAAAUUUAUGAUAUGAUGUAUGUGAAAUAAAAAAAAAUAGAUUGGAUGAUAGAUACAUGAUUUGAAAAACACAUAUAUGAUGUCAAAAAAUAAAAUUUUGCAAAUAAAUGACAAUCCAAACAAUUCUUUCUUUCACAUUAAUUUUUUCUCCAAUUGGUUGCAAUGAGUUGUUUGAAAUUUUUCUCCAAUUGGCUAUAAUGGGUUGUUUCUUCUUCACGACUUCAUUUCCUCUUGAUUUUUUUGUUCAAUUUGUGAUUAAGAAGUGAGCAAUAGUGGUUGAAAAUUUUUUUUUUUUAAAGAAAAGGAGAAAGUAAAUUAAACGAUUUUUGAGAUUUUUGUUAAUCCAUUUUUUUUAACUAAUAAGAAUGAUGCGGUCAAGUGAUGGUAUUUCAUCCAAAUUGCUUAACAGCCCAAUCAAUUGUCCUCAAUUAGUCAAAUUUAUGAAAAUAUGAGGAUGAAAUAUAUUUACAUGAAAUUUCAGGGAUGAAAUUGGUUGAAAUUAUAAAAUUAAAAGAUGAAAUGUAUUUUGACUGAAAUUUUAGGGACGAAAUUGUUCGACGCCCUAAACAAUGAGGAUGAAAAGUGCAUUUUUCCCCUUUUUUUUGGUGCUUUCUUGAAAAUGUGUUCCUCACUUCUUCAUAGUUCAUACCAUAAAUCAAAAGUUUUGUUAGCACAUAAAAAAAAAAAAAAAAAGUCAAAAGCUUUGUCCAAAAUGUAACAAAAAAAAAAAACCAAUCAAGAGUUGGGUAUUCCUUUGUGGUUGUUUCGGAAGAUAACAAGGAUAAUAAUACUACUGUUUGUUUACCAAUUAUUAUACACUUUGUUGAACAUAAUUUACCUUUUAUUUUUCUUUUUCAUAUUAUAUCUUUGUUAAAAAAAAAAUCUAUGUAUACCUUGGGAAAUUAAGAAUUCCUUUUUAGUAGCUGAAAGUUUUCCUUUUCAAAUGCUAAGACUAGGGGUGAUCCUCGCGCAAUGCGCGGGCGCCGAGGGAUUUUUUUUUCUAUAUUGCUGUGCUGAGGAGCUGAGUGAUAAGUAUAUUUUGCAAAAAGCUACUGCAUUGUAUUUGCUAUAUAGACAAUUUUUCAGAUGUUUUCAAAAGGGCAGGUUCAUCUGGAUUAUUGUCUAUAUUUAGUUUAUAGAAUCAUUCAAACAUAUUUAUAGCUAAAGCUUCUUAGAACUUUUUACAGUUUCAAAAGCAUUAAAGCUUUUUAAGCUUAUAUUUUAUAGGUGUCGGUGCAUUGUUUUUUGAUGGGGCUCUUUGUGAGUUUGAGUGCCGUGAGGAAAUUGCUGUCUACAUUUGCUGAAGAUUCAGGUGUAUGUGCAACUUCGGUUGUCGCUGGCUAUGGUGGAGAGUCGAUGAGCAUUUUUGUUGUAUUUUUUUCUCCACUAAUUGCACUGGAGCUAUUUUCUGAAGUAUUGGUGAUGUUAGGAAGUUUGUGUACUAUGAUGGCCGAGUAUUUUGUGUUGGUUACUAAGGCAUGGUUUGAAGCAGUCUUCUUGAUGAAGCAGACUAUUAUGUUGCUGCUGACACUGUCUUCUAUUGCUUGAUAAUCGAGUUUGUUCUGCAACGUAAAAAGAAUCACAAGUUUUAUUAAUGUAAGGUAUAUAUAGGUAUCUGUGUAGUAAUAGCAGGUUAGAAUGUAUUUAGUUUAUAUAUGCUAACUUGUUGCUCUUGUUGUUGAAUUUCUUCUAUUGUAAAAGGAAGCAAUUGAGAAGCAUCAUUUCCAUAGAGAUCCAGGGUCAGAUUUCCAGUGUAAUCCUCCAGUUGUACAGUCAAUCGACAUCUAUUUUCAAGUGAAGAUUGUUGUGAAAUAAUUUUUUUUGGAGAUAAAAAUUUGUAAGUAUUUUUUAGAAUGGAGUUUUCAACCAUGCCUUGGGCUGACUAUAAUGUGUAUGUUGCAAGAUGCACAGACAAUUGGCCAUUGUGGAAUAGAACGCAUAGAUUUGAAGCAUCGAAGGCAUGCAUUAUACCAGAAUUUUUGACUUCUAUCAAGCAAUUUAGGAGUUUCUUGUAUCCAAUAAGCUUUUUGAUGUCAUAUAUAUAUAUGGUUUUUCAUUUUUUUGUAUAUAGUGGUUGAUUUGUGUGUUUUGUGCAAAGAAGUUGUGUAAGUGAAAUUUACCAAAGAAAACUGAAGAUAAUCUCUUAUUGUGGUCAUUUCUUUUGCAUCUGGUAAUGAUAGCAAUUUUGAUCGAUUGUUGUAUGUUUUGUCAGCCAUUAGAUGUCGGAUUUGAUAUUCAUUUUUUGUUGCCCUACAUAGUAUGCUUUUGUCAAAGUAAAACAUCAAAAUAAUUAAUACCUCUGUCAUAGCUUGAGAAAACAGUAGUGUGUUUUUUGGAUUUGUCAUUAUUGUUUGACUGGAAUACAACCGUCCCUGGGAACACUAAUGAGGAGUUAGUAAUAUAGAAUUGAGGAAAAGUAAGAGAUAAUAUUAUACAAUUUAAAGCAUGGGUUAGACGUUCAUUUGUAUACAUAUAUACCUUUUGCAUUGCUGUCAACUGGUUCUUGAAUAGUUAAUCCAGAAUUAGGUGGUACUUCAGCAGAUAAUAUGUUGUUUGCAGUAGAAGUGGCACUCUCAAUUUUUUGAACAUUUUGUGGAUCUUCACUCGGUGGGUAAUUGGUACCCAUAGUAGUAGUUAAUGCAAUAGUAGGAGCAGGAUUGACAAUUUUUUGAGUAUCUUCUAAUGUAUGAGUAUCAAAAGAUAAGCGUAAAUUUUUUUUAUGAUAAGCCUCUAUCUGUUUCUGUCAACGCAUUUCCUUCCUUUUGGCCAAACGAUCAUGUUCCUCUUCAACCUUUGCUUGGUUACAGUGAAUUCAGAAAGUCUCCCCAAUAAUCGAUUUUUCAGCCUAUUUUAAUUGUUCAUGAGGAGAGAGUGCAGCGUAUUAUUCUCUUAUUUUUUUAUUACGUUGCUUCUUUUUUUCAGUUAUUGAAUCAGUAGAAUCAACAACAAACUUGGACAAUCUCAUUUUAUUAGACAACAAGAAUCAGAUAGCCAAUAAACAAAAGUACAAUAUAUAGCAAUUCAAAACGAACAAGGCAUUCAAUAAACAGUAGAACAAUGAAAAGAAGUAUGCACAUAAAAACUAUAUAACGACACUCUUAACAAACGAUAAAAGAGCCGUGAUAUUAAGGAAAAAGCAUAGAACCGAACCUGAAAUUGGUGAGCAAACUUGCAGGGAUAAGAAGCAGUAAACAAAGUUGCAGAGAUAAGAAGUAGGAAACGAGAAACUUUGCGGAUAAGAAGUACCAAAUGAAGUCGUAGGGAUAAAAAGCAGCAAACAAAGCUAGAAGUAGAGAAAAGAAAGAAAAUGCAUAUUGUUUAAGAGCUGCAAAAAAGAGAAUGCAAGAUGAUGAAGAAAAUGCAAGGUGAAGAACAAAGAAACCACAAACAACGUUUAUAUUGCUUCAGAAGAACCUCGGGAAACUAUAGCUGGAACGGCAACACACAAAUAGAAAGUGGCGACACAAACUAUAUAUCAAAUGUACAAUUAUACCCGUGAGUAUGAUGUAUUGGUUGCAAACAAAACAAGCAUUUGCAAGGACAAUAAAGUCAUUAUAUUCUGUAAUUGUUGUAUUACUGUAGGCCGGUAAAAUAAAUAGUUGAAUGGGUUCUCUUCUUUUGCACAAACAGAAACCACAUGUCGCAAAACUAAAGCUCAACUUGCAACGCACAAAAACAAUGUGGCGGUACAAAUGAGAUUUUAAAGAUAUCAGAUGUACAACUGUACCCAUGACUAUGAUGCUUUAGUUGCACAAAAAGCAAGCAUCUGGAAGGGCAAUAAAGUGAUUAUAUUGUUUGAUUGCUGUAUUGCUGUAGUCUCAUAAAACAAGGAUAUUAAUGGGUUAUGGCAUCAAAGUACCGUCUAUCUACAUGAAUUUUCUAGAGUAGAGGAACAAAUGAGGCUUCACUCUGCAUAAUAAGAUACAUAUCCCUUCUCACCAACAAAGCAGACGAAACUUAUCCCUAGAUUUUUAAUUUUUUUCUCACCAACAAAAAAGACGAAACUUAUCCCUAGAUUUUCAACUUUUUCUCACCAACAAAGCAGAUGAAAAUGCAAGGUGAAAAGUUCACCAAAGAGUAAACUCCAACUGCUUCUUAUAUAUGUGUAUAGAAAUUAAGACCACUUAUUUCCUAGUUUGAAAUCAUGGUCAAAUACUCAACUACGCAAACAAAAUGUACGACAAAUAUUUCUAUUAAUGACAUACAAAAAACAAGCCACUGUCUUAACUCUUAUGUUGCGUUUGAUAAAAUUGUAGUUUGAAAUUUAAAAUUUAAAUUCUGAAUCCAUUAAGUUAUUAAAUUGUUAACUAUUAAAUCUAAUCAUUUGAGUGCAUAUCACAUUCAGUGAUAAGUAAAUAGUUUAUCACUUAUUUUUGGAAGCAAAUUUUAUUUAUAAAAUUCAAUGCCACAUAAUUAAUUCAAAUAUUCAAUUUUUUGUUAUCAAACGGUUUGAAUAUAUUAAAAUCUGAAUCCAUUAAAUUUAAGUGAUGAAUUGAUUUAUCAAACAGGGCCUUAAUUUCUUUUAUGAUGAAUAAUCACUGAAAGUUCAAUAUAGGCCCUAUUUGGACAGUAGUUUUCAAAGAAAAAUUGCUACGCUUUCCGUGAACACAUUUUCCUAUCACAUUUUUACCUCAUAUAUAUCAAAUUGUUACAGUAAUUUUUCUACAAAAAAUCUAGAAAAAUUCAAUCCAAACAAAACCUAAGGUUUACUUGCUAAAAUUUUCUCAACUAUCCCUAGAACAAAAUUCCUAGUUGGUCCUAUAACAAUUAGUCAAGAAUUCUUUUGGAUUGCAUUUUCCAUCAUUUUCCAUGGAAAAAUUAUUGUAGUGAUUUGAUGUAUGUGAGAAAAAAAGAUAAUAGGGAAAUGUGAUCAAGGAAAAUGAUACAAUUUUCCGACGAAAAAUGGCUGUCCAAACACAUUUUAAAAUUUCCCUUCUGAUUUUCUAUGAAGUCUAGGUUUGAACGAGGAGCGUACCUGCGUGAGUGCAUAGUCCAUCACACAAUAGAAUCCAAGACGAGAAAAAGUCCAUGGGGGGUUUUUGGGAAUUUGGGAUGGGAGCUUUUUCAUGUUGGGCUGUUUUUGAAAUUUGGUUCGGUUGAUUUAAGGGUUGCUUUGUGCUUGUUUUGCCUAAUUUGUCCUUAUUUAUGUUUGUCUAUUGACUAUUUUAGCCUUAUGUGCCUUUGUUACUCUUGCUGGUAUCUGUUAUUUGGGAUUUGAUUUUUUGAUCCUUUUGGUUUGAACGUUAACUUCAGCCUAUGUAAUAGUUUAAUGUAUGUAAAUAAAUAAAUAAAUAUAUAUUUAUAUAGUUAUGUAUAUAUAUAUGCUUAUAUAUAUGUCUGUAUAUAUAUAUAUAUAUGUUUUGAAAAAUGUAGCCUGAUUAGUUUAGUAUAUAUGAUUGAUUCCAACUAAUCUUUUGUUCUUGACUGCAUAUAUAGUUAGUAGAUGUUCUUGGUGGGAAGGGAUACACCAUAUUUAUAUCAUUCUUAUUUUUAACCUCUGGUAUCUUUAAUGAAUGUUAUAAAACCUUUUGUAUUCAUUUAAUGAAAAAAAUCAAUAUUCAGGGCUUAUUUAGUCGCGUGAGGCUGCCCACUCCAACUAGUUUUAAACAAUACCGGAAUUCUUCUUUUCAAACUUCCCGAGAUGGGGAGUCAAAGUAAAUUGCCCCAAAACUUCCCCAUAUUCUCAAUGAGGCCAACCUCCAUUAUUAAAUAACCUUCCCUGUCAACUUUUGACGCCCCCCGCUCCUCCCCUUUCUUCCUCCUCUUCUUUCUAGGGUUUCUUUCUCUCUUGUCUUCUCCCCCCACCACCAACACCUCCAUCUCCUCCUCCUCUUCAGGCCUAAAACUCUCCCCUUCCUACUUCCAGAGUUGCACACACUUGCUCACCUCUCUUUCGGUAUCAUAUGCGUGUCUGUGGAUGUCCAUUGAACUUUAUGCUCAACUUUCACUCAUUCCAGCCCUAAUUAUAGCACCCCAGGGGAGGAACUCAUUCUUUUUUUAAUCAGGGUUUUUUUUAUUUGAAUUGAAUUUUGUCGGGAUUUAAGCAGCAGAGACAAUGCAGGUUAAAGAAUUGAAAGAAACUGAGAAUUCUGUGGAAAACCCUGGUGAAAAGUCUGUUGAAGUUGCUGAGAAGAAGCCUUCAGAUGAGAAAUCAGUCGAAGAGCGCGAUGAUUUUGACUCGAUUCUUGAUGUUUCGGCAAAAAGUUUUGAUUUUCCUGUGUUGGAAGGGGCCGAGAAGUCUGUAGAGGCUCUGUAUUUGUACAAGAAUGUUUUUAAUUUGAUUCCCAGAGGAGUGGGGAGCUUAAAGUAUUUGAGAACUUUGAAGUUUUUCGCGAAUGAGUUGAAUUUGUUUCCUGGGGAGUUUAAUGAUUUGGGUGGGUUGGAGUGCUUGCAAGUGAAGGUGGCCCAGGCGCCCGGGUUAGGUGGGUUGGACUUGGGGAAGUUGAAGGCUUUGAAAGAAUUGGAGCUGAGUAGAGUGCCUUUGAGGCCAUCUGCAUUUCCUGUAUUGAGUGAACUUGCUGGAUUAAAGUGCUUGACUAAGCUCUCUGUUUGCCAUUUUUCCAUUAGGUCAGUGUUUUCUCAAUUUUAUUUGCAUUUUCUAUUCUUUAAAAAAAUAAUUGAAACAUGAUUACUUGAUCACAUUCUUGGUAGUCGCUUUAUGUAAUUAAAAUUUCAAUGAUAUUCUGUUUUAUUUGUUGUUUGGCGUUUCUGGAAUUGGACCAAGUUUAAAUUAGUUGCUUUUAUUAUUGUUGUUAUCUGGAAUAACUGUAAUGGUGAUUCCGAAGCUCAAUUGUUUCAAGUUAUGGCAAUUGCUAAUUCGGAUUUCUGUUAGAACACUAGUCUGCACUUUGGCUGCAAGGGUAUCCUUUUUAAAAUCAAAAAAUAAUUUAUUGCCUUAUGAUUCUCAUGAUAUUAAUGAUUUAUUAGAUGGAGCUAGUCAUAAGAGUCCUGGAUGUAGUUUUACUCUAUUGAAGCUGAAAGGGAUACGAAUUCUUUAGGAAAAAUAAACUCUAACUCUCAUAGUCAUUUCCACAUCCAUGGUCAUUUAUUUUUUCAUAUACAUUUCCCUUAUUGGUUCUCAUACACAACUAUGAAGCCUUUGUUGUUAACUUGUUGCUGAUCGUAUUGUCACAUCAUCUAAUAUUAACUGAACUGCAAGUGAAUAUUGAAUCAUUUGUCUCUAUAUGGGUGCUUAAAUCUGCUUGAUUGUCAGCGGUCCAGUUUGUAGAAUACUUCUUUUAUGAGGCCUUCUCAUAAGAAGUUGUGCUUGUGGAAUGCUUUUGGAUUAUCUGAUAGUGUGAUGAUACAUAAUGCAGUUACCGAGCACUUGUGUUAAAUGCUCAUCAACAUUGAACCCAUACGAGAAAGCUUCAGUUUUGAGUUUUUUUAGCCAGUAUGACUCACUAUUUGAGAUACCGGAGUUGUAUAUUUUAUUGGCUAUGGUGGUACCAAUAUGGAAGCUUUCCUGGUUAUAUAGGAUUUUGGGGUUUGAGGCUAACUAAGCAGAUAAGCUAUUUGAUCGAGUAUCUUCCUGAUAAAAGAAACAAACUAUUCUAGUAAGAAAUGAGACUUCCAGUAUGCUUGAAAGUUUUUAGGAAAAAGGAAGUUUAACAACUAUAGUCUGUUUUGUGCUGAAACCAGGACACAAGCAUAAUGAUGAUGCUAUUGGAAAUUUCAUGUGUCUGUUACACAUAAUGUUAGAUGCCAAUAACAUUUAGAGAUAUUCGUUUCUGUUUAGCUAUUCUCUUUCAUUUUGUCCUGGCAAGAGUUUAAAUCCCCUGAAUUCUUACUUUUACUGUAGAUUCCUCCCUCCAGAAAUUGGACGCCUUAAUAGAUUGGAGUACUUGGACCUUUCAUUCAAUAAGAUGAAGAAGUUACCGACUGAGAUAACUUUCUUAAACUCCUUAGUAUCUCUGAAAGUUGCCAACAAUAAAUUGGUUGAGCUACCUUCCGGUCUGUCUUCUUUACAAAAGCUGGAGAAUUUGGAUCUCUCAAACAAUAGGUUGACAUCCUUUGGGUGUCUGGAACUCGAAUCAAUGCAUAACCUUCAGAGAUUAGAUCUUCAGGUAUGUAAUAGCAUCAACAUAAAAGCUAUACAGUGAUACAUUAAAAUUUUUUAACGAGUUUCAAGAUCAUCUUCCUCCAUAUCUGUUUAGUCUCUUUACUGAUUGGAUAUUAUGCCUCUCUGAUGAUGCUUGAGUUAAGAAAGUGUUGAAUUAUAUAUUGGGGUUUUUCAGCUGCCCUCCAUCUUUACUACUGACAUGUAAGACAUGAACUUGAAAGAUACUGAAUUAGAGAAUGUGUGAACAUUAUUUAUGUUUUUUACUAUUAGAAUAGAGAAUGUGCUCAAAUGGUUGGUUUGAGCCAACAUCCCUUGUUCAGUUUUUAGUAGUUGCAAUUUAGAUUUUGAGAUGGUUUUGUCAACUCCUGACUUAUUUUAUUCAGUUAAAGUGGGCCUGUAUUUUGCGAUAUAAUGAUCAAAUUUAAUUGUUAUACAUGAAAGUGGAAAAUCAUUGGGUUCAACUCUUGGAAAGUGGUUCUGUAUUCUGGACAAUUAAAUUUAAAAGAUUGACAUUUCUUAUGUGCUCAGACAAAAAUAUGUAAUGUUUGGUACUUGUUUUCCUUCUGUAUGUUCAAUCAAUCUUCUGACAUGUAGCUUCUUGCAUCUCUUCACUCUACUCAAGCACAAUAAGCUUCUUAGUUGCUGUCAAAUACCUUCGUGGAUAUGCUGCAAUUUGGAGGGAAAUGGCAAUGAUUUGUCAAAUGAUGAAUUCAUCAGUUCUGCUGCAGAAAUGGAUGGUGUAGAAUGCGUAGUUGAGGAACCCUGUGAUAGUGGAGGUGAAUUGAACAAGACUUGUUGCCACUCACACGCACAUACACAUGAUUCAUUUAGAAGUUGUAAUCUGUUUUGCUCUUAACGUGGAUAUAUUUUGUAAUGUCAUAGGCUCUUCUACAACAUCAUUGAAUCAUUCAAGUGGGUCAUCACCUAAUAAUAAAUGUUUUGCUGCACGCAAAUCAAAAGGAUGGAAAAGACGGUAUUCCUUGCAGCAAAGAGCUCGCCAGGAAAGAUUAAAUAACAGUCGGAAGUGGAAGGGUCAAAAUGUUGCUGCAAUCCAUAAAACUACUGAAAAAUGUUUGACAUGCAGAGACUCCGAUCUUGUGGAUGAUUCGUUUGUUGAAAGUUCAUACACCACUGUAGUUUCUGAUUUUGAUAACAAGGAAUUGUUUUCUGGUAGUGUUGACUUGGGGAGAUCAAUCGAAAAUGUUGACAAUGAAAUUGUUUUGAAGAAGGAUUAUUGUGAGAAGAAAUGUUCAUGUGAUGCGCUUGAAUCGUAUCAAAGUGCUUGUACCAAGCAUGAAACAGCCUCUCUAUCAGAUGCUAGUAGUAUGCCAGACGACUGCUUGUAUCCUGAAGCAUCUAGUAGUAUUUGCAAGUCUAAAAGGCAUUCUGAUGCUGAGCUUGAUAGCCCCAAACCGAGGAAAUAUAGGAGACCUACUGGCAAUCAUUCGGACACCUCGUCCCAAUAUAGCAGGAUAUCAUUCUGUGGGGUUGAUGACUAUUUAUCGGAUGGCUUUUAUGAUGCAGGACGAGAUCGACCUUUUAUGCCCCUAUCUGUUUAUGAGAAAAAUCUGCAGCUUGACUCUCGAGAAGUUAUUCUUGUUGAUCGGUAAUUCUCAAUAUACUUGCAUCACGAAUUAUGCUGUUUUUUGGAGUUCCUUGAUGGACUUGUUUUGAUUUUUUAAUCUUUUGUUCAGGGAGAGGGAUGAAAAACUUGAUGUUAUUGUGCUCUGUGCUCAAGCGCUUGUGUCACGUUUUAGGCAGAUUAAUGGUUUAAUGAAGGAAAGGGGACGUGGAGCUAUUGAUUCCUUGCAGAUUGCAUCUUUGCUUGCCAUUUUUGUUUCGGACCAUUUUGGUGGAAGUGACAAAAGUGCAGCCCUUCAAAACACCAGGAAAGCAGUUUCUGGUUCAAAUUAUAGGAAGCCUUUUGUUUGCACAUGCCCUACUGGGAAUGAUGACAGAACUAAAAGAACCACAAAAGAUAGUCUGGAUGGUGAAGAUAUUGUUUUCCUUGAUCUAUGUGAGAGAGCUCUUCAAUCUUUAAAGGCAAGACGAAAUUCUGUAGUUGUUCCUAUUGGUAGCCUGCAGUUUGGUGUAUGCAGACAUAGAGCUCUGCUUAUGAAGGUACUUUUGCGUAUGGAAUUUUCCUUUUCCUAUUAUUAUAAUCUAAUGGAUUUUCCUUACAGCUCUACAGUUUGUGUAUUCAGCUAUUUUCAAACUAAAAAAAUUUCCUGUUUGUGCACUGCAGUACCUCUGUGACAGGGUAGAACCUCCAGUACCUUGCGAACUUGUUCGUGGUUUCUUGGAUUUUUCACCUCAUGCUUGGAAUGUAAUAGCUGUUAAGAGGGGUCAGUUUUGGGUUCGCAUGAUUGUUGAUGCUUGCCAUCCACAUGAUAUAAGAGAAGAAACAGACCCUGAGUAUUUUUGCAGGUAUACUUAUUCAGUGCUUUUACUUACUGUUGAAGGAUACAUUAGAAUAUACCAACUGCCUGUGAUUGGAAAUAAUUGGAAUUCUGUUUACUAAGGCUGAAAAAAUUAUUUGUUUUCUGGCUGUUGAAAGCAAAUGUUUCUUUAAUGGGUACUUUUUUUGCUAUGCAGGUUAAUUUUCAAUAUGCUUCAGGUCAUUAAGAAAUUGUUGACUUUUAUAUUUGUUUGAGGAUUUUUUUGGUCAAGUAUUGGUGAAAUGUUAAUGCUCUGUCUUCAUUCUUCUGCAGAUUAAUUUGUAUUUUUCUUGUUGUUUGAUACUGGAAACAAUUUCUGGUUUCCAAGUACAACUCAUCGCCUUGGCUUAUAAAAAAUUAAUUUUAUAAGACUUUGGUGAAUUGGUUAUUUAUUUGAACUUAAUUCAUGCUAUUUGUACUAAGUGACCCUGUCUUUGCAGGUAUGUUCCUCUGAGUAGGAUGACUGUAUCUGCUCGGAGAGAUGAUAAGUCUAGUAUGUACUGUUCGUUUCCUUCUCUCUCUGCAUGUGAUCAAACUGGAAAAACAGCAUCUACCACCCUCCUGGAGUGCAAAGUUGGAUCAGUUGAGGCAGCAGCAAAGGUUUGUUAUUGUUUGUUUCCUUGUCUGGUGUCCUACUGUAUUAUUCCUUAUUCAGGAUCAUUAUUAUUAUUGAGGUGUAUAUGUUGCUUGGUGAUUUGCUGUAAGAUUCCUUUAGCAUUUUGUUUAGAUUUAUUUGGUUUCUGCUUUGUUGUAUUCCUAGCGUUCAAUUCAUGUGCAAUGCUUAUAUUUAUGAAGUUAUGGAAACAUAAUAUGAAUCUUUACACUGAGUAUCAUUUAAACAGUAUAGUCAUGAAGGAAAAAUUGUGUUUCUAACUAGUUUAACAAUGCAGGUGCGCAAAUUAGAAGUAUUUGGACAGUUAGCAGAUGAAAUUAGGAGUUUUGAAUUAAAUUGUUUAGGGGAAGCCAGAAUGCUGGGUUCUUUGAAGCAUUCGUGUAUCAUUAAAUACUAUGGUCAUCAAAUAUCAUCCAAGUGGUCCUCUUCGUCUGAUGGAAAAUCAGAUAUUCGUAUCUUGCAAUCCGCCAUAUUAAUGGAGUACAUCAAGGGGGGUUCCCUAAAGGUGUUAUUUGCCUUCUCUUCAUUUCUGCAUGAUCUACCUCUCGAUUGCUUAAUCUACCUAUAUAGACUUACAGAAAUUUGUGUUGUGUGCUUAAUUCAACAGCUUUAUCUAGAGAAACUGGCAAGAGAUGGUGACAAGCAUGUUCCUGUUGUGUUGGCACUGUUUAUUGCAAGAGAUGUUGCAUGUGCGUUGGCAGAGCUGCAUUCCAGACACAUUAUUCAUCGCGACAUAAAAAGCGAAAACAUUUUGAUUGAUUUGGAGGAGAAGAGGGAUGAUGGUUCACCUAUUGUAAAGCUUUGUGACUUUGACAGGGCAAUCCCUCUUCGUUCAAGCUUGCAUUCAUGUUGUAUUGCUCAUACUGGGAUCCCUUCACCUGAUGUUUGUGUAGGCACCCCUCGUUGGAUGGCUCCUGAGGUGUUUAGGACAAUGAAUAGACGUGACAUGUAUGGGCUGGUAAGUACUUUCUGCAAUCCACUUUUAGGUGUUUACCCAGUGUCGCUGAUGGUGUUUGACUUUUUUUUUUCUUUUCCCAAAGUGUCCUAAAAUUAUUUGCUUUAGUCUCUGUCACCCUGGGCUGUUGGUGCAUUGGCAAGAUGGCUAAGAAACGCUUGAGAGAUCUUUAAACAUUCAUUGGCAUAUCAUGAAAGGAAUUUAAUUAAAGAACAGAGUCUGUUUGUUUGUUCUGAGAAUGAUAGCAUCAACAAUAGUGAUUUUUCAUUCUGUAUGUGCUAAAAGUGCAUCCUUCUUUAAGUAUCAUACUCAAAUUUCUUGGCUGGUCCCUAUCCACAGCUGUAUUACUGGCCAUAAAUGCAAUCAUUGCUGAGUCAGUGAGAGGCCUGGUUUUUUUUAAGGGAACAUUAAGGGGACAUCAAUAAUGAUGCAUCCUUUUAAUCCUGGGUGUUUUUUGUAGAUCAGAUAGCUUUUGCUCUCUGGAAAUACUAUGUUCUUAGUAUUAGAAGUACAUUUAGCAAGUUAAUUAGGAAAGAAAUGACAAAUUUUCAUUGGUGAGUGCAUUACAUUAAGACAUCAACUCUAAGUAAUUGGCCUACUUAAAUAGUUAUUUCUUGCACUAUUUGUUGUAUUCACUGUAUUUGAAUUCCUCCCCGAACUUCUUCCUCUUCUUGUAGAUUGAUUUUUUGGUUAAUGUUUUGUCGAAUUUUGGGCUCAUGUGUACGACUCUUGUGAUUUAGUGAUUUAAGGGCGUUUUGCUAACUCCUUUUCCCCCCUUUGUUUGUAGGAAGUGGAUAUUUGGUCAUUUGGGUGUGUACUUGCAGAAUUAUUGACGUUGCAAAUCCCUUACUCAGAUUUACCUGAAACAGAUAUUCACAGUUAUCUUGAGGUAUGAUUCCUUCUCCAAAUCAAUCCUGUGUAGAAUCUGUACUCGUGAGCUAUCAAACAAAAAGUAACAAAGCAUUUUGUGUUAUUGGCAUGAAGAAACUAGUACAUCCUGAAAGGUAGAAAUGUUAAAAUUAGAUCUAGGUUCUAAACUUUGCUUACGCACCUUUUAUAGACAUUUUUCUGUGCUUAUUUAAUGUUGUAGAAUGUAGAUACGGCUUUCCUAAUUUCGAGAGACAUUAGGACAUUAUAAUGGAUACUGGCAAUGUGAACAUUGCUUUUGAGCGUUGACCAAAAUGUAAGUAUUGUUGAGAGCUUUAAAUAUGAUUUUAUUAAAGAUUGAAACUGGAUGCGAUUUGAUAUUUUCAACUUUCUGGUAGUCUAGCUCCUUGAAUGUAAUGUUUUGGGCAAUGUUGUGAUAUGACAUAGAAUAUUUUCCUCUGAAAACGGAGCUAAGUUCAUAGAACCUGGGUAGCAUAUUUCCGGAAACCAACUUCAUUCGAUCUUGCACUGUUUUUGUUCUGAUGCCCGUGAAGCUGUAAUUUGAGAAACGAUUUAAAUUUCUUUGUACUAAUGCAGGUUGGAAAACGACCGCGCCUAACUGAAGAGCUGGAGGAAUUGACUGACUCUGGCCAGGAGUGGGAGGAUGUAGUAAUGGCUCAACUAGAGUCAGAGCCCAAGGGAUCAGAGAAUGAAUCCAGAGUACUAAAGAUUCUUGUUGCUUUGUACUAUUGGUGUACAGAGAGUCAUGUAAAAGACCGUCCAACUGCAAAGAAACUUUACAAUUUGCUUGCACAUGCAAGCCUGACUUUUGGAUUGAAAAGCCUAGAAGAGCAAGAAUAGGUGUCGAUCAGGCAGUAAUUUAUUCUUGACCCAGAUUUUUGUAGCCUUAGGAAGUUGGGGAAUAGAAUUAGAUUUUAGUAGCACUUGGUCCACUGGGACCAAGCACACAGGGGUUACGCCUUAGAAGAGUAACAUUUCAUUUUCCAGUAUAGCCGUAGCAUGAUACAUAGUAGCUUUUACAUGAUAGAGCAUCACGAUCAGACGACCCCCCCGGCUCUUAAUAGGUGGAUUGUUUUCAUCAGAGGUUAGUUUGCCUUUGUAAUUCGUGCUCUGGUUCUGUAAGCCCUUUGUCAUUGUAUCCAUUUUCACUUCAGCCACAAUGUGGAGUCAUUUAUGCUGCUUAUGUAGUAGUCUCCAUCACAGUGCCAAGAUGUUUGUCUGGGAAAUUCAUCAAUCUAAGUCUGAUUAUUGGCUUGAAGCUUGAAAUUGAAAAUUAUCCUCAUCUUGCUAACAUUUGAAGAUUGCAGUACCGCCUUCUUAAUUAUCUUUUGUAGAUCUGUUCCCUUGACUUAGCCCCAAGGAAAUUAGACAGCAAUAAUACUUCCCAUAUUCUUGUACGAAACUGUUGGAUAAGCGCAGUUGCUACAGAACCUGAGGUUUUUCUGGCACUUUGUCGGGUGUGCUGUUACUCAUACGCUCUUCGUUCUACUGUUUCAUAGGGGUCCUAUUAUAGAAGACCUUUCCGCAGUACUGUAACGUGCACUGAAGGCGUCGUGGAUUGGGAAGCCAAUUAGCAUAUGUGCCAUUUAUUUUAAUAUCCUCCUUGGAACUGCAAUAAUUGGUCAUUGUGCAGUCCUUUUUUUUUUUUUUGGUCGGAGUAAGCGGGAGAUCUUGAACUCGAGAUCUCUUGUUUGGAAUUUUCAUUACUUUAUCAAUCAAUCCAACUCUCCUCCUAUGAUAAUUGGUCAAUUCCCCAAUUGCAAAAAUCCAAUAAAGGAGGUAUUUAUAUACAUUAUAAUAUCACUUAACCUAAACUCAAAGCAAAAACAUCGGUUGUGCUCAAAACAAACCACAAAAACGAAAGCAUACAAUAGAUGAUUAGAAGUUCCUAACAUAUAUGAAGUAAUUUGUUUCUUUUGGUCGAGAAAGCUUUUGUAACCUGGCAGAUUCUGGUUCAAAUCCCUUUUCUCGCUUCUUAAAUCUCACCUAUUUCUUGCUUUAGAAAAAAAAAAAAGGGACUUAUUUUUAUUUUCUGUUGAAUGAAAACUAAUCGAAUACAUAAGUACAUUUUCUUGAGUGCAUAUUUGUUGAGCCCGACCCAGUUAACAUACGACUCAUACGACUUACAGCAUCAUUCAACUUGUCUAGAGAGCAUUUCUGCGGAAAUUUUCUUCAGUCGCCUAUUUCAAAGAUCGAUGGCUUAUGGAUGGCCUGCCAGAAGUCUGAAGGGUUGGCAUCACAAUGCACAUUCUGCUCUACCACCAUAGCCAGGUGAUGCAAUAAUAACCUCUCCCCCCUACCCUGCCGAAAGAAAAAGCUUGGGAGCUUUUUGUCGAACAUAAAAAAUGCUACAGAGAUGAAAAGGUAUCCAUGCCUCGACGGUUUGAGCUCCAUAAAGCUCCUAACCGUUUGUGGCCUAGAUUUGGAUGCUAUAAAGCACACUGCAUUUUCAAUUUUUGAGAAUUAAGACUGAUGCUUGUGCACUAACUAAAUUUGACCCUGUGGAGAAUUUUUUGUACACUUCCUUCAUAAAUUAAUUAAUUCAAUCCAUCUCUGACCAAAAUGUAAUUAUAUAUCUCCCUGGCUUAAAAUGUUUGUCAUGAACCAUUAAACGUCAUUGAGCUCUCAUAUCGAUACGAAAAAUGUCUAAAACGUGUAAAUGCUUCAAAUGCUCUGCCUCCCAAGGAAGGCUUCAUAUUUGUCGGUUGCAUCAUCAUAAGUACAGUUUUUCAGUCGAAUUUUUAUCUUUUUAACCACUUUUAUAUCUCAAUCUCAUAUACAUAACGUUGCAAAAAAUUCUAUAAUAAUAUUCUAAUUUUAUUUUUCUAAAUAAUCUUCUAUCUAUAGUGGUAAACACACAACAUACACAUGAAAUUUUAAGCGUGCUACACAGAAUCUUACCACCAUAUUAACCGUAAUCACACUUAACAGCUAAAUCCUGGCCGCCAAUCAUGAAGGGUUCUUGAGGCCCCAUACAUGAGGAGAUGAUCGGAUCCAUGUUAAAUGAUUUUGAUUUUGUCAAAUUAGUCCAUGUCAGGAGGACCAAUAAUGUUCCUGCCCACAUCGUGUCUAACUUGUCUUUAUCUCUUGAGGGAAGAAGGGUCCGGUUUGUAAACUUCCCCAAGAAAGUGUCUGAUGCUGUUCUUGCGGAUUUAACAUGAAUGAAAACUCCCUUUUAAGCUUAAAAAAGGGAAAAAAAAAAAGUACAUACACAUGUCCUCUUCUUCUUCAAUUUUUUUUUUGGGGUGUGGAAAAUAGUACCUAGAGAUGAUAAAUGGUGGUACUAGCUACCGUACUAGUACUAAGUGAGAUAUAAUUGGAUGUCACUCGAACAAUCCUUGUCUGAUCCAAUUGGCAUCCUCCGAGCUACUGGGCAAGCACAGACUAGUAAAUGGGGUUGCAGCACAUCAGAAGCAAAAGCAUCAUCAGGAGCAGCAGAAUGCAGCUGCAUUUUUCCUUCUCCCUGCCCCCCUUGAUGCAAUCUGCUGUGACCUUUUUUCAAUGACAAUGUCCUGUAAGCCCUUCCGAAAGGACGCACAUUACAUUUAUAUAUGCAGAGACACAAGGUGUGGGAAGCAGGAAGAUCCAGUAGUAGUACCCCCCCCUCACCUGCAUGCUUUCGCAGCCUACAUCUGCAGAAUUUGUAUUGCUUCAGCCCAGAGGACCACUCUAGUCUACUACCAGCCAUCACAACCCUCUUAUCUCCGCAGGCCUGUUUUGUACAUAACUCUGAUUAGGACCACUUGCACCCCCCACAGUCCUCUAAAAUCCAGGCUUUUUAGGGUUCUUAGGGGACACAAAAAAGACCUACUCUCCAUGCUUCAUGUUUUUGUCUGUGUGUGAAAAAAGGUAGGGAAGAUAAAUGCAUGUGUUGCUAUAGCAGUGUAUGCUGGAAAUGCAGUAAUGAGUAAGAACAGUACACCUUCAAAUGAGCUUAUCAUCUUUUAGCUGGCCGAAGACAAUUCCAUACAGUCAUAUGCCUACCAACAUGAACAAAAUCAAUUGGAAACUCAUAAGCAUGGGUAACAGAAUCAAUUGGAACCUCCCUAAAUUCACUUAUUAAGUUAUUCUUCUGCUUAUGUGCAUUUUUUUCGUAGUCCCUAAAUUAACUUGUUAGUACCAUUAUAACAGGGGAAAGUUUAAUUGUUUGCCCAUUUAUUUAUCUGAUAAACAACGUGGAAUAUUUGUUUACAAAUCUUCGGUCAUUUUUUUGUAGCUUGUGACCCUAAAUUUUGCCCUAGAAUGUUUUGUUGUACAAAUCAGUCUCUUCUUUCUACUAUUACGAACCAGGGUGCGUACAAGAAAAAAGUAACUAGUCCUUUUUGGGUUCAGAAAAAAAGAAAAAAGAAAAAAGAAAAAAGUGGGGUUUUCACAGAUUCUUUGGCUAAGUAAAUUCACAGAGUACUUGAAAACUGAGGGAUCUAUUUGACGACAUAUACUGGUAGGAUAUUACGUGCAUCAGCAUAUUUGUGUACUUUGCAGACAUUGAUGAUCAAUUGAUCUAUACAUCAUAGUGUAGCCCAGUACUGGACAUUAAGGUUUGAACACUAGGCAAAACGAAAGAACAUCCUAGUCCAAAACAGAAAACACCAUCAGCUGAAUAGCCAGAAAUUUCUGCAUCUAACUAAGAAGCAUUGCACCUGAGGAGCCUCGAGAGUUGCCGACUUUUGAGGUUUACUCGGGGUUUAGGUUUGUAAAGUCACAAAAGUCUUAUGAAAGGCUUUGACAAAAAAACUAAGAAGCAUUGCAAAAGAUUACCUUCAUGACAUAUUGGUCCAAGGUGCCAUGAUUCUUAGCAGAUUAUCGAUGCGUGAGUUAUAAUGUAUGUGUUUAGUUUUUUUUGCAUAAGGAAUUGUAUACACGACUUUGUGUUUUUUUUUUUCCCUUUAUUCCCUUUCCUUCGACUGAGAAAUUGAUCAUCAAGGAUCAUGAUUAAAUAUACUUUCUUCCAGUUGAGAUUCUUAAACAACAAGGAAAAUCGAUUGCCUCAAAUCCUAUAAUGUUGGUGGUUAUCAUGUGUGCCAUCUAGUUCAAACAUCAACUUUUUCUUUAGAAAUUUAAUUUUCUUCAUCAUUUACUCUCACCAUAAAGAAAAGAGGGUUUUCAUUCAAUUGUUUUUGGAAGCUCCAAAACUCUUUUUUUUUUUUUUUAGAUUUCCCUUUUUUAGUGAUAAUAACAGAUAUUUCAAUUUAUCAUCAGUUUUGUAUGUAUACUCAAAUAAUGAUCACGCAAUUUUUUUUCUCACGAACUCAAUAGUGCAAGGUAGUCCUAUUGAGUAAAUGAGAUAAUGAACCAAAAAGCAUAAUCACUGGAGGGAAAAAUUGUACAAAAAUAUAGUUGCUAACUGCUAAUAAUAUAAACAAAACCCAAUUAAGCAUAGUAGUUAGGACUUGACUCAAUUAACAUACAAGACAACUAUAAAAAAAAAUAAAUCACCAAAAGAGUAUCACUUUUGAACAUAUCUAGCCAUGCCAAUUAAAAAAGCUAGUAAACUUAGAGCAUGCAUAUAUACAAGAACUUCACAUAAAUUACCAGCUAUACUCUAUUAUUUUCACCAAGCAUACAACACAAAAAAUCAUUACAUAAACUUAUGCAGAUAUAUAUGUUCAGAAACAUGGAUUAUGGAUAAUUAAUUCAUUUAUAUACCAUUAGUAUUCAAACUAUAUUAACACUAUAUUACCCGUCAUCAACAUAAAUCCUCAGAGAAAUCAAGAAGAAAAUAAAGAUUUAAAAAAAAACUUAAAAUAAGAAUGUUUGUGAUACUUCUUGCACUAGGUUCUUGUUUAAAUUUGUUGGAAGACGAUCACAAUUUUUUUUUGAUUGAACUAAAUCAAUGUGAAAGUUUAUAAGAAAGCUGAUGUUGCUUUUUAUAUUGGAAGAUGAAUGAAUAGUUGUCGACAGCUUUUAGAGUAACAAACAGUUAAUACUAGUUGUGAACUCUUAUACAAAUUAUACUAUUAGACGACUUUUAUUGAAAUAUCGGAAAAAUUGUAGAAGUACCAGUUGCAACAGACGUCUAUAACACUGAAUGUUACACACGUCUGCGGUGUAAUUGCUACUCAAUCAAAAAAUCUAUAACAAUAAUCUAUGUCAGUAAGUGAGUAGAUUGUAAAUUUCAUAUCAAAAUAUUUUGCUACAAAUUAAGUAUGAAAAGUUAAUGUGUUGCAACAAAUAAUAAAAUUUGGUAACAUUAAUCCUUCAUCAGUCGGAUGAAUGUGCCCAUAAAGAAUAGAGUAAAUCUUAUAUACACUGAUAGUAUAUACAUUAUCACCGUUUAAUUCAUGAUAUGCAUGCAAAAGUUAAAUUUCAAAUUCAAAUAGUUGUCGUUCAUCCAACGCUGACAGUGUAUACAUAGUCAGUGUAAGAAUGAUUAAUCCUAAAAGAUAAAUAUGCCUAUAGUCUUUGGAAAAGUCUUGUUUAUGUAUUCCGAUUUAUGUGUAAAGGAUCUGGCAGCAUAUUCCCCUUCUUCUGGUGAAGCAAAUUCUGACUGGGGCUUCUCGAGAUAUGUAGUUGAGUUUUGUACUUUGGUUGCACAUAUCUGCUAGAAAAAUCCUAUAGAUAAAGUUCAAAAGGUCUCGUAUGCUGAUAUGCACUACUCUGACGUAUUUCUCCUCAAUUAGUUUCCUCGAAGCAGUUGCUUUUUCUAUAUAUUAGAAAACUCCAAAUCCCCCCACCCCCUCCAAAAAAAAGAAAGGAAAAGACUUUUAUGCUCAUGAAAAUAAUUUUUGGGAAUUUUUCCGGAUUGGCUUCUACCUAGCUUUUCACUGCAUAAAGUCUCACGGACUAAUGCCAUUUUCGUGGAAAGGAAUAAAGAAAAUCAUCAUUGAAUCAAUAUAGAUAUUACAUAUUCUUCUUAUUAAAGUAAUAUUAGGAAUGAAGACGAAUGUAUUGCAUAGAAGAACAUAUAGAUAUUGAAAAACACAAACGUAAAAAUCUAAGAUACCCUUCAUAGAUCAAUUCAAUUCAUUGGUUUUUGUCAGUUUUUAUUCAACAACAGCAUUUCAAAUUAUUGUGAUUUUUUAACACUAAACUUAAGCUACAUAUAGAUGUGCCAUCCAGCAGAGAUAUAUUUUUAACAUGUUUCAUCAGGGAAAGAACAAGUAAUUGAAAUUGCAAGUCAAUCAUAAUCAUUAUUGUUGUACACUUUUGGGGAAAAAUAUGAUAGAAUAUCAAAAAGUAAUAAUUUGCCUAGGACAAAAUGAUUAUACAUAAUAGUCUACUGCUGGCAUCUUGCAGGUACUAUAAUCCCCAUGAUCAUAAAUAUCGCUAUUCAGUCAUUUUCUCCUGAAAUAGCUUCAGGGAAAAGUAUGUUUUCAGUUUCUGCACUAUUUAAAGUUUUUGAAAUGAGAUGCUGAUCAGUUUACUUUUCUCGUUACUUCCCCUUUGCUUGGCUGUCUUAUGGUUGGUGAAGAAAUCCUAGACCUCAGGAAAGCCAAAUCUGUUGUCUUUCUUCCAUUCUCCAAUCCUCAUUUCACUGAGGCAUUGUUCAUUUUGAGAGGAUGUGAGGGGAAGGAAAGAAAAAGGAAAGGAAAAGGAGGGAUAAAUUUGAUGUUUUGAUUGGUUUUUGAGGAAGGAAAAGAAAUGUUAGGGAGGGAAAGGGAAAGAUAAAGUCUAGUCAUGAUUUUUGGUCAAUCUACUUUCCGUCCAAAAGUUGGUUGAAAUGGAGGGGAAACAAAGCCAAGAUAAAUGAAACUUUUAAAAUUUCUUAAAAGGCCUAUGUAUUUUUUUAAAUUAAGCUUUUAAAUUAUUAUGAAUAAAAACAUAACUAAUGCAUGAUAGUUUCUUUUUUUUUUUUUUGUCUUUCCUAAUCUUUUUCUUUUCUUAAUCCAACAAUAUUUUAAAUACUUCCUUUCUUUUUCCUUCAUAUUCAAUUCAAACAAGAUGGAUGAAAUUUAUUUUUCUCUAUUCUCCUUUUGUUUCUUUUUCAUUAGAGUCCUCUCCUUUUCUUUUUUUCUUCAAUCCAAACAAGAUGGAUGAAAGUUCCCUUGUUUCUUCUUCUUCUUCUUUUUUUGAAAAAAAAAAAUCUCAUUUUUGAUUUUUUUUUUUUAUCAAUCGACACUUGCCUAUUAUAUGCAUAUUCCUACUUUAACCUAUACUAAAAGGAGAAUCCAACUGAGCCAUGGAGGAAUCGAUGGAGACUGAAUCACCAUCGCACCAAACAGGUGCGCAUUACGCACCCAUAUAGAUUUAAAUCACUUAAAGUAACAGUCACAUAUAAUGAUAAAUAAUGAAAGAUAAGAUUUGAAUUCUUAAUCACACGGCCGUCAAACCUUAAGUCUUAAAAGGCUGUGAUGACAGCCAACAGCCCAAAUGGCUAUCGGUUUCAUUUUCGAUUUCAUUUGCUUCACUAGUCUAGUUUUCAUCUUAGUAAAAGAGCUGCACGUAACAGUUGAUUGAGACAUCCUGGAUACUCGACUUUAGUAUUCUACUACUAGCUAGGCCGAGGUGUAUGCACAAAACACGUAUACACUUGUCAAAACCCCACCAAAAAAAAGAGGAGGAAAAAAAGGAAGAUACCUACAAUAUAUGACAGAGAAUCAACCUUCUUCACUCAUUGACAUUUCAUGUCACAAGAUUCUGGAAGUGUUGGCUCAUCAUUGAACAAGUAUAUAUAAUUGAAUAUAGAGAGAGUCAGGUGUGCGUAAAAUAUGAUGAACAAAAUGCAUUGAUGAGGAAUAAAAUUUCGGCCAACCGAAUAUGUAGCAGAAAGGCCAAUUGAAAAUGAACUAGUAGUAUAAGAAAUGGUUGCUAAAGAAGAAUCAAGAAUGUUCUCUUUGGCCCCUUUUUUUAGCAGAUAAAAUCUUAAAAGUCUGAGGAGAUCUAAUUAAAAUCAUAUUUCAAGAAUACUAUAAUCAGUAUUCCUCUUUGCUAUCUAGAUCUCCUCCCCCUCUCGUCCUAUUGUUAUUGCUCACAAUAUUCUGGAGAGCGACAAGGGCAUAUGUCCUACAGGUAGGUAUCCUAUGGACUAGGGAACCAAAAAAUGUGUAUUAAAAGCAAUUUAGCAGAGGAAAAUAAUUUGAUGCAAGUCAUUUUCCAGAUGGUCUGCGACAGUUCAUCAUCAAUAUUAUGUAUAACUAGCUAGCUAGUCUAGCCUGCCCAGAUGGUACUAUACGAUACAUCCCAGCUGGAACCAAUCAAAUGAAAUGAAUGGCAAGUAUCCCACAAAUGGCAUUUUUAGAAGGAAAUGCCAAUUGAUUCUGCUCCGCGAGGAGAUGAUUUUUUAGAAGGAAUGAUUUUUUUCAAAUUCACAUAACAUUUACGAUUGAUCUGCGAAAAAGGUAGACAUCCACUUAAUAAUUAGUGGUACGUUUUUCUGGCUAAUUGAGAGAUGCUGCUCUUUUUCUUUCUUCUUUCAUUCAUUUAUUGUGCAAGACCUACGAAGCCAUGCGAUGCAAGCAAACUUCAUGGUCCCCUACCAUUUUUAGACCCUGCUUUAGGAAUUGGCCUGCCUUUCUUAAUAUGUGGGCUAUUUUUUUUGACGGAGAGAGAUAUAAAUUUCGAAUCUACACGUACGUAUUGGCAUGCACCCUAAACUUUUAAAGCUAAUUAAUGUGCAGGUGCAGUUGGGAAUUAUCUGUGUAAUGUUGAAAUAUUGACGUGAAUUCAUAAGCAAAUUCCACCUCUUAAAAUUACCGGAUUCAAAUUAAACGUGAGUGGGUCGGAUAAUAAUUCAAAUUUAAAACGUUGAACAAUGUUUAAUCCAAUCGUCAAUAACAAUUCUUUCACCGUCCAACAACGACGGCGGAUUUCACUUGUGAAUAUGAUAUACCCAAAUCAAAUCAAAAGGAACCAUAGAUAUGACAUAUGGGUUAUUGGAAUGGGAAGAUAUGAAUUUCAUGUCUGCAUGUGGGCAUAAGUGCAAUUCGCAAAAUAUUAUAUUUUCUUGUUACGUGAUGACUGACGGAGAUUCAUAAAUAAAUUCUGCCUCUUGAAAAUAUAUAUCCAAGUCAAAAUAGGGGUACGGUUCGAAACGAAUUCCAUCCUUCGGAACCGGAGAAAUUCCGUGAUAAAUACCCAACCGAACCGUGCUUGCCUCUUUUAUUAUCUCCUGAACCUAGACUACACUAGGCUCAGUGACUUCCUUGAUAGAUAAAUUUGAAAGUAAGUGCACAGAGAGUGUUAGAUGCAUACAUGUACAUACAUAUAUAUACACAUAAAGGCGCAGAGAGGAGGUGGAGAGCAGAGAGGGGGUGCAUGAAAGGGUCCCCCCACCGUCUCAACCCUAAAGUUAAUAAAUGCUCUUACAAUAAUAAUAAUAUUUAGAAACUCUCACUAAGCUGUCUGGGAUCUGCAUGGUGGUGGUGGUGGCGGUGGUGGUGGCGUGACAAUAUUCAAUUUGCAUCACCAGGGACCACUUUGCAUCUAACAAAUUUUGUUUCCAUUAUACUACAAUUUUCCAAAUCUUUUCAGUCACCAAUUUCCUUAUCUUUUUUUUAUCCAAUAAAAUUGACAAACCCCCUCCCUUUCUCUCUGCUCCCCGCCUCUAUUUAUAGCCAAUUUGCCCUCCCUUCUCUAGGCGAGCCUUUUACAGAAGACGAAGAGGAACCUGGCCCCUUGUAGCCAUAUAGGUCUCUCUCUUUAGUCUUUCUCUUGACCUACACACCCUGGUAGGAGAAGGGUCAUGAGGGAAUAGUUGUGCAGCUCAGUUUCUUGGCCGUGCUUCAUUAUCAGUUGAAGCUGCCAGCAUGAUCUAAACCUUUCUCCUUCGUUUGAGGAAAGAUCAGAUCAUGUGGUAGCUUCACCUGUUGGUGAUGACACGAAUAUGAAUGUACGGACCCUAGUUUUCUUUCUUCUUACUUGUCAAUUUUGUUAGUCAUACAAUAGUAGUUAUAAUUCGGUACCAUUCACUUGGUGGAAAAGGUAUGCAAUGUGAAAUUUCUUGCUUCAAUAUUUACUACGGGAUAUAUGGUUAGUUUUUCAGGUGGGGUGGGAGAGCUUUUUAUUGUGUUUUCAGGCGUUUUCGAUUGAUGAUUAAGGUUAAUAUGUGACAGGAAACCUGUGUCAUGGGAAUUGCAUGAUUCCAAGACCCUUUGUUGUGCUUUGGACUUCGAGCUAUGAUAUGCCUAAUUUUACCUUCCUGUGUUGGGUAAUAGUCUCAGUUUUCGUUAGUGUCUUUGCUUUUUCAAGAACAGAUUUCUAAAUGUCAUGCGAAAUAUGUGUGCCACGGAUGACUACUCAUUGAAAAUAAAUUGCAUUGCCUCUCCAAAUAUUUCAAGAAAAAGCCUCGUUCUUCAUGGGAAUUAGAAUCCGGGAUUAGCCCUGUCCUGAUAUCCUUCUUACCUGAGUAGGGUUUCCAGUUCUACAGGCCGGGAGUUGGUGAGUAAUGUUUUCUUUUCAUUUCUGUUUUAAAUUUUAGAGAUAAUUUUGAAGAUUCUUUGAGUUAAUCGUCUAGCUCACUUCUCAGCUUUCGUGACUCCUAGCAAGUUCCCGUGUAGAAACUGAUCCUGUCUUAACAGUCAAUGAUACAGUACUAGGGUUUCCGGAAGCUCAUAAAAUCUUGAAGAAACGUGGGAUUAUAAUGAUAAGUACCCAGAACCUUGAAAUUAGUCCCAGGGGAUCACAAGUACUCUAUCAUUGUCUCCAGUAGGCAACGGUAUUAAGAAGAGCAAAAGAUUUUUUUUUCUCCUUUGCCCAUCCACAAUUUCUUGCUCUUCCUGAACUUUUCUUGCCUUGGAUGUUUUCCUUUUCCAUCAAUGUUUCUUAGCUUUUUCUGAAGUGUGUUGUGUUGGGGAGGGUGGUGUAGCCAAACUAUGAGAGAAAGAAAGCCAUGGGAUGGACAAGAACAUGUGUUAUCCGCCUAUUUUAGUUGUGGCCUUGGGAGCAUAGUCUCCUUAAUUUGCAUCUUGCUUGUUCUUCUAACUUGAGUCAUGGAUAUUUUGUGAAGAAUAAAUGAAACUAGAUAUUUAACUUGAUUAUAGUUGGUCCGAGCCUGAGAGGGUUAUAACAGUGAUGUUUCACAGCAAGGUGUCCUUUUAUAUUUCAAGAUACCAAUAUCCUUAAGCAACUAUCAGAUCUGAAUCAUCUGAUUGUGCAGUACCAAAAGAUGUAUCUUUUCACUUGGCUUGACAUGAGAAAUGAAAGCACAAGUGCCCCACGCAUUGAUGAGACCGUUUGUGUUCUGAUAUUUUAGUUACAUCCUCAUCUCAAUAUCUUCUGUCAUUUCCAGGAAUUGAAGUUUCCUUUGCAUAUGCCAUUAUCACUGUCUCAUGAUUGAGUAGGAAAUCAUUUUGCUUGCAGUUUGAUUUCUGAAUUUAAAAAAAAAAUCCUUGCUUUGACACAGCUUUGCUCUUUGGAAAUGAUCAUUUGACUAGAGCAUAUGGACUCCAAAAUUUUCUUUACAUAACUAUUUCAACUUGUACACUCAUAUUGACAGCUGAUCAAUAGGAGACAAAAUUCAUAUCCAUUACAUAAGUUGAAAACUCCCAUUUGGCUUUGCUUGCAGCCCUUCUUAGUUUUCUUUAUGUAGAAUCUCACUUAUUGGUUUCUUAAAUAAUUUAUUCAGUAAACCAAGUAUAAAAUCUGAUUUAACAAAUAGGAAGGCAGUAUCAAUAUUGUAGCUUCAUGAACAGUGGCAUGCAGGUAUUCCAACAGCAAGUCUAUUUCAAGACUAAAAUUUCUUGUGAGCUUCAAUUAUUCUCCCCACCUCUCUCUCUCUCUCUCUCUCUUGCACCAGAUAGCUCCACCUCCAUCCGUUUCUUUCUUUGUCUUACUCUUCUGGUGAGAGGAGGUUGUUUUCCACGGUGCAGUUGUUGAGAGCAGCGAGCUUUGGCUUGUUUUUCUAGUUGGGAAAUUUUCAUUUUUAGCAAGAUUCUUUGAACCUUUCAUAUCCAUCAGUACACUAUAUAUGUGAAACGUCAUUGAUUCUCCCAACUAUUCCCAGGGACCAUUCUUUAUAAUUGAUCUUAUUACUGAUGGAAAUAUGGAGAAGGGAUUCCCCUUUUAGGGUUCGUUACAUAGCAUUAAGGGAACGGUCCCCUCAAUUAACAUUUCAACAACAAUGUCUUUCGUUGGAAGAACUAGACAUUAUUAAGGCUAACAAGAGCACAGGUGAUAGUGAUACAGUCAGCGUCUCAAUGAUUUCUAGCCAAAAUGUAAUCCACUGAGGUCUGAGAACUGGAGGCCCUAGUCACCUUUUACCCCAGCAGGCAGCAAUGACAGAUAUGAACUUGCCCACAUUCCCCUUCCCCACAUGCCUGGAAAGGAAUGGUUUUUUUUUUUCUUCCCUUUUUAAAGAAACACAACUAAAAUUGAAGUGACAAGGAAACCAAGGUAAUUAAAAAGGACUGACUCCAAGAACAGCAUUAUAACAUGACUCCCACCAUCAUUAUUUUUUACAAAACGUAGAAAUGCUUGUUCAGCCAAUGUACUUACGCAGCAUUAGCCAUGUCUUCCAAGGAUUACUGCAUUAAGUGUUGACAUUCUUUCUACUGCUCAUCGGAGUUGCAAUUCAAGAGUUUCGACUGUUUGGCCACUCCUAAUGAUUAUCAGUGAUUGACUGCCUGCUUUUUGAAAGAGCUGCUUCUGAUUCUUUGGUUAAAAAGAUAACAAAAAGAUGAUAAGUUAUGCUGAAUGCAUUUAUUUACACUGACCAUGAAUGCUUCCAGUGCAAAUCACACCACAAAAUCAAUGGGCUUGGAAGUAAUCAGAAUCGGUUUUAGGUUCUAUCAGUUGAGGUGUGAGCUUGAGGGCAUUAUCAUGCCAUGGCCUUUUUCUUUGUUUCAAAUGAUAGGAAUUUGUGUGAUAAAUCUUAGGAGACAGUCAUCUUGUACUUUGGUAGACAAUCAGCUAUAGAGUAAGGUUUCAUAAUUAUAAGUAGACAUGGUGAGCCGCUUUGAGUUCAUAUCUACCAACAGCUUGUGAUAGGAAAAAAAAAAACUCUAAAUCAUUUCAAUUUCAAUAACUGCAGAAGAACAAUAACAGCAAAAGACUGAUGGUGCUAAGAAUUAUUCAGUUUACCAAGUGGAAGUAACUUCAUUUGUUUUAAACUCGGAAGAGAGGGGAAAAAAAAGCUUUAUAAUGAGCCCAAAAUUUACUCUGUAUGUACAAUCUACAAGCAUAGCGGGACACAAGAAGAGUGGGAGAAACUUGAAACCAAAUUGGCUGAAGCCAAAAUAGUGAAAUUUGAUAUAUACAUCAUGAUUUAUGACAUUCAGAUUCCAAUAUAUCCUACAUUAGUGGAGGUGCUUUGAAUUUUAGCAUGGUUCAAAGACAUUAUUGUUGAGCCUCAGAAUUGAUGCUUUCAGCAAUGUUUUGGGCUACCUUCUGUCAUCCUUGUAGUUUUCAUGCAAGCUAAAAUACAUACGAUUCUCGGGGGCAUGGUGAAAAUGCAACAAACUGUGAACUGUGUAUUUCCUUAAUUAAGAACCAUCCUUUGUUCACUGGAAAGCUUAUUCUCUUCAUAAAUUCACUCUGAAAAGGUGCAAUUACUGAAAAUUUCAAGGGCACACCUCUAACUGUAAACAACUUGCUUCCACUCAAAAUAGCUCUCAAUUUUCAAAGUUUGUAAAUGAAAUCCUGACAAUUAGAUAAACCUAUAUAUAAGCGUCCAUGCAUCCGUUGUCAUUUUUUAAAAGACAAUUGUCUCCAAAACUUUCUUUCUUCCUCAAAUGGAUCAUUAACACUAGAUGUCACAGUUUAGGAACAAUAAAUCCCAGAGCUUCUUGUCUGCCUUUAAAAAAAAAAAAAAAAGCAACAAGAAGAAGUACAAGUAGAAUAGAAUUGGAAGCUUCAGUUGCAAAAAGGGUGGAAUUUAAAGUCCCAAGUUUCGCAAGUCACUAAAACAAGAGCAAAUUGACAUGGUCAUCUGGAUAUUUUGCUAUUUAGGACAGCCAACUCCCUUUUUGUGGUCUUUUCUUGUUUCGACUUCCAAUACGUGUUUACUGUUAACAGUGCAAUGCAAUUUGAUUUUUGUUUUUUCAAAAUGGCAAAAAGCUGACCAUUUUAGGACGCCUGUUGGAGCUUGGAAACUUUGACAUUGAUUUUCCCUCCGACAAAAUCCCUGUCCUCUCGGCGGAUUAUGCGCACAAAUAUUUUAGAAAUUCUUAGUUUGUGCUGUCAACAAAAUCAUGGUUAGAUUUAGUCUGUAUAUAUUGGUCAACCUGCUUGAACACUAUUUGAACUUGCCACCAGAUGUAAAUGGCAUCAUUUUUUCUUUCUUUUUCAAGGGAGACUUCAUGUCCAAUUUGGACCAUAUUAGCUCAUGAUAUUAUUACUAUGGGUAGAUCCCAUCGUCCGUACUAGGAAAUGGCAUCAUUGCCAACUUUUUAGGUGUUUCAGACCAGUAGAAUUGUUCAGGGAUCAUGUACUUUAAGCAUCCACUUUGAUAUGCAACCUCAGUACUUUUAGCCAAUGCUCAACUUUAGCAUUAGACAGAAAGCCAUUCAACAGCAAGCGGAACCUGUAAAUAUAAUCUAAAGCACAUCGUUGAAGCCAUGAAGGAAGGUACAGCUACUUUUUACAUCAUUCAUCUGAUUUCUGAACCAUGCAACAUAGCAUGACUAGCCGUCCAUUUACAAAGAGGCUCUACGUUGCAUGUAAACUACCUUACCCCUGAUUUAUAAGCUACCUCUGCUACUCGCUAACUAUCCUCUGAUUAGCAAUAAAACAUUACCCUUUUAACAUUUUCUUUUAGCGCUGGCAAUGGUCGUACACCAGACUCUCCAGCUGCUCUGGAACUUUUUCUUCCAGCAGCAGCACAUCCGUUCUCCUGCAAAUCUGGUUCCAUGUAGAAUCUGGCUCGGAAUGCAGCUAAAUGUGCAUAAUAAGCAGGAGGAACUGCACAAAACCGGAAAUUCUCAAUGAUGUUAAGAAGAUCAAGUACAACACAAAUGAAAAUAUUCAAAGGACUGAGGGAGCAUUAAAAUGUUUCAUCAAGUAGAACAUAAAGACACAGGUGAGCACAAAAUGAUGAUCUAGGUCAAAGAAGAGGGUGGUUCUGUGCCUCUGGCCGCCCUGAUUGCAGCUGAGAAUAUCUUUGAAGCAUACGAUAUGCGAAAGUUUUAAUUAACUUUGUGUGAAAAAAAAACUUCCAGAAUCACCAAGAUAUUUUGAAGGUGGAUGUUGGAAAGACGGGGAGGAAGAGUGGGAGAGGAAAGUAUGGAGUUCCUCAAUCAAGCCCUGCUAGCAGGCACCAAGUGUUGUAAGGCGACACACGAGGUAAUAUCAUGCUAUUUCCAACCAAAAUUAUCUUAACUUAGCAUAGGCCACAAGAAGUUAAAACAAUUCAGCACAUGCUCUUCCAAAUUCGUAGUCUUUAUCUUUUUGGCCAACUUCCACCUUUCUAUAAUCUGUUACAAUCAUUCUUUUAACUUUUUAUCCUUUUUUCUGGGGGAAGGAGGGCAUUUCCACUCACCAACAGAAACAGAACGGGUGCACCUUGCAUAUGUAUAGCAGAGAUUGUUUGUCAAUGACUGAAUGCCAUCCGCAGUAAAAUUGUUCUCAUCCCAUAAAACAUGGUAAUGUGCUGGUCGACUUGUACCCUGUCAUGGCAGAGAAUUAUAUGUUACCAUCUCAUCCUGGAGGUAAAACCAAUGUAUAUAUAGAGACAUGUUAAAAAAUAAAAUAUAUUUGUAUGUCAUAUCACAAUAAGCGAAUCAAUUAUCAUCUCAUCCUAAAUGCAUUAUAGAAGUGAAAAUAAUGUACAUGUACUAGCGAUCCCAAUUUAAGUCUAUCUUCACAAUGAGAUUGGCCAAAAAACCCGAUCCACUCAUCUUUCCAAACUGACUUCUAAGGUUCCAUAUUGGAUAGAAAAUAAUUUUCAAAUACUAUUCAGAUUAAGCCUUUGCCUGACAAAAAACUACAUAUGAGUGUUAUUUCUUUUCAACUAGAAGUGUCAUGAGCUCUUGGUUCCAUAAGAUCAUUCAUACAUACUAAUGCAAGAUGUGCAACUAAAUGGACAAGACGCGAACUCCUUGCUCUAUAAACAAAUCAUCUCUGGUCAUAGCACAAGUUGGCAGGCAUCAAGAUCCUCAGUUAUACAAGCUAAGGGCCUUAAGAUUAAUGAUGUUGUAGCAACAUAAGCCAAAAGCCAAUCUUUUACCUGAAUGCCAGCAUGGCUGCAAAGGUAAAAAUCAAAUUCUGUUGGGUGACAGAUUUUAGUGUCAACCACAGUGCCUAAGAAACAAGAGAUAUAUUGACAUCAGAUAAAUUCCAAAAAGAAAUAGAAGCAUUUCCCUAAAGAAAGAACUGUGCUUUGUAAACUGUAAUAGUUUACCAGGUAAUAUAUUUCCACUCUUGUCCAUGCUACUGCGAUCCCUAUGAUUAUUAGCAAAUAGCCGGGUGUGAUGUCUCUUUUGUACCACAAUAAAAGUUACUGGCGGCUGAUAAUUUGGUUCUAAAGAAGCACAAGCCUAGAGCAAAAAAGUCCAUUGAUGAGAACUGGAAAACAAGUGAUGAGAGCUACAAACCAAGUUGAAGGUGUUUGUAGAAAUGAACUUAAAGACCAUAAAUUUUACCAGUAAAAGAAAACUACAUACUCCAGGGACACGUACCUUCCGGAUUGCAUCUAAUUCAAAAAGCAGGACUUGAUAAAAUUGCCCUUCACUCACACCAUCCCUGUUUCAAUGAACAUCACUAUCAGACAUCAACUAUAGUUGUAAGGACAUUUAAGUGUUUUUUAACAAAUCUUCAAAGUUUCAAACCACUUUCCUCCACCGAAAAACCCACAGAAAACAAAAAGAAGCAUGUUUUAAAUAAGGCCAAAAGCACAGACUUUUAUUUGGCAACGUAAAGACAAUCAUCCUGCAAAGACAUAUUAGCUCAUUCUGCACAGUCGCAAGCAAACUCGUGGUUGGUAGGAAGUGACAUCAACUUUCUUAAAGAUUAAUUUUCAACCACAUCCUUGUGGCACUUACUCAAGUCUAGCAUUACAGCCAGACAAUACAAGACAGUUACUGACCUAUAAAAUAUGAUCCUUUGUGGCUUUUGACCAGUUGCCUUUCUGAAGGAAACCAAAAGAUCUCUGAAACAAGAAAACAGGAGAUGGUAAAGAACCAACUCUCUUGCAUUUCAAAGGAAAUCCCAGAACAAAAUUCCAAAAAGAAGUAAUAUUGCAAGCAGAAACACAGACAAACAAAAAGCAGCAAAUGCGAGGACUUCACAGACCGAAUCAUGCCACCACUGACGGUUCCACGGGCAGGAUCAUGCCAUGUCUUGUACAAAUCUUGUAUAAGCUCCUGUCUAUGAGCUUGAGCACAAACUAGUCCCGCGUACUUAGUGACUUCAGGCCAAUCCUGGGAAGCUACAACCUACAAGCAGAAAUAGUCUAAGCAACCUAAUAUUUCAAGAUAAAUAAUGCAGAGAAGUGCAAUUACAGUAAGUGAAGCAUACUGCAGCUAUUGACGGACUGGAGUCUUCUCCAUUCUCUGGAUGGGUUACAUCUGCUCCAAAUAUGAUGGUUGGAAUGUCACUAACCAAUGGUAUCCUACAGCUUAUAGCAUCCAAAAGUACGGUGUUUCUUCCACCCAUCUGCUUGCAUAAAUUGAGAGAUCUAGAAGUAAGGAGUACAUUGAAUAGGCCAAGCAAUCCUUCUGAGUGGAAAAGUAACUAACAAGGUUAAAGGUACUAAAACUUAUUGUAACAAGUAGUCAGAGAGGCAGCCAAAGGGGAUACUAUCAGCAAUGCAAAGCAAUCAAGGCUCAAUGAAGCCAUUCACCAGAAAUAAAGCUAUGAUCAAAAUAAUUUAAAAUAAAGUAUCAUUGCAUCAUUCCUACCUUAACAUUAAUUUUCAAGGACACAUUGGCCAAGUACUGCUUGCUGAUCUUGAAGACAUGCUUUGUCAGACAACAUUGUGAUAUCAAACCAAGUUCAGUUUCACAUAUUCUCUUCAGAUCGCCUAUAAAGUAGAAUCAAAUCGUAUUAGAUACAUUAGAUAAUGAUAGUAUUGAGCUCAUGCCAAUUUAAAAAAGUUUCUGUCUCUCAAACAUACCAUACAAUGAACCAUUGUUGUCUGGUAAAAUGGCUAACAGAAGCUCCAGUUCCUUUCCUCUUAGUCUGUUCAUACAAGCAUGAUAAACAUGCUUUAGAGCUUUCUCAACUUGAUCAGGCCUAGCACAGUAGAUUGGAAUUACAGGUUCUGAAUUGAAUUCCUGUAAUAGGAGAGCCAACUAUCAACAUUUUAACAAAGGGCAAAAAUUCAAUACCAUAUACUCUUUAGCACAGACUAAUCAAAGUAGAAAAGAACAAAACUCUACCAUGCCAGACACUUGACACAUUUGAGCCAAUUCAUUACAGAACCCACGAGCAACGCUCUCUUGGACACUCCUCGAGAAGUUGAUGCACGCCCACCGGCUAACAGUCAUCCCAUUGAUCAUUUUCUAUCAGCAUGAGAACAAGUAUUCAGUUGCAACUCCCAAAGAAGUCACAUAGCAAAAAUGUGUUGCAACAAUUCAAUUGAAAAGAAGAGAGACCCCAUCAUGCAUACUAAGGGUCCUUUUAUGGUUGGCCAACAAAUAACUAGCAUGCAUUACAAAGUUGCGCCUUUUUUUUUUGCCACUUGGAUUUGCUAGCUAACAUGGCCCUUUAUGUCGGAAAGGAGUAUUUUAUAUGUCAGUUGAGAAACGAGGGAGGGGGGGAUGACUACUAUUGUUUCAUAUCUCAUGUAAGUUGUAACCAUCUUCAACUAUAAUUAUGGCCUUGUAUUCAAUAAGUAACUUGCAAAAUGAUAUAGAAGCUGGAGAAGAUAUUUACAAGAAUUAAGUUGCAACAGAAUUUUCUAAUAAAACAGAAAAUUAGUUCAAGCAUAAUCAAUACAAAAAAAAAAAGAAAGUCUUACCUUAUUCAUCAUGUUCCACUGUCCAACUUGAGGCAAACAAUCCUUCUCUUUUCCAUUCUCAUGAUAUUUCAGCUAAAAAUAAGUGAAUGAUGUCGUUAAGGACAACAUAAGAUAUUCUUCACAGAUAUGAAUCAGAACAAAAUGCAUUCGUACCCAAGGCGCUGGAAGUACCCUUGCCUCCACAGAAGCUAGAUUUUCGCUAAUUUUGAUCCCAAAUUCCUUGGCAUAUGGAUCUUGAUCAUAUGCAUUUUGCUGAACUGUCUGCAUAGGAGCAGAACAAAAGGAUACCACAUCAAUUCCUCAGGCUCAGUUAACCUCACUUAAGACUUUCUGAAGUUCAGAAAUCAUAGAGUAAGCACUAAAUUUUAGGCACUUAAUUGAGAAAAGGAAGAGAUGCUAUGGUAAGAAUCCUAAUAGAGAAUGUGUAAUGUAGAAAUGGUUAUUAUUCAAACAACAUAACCAGGGACUUCAGUAUCAAGUUAAAUUCCUACUCUGCUACAUUGUCAUAGAGAUAAUCCAGAGCUUGAUAACUCCAAGGUUGUUGCAGAAGGCAGAAGCUUUUAGCAUGCAUCAAGCCUUAGGAAACUAGCAGAGAAUGAGGAUUUCAACAUUUUCUCCAGCUCAACUAUUCAACUAUAUGCACUCAAAAGGUAGUUUUUUUUUUUUGUUUAAUAGAUGGUGUGUAUGUUUUGGAUUGAUAAGACAUUCAAGUGGUGAAAUUUCCUCCGGUACCAUGAGAUUUGAAGGUCAAACUGAGACUGGAACUAGUAAGGUGAUUAGGUGAAGUACCUGCAAAAUGUCAUUUUCACGCUCCCUGGGUCUUUGGCAUGUAAACUUCAGAAGAGCUGUAAUUUGCUUCUCACUCAGCCUUUUUGUAUAUCUUUGGCCCUCAACAAUUUUACAUGCCUGAAAGUUCAAUAAAAUUAGAGCACAUGCAAGAACUUGAAAGACAGUAAAAAGUUGAACCCAUCCACUGGAACACAAAACGUUGACUAAUAAUCAUGUUACCUCCAUUGGUAGAUAGUUAGCCUUCUUUUGGUUCCCGACUUGAAGGCAAGGAAGAUGGGUAUACUGAAUUUUGAAGCCAUACAUUUCUUGGAAGUAUUCAACAACUGAUUUCAUCGUUGAAUUGUCAUCAACUGGAAAACUGCUUCAGAACUAUUUAUUAGUUUCUCUUGUUCAGCUUGCAAGUUCAAAUUGAGAGUGUUAACAUAAAGGACGAAUAAUAAUAAACACAUCACGGGAACUAGGGGUUAAACGAACUGAAACAGCAGACAAGAAUUUGUUUAAAAUGCCCAUGUUACCAGAGAGGAUGGGCUUGGACUAGUUAAGUUAGAUGCAACACAUUUCGUUUCAACAACUCUUUGUUCCAUCAACUUUCAAUUUGUUUAUAGGAUGAGGGACAGCUACUUAAAGAAAUGAACAUCAAUCUUUAGCGAAAGACAAAUAUCUUACACUAGUUCUCGAGUUGGUUGGGUUGUUAACCCAGAAACCCGAUACUUUCUUCGCACACUUCCCCUAUGCGUUACUUCAACUUUCACUCCUCUGAGUGCCUUUUUUAUCUGGAUCACAUUCGAAUUACAAAACCACUAUAGGCAUUUAGCAUAAAGUACUUCAAGCUUAUAUUUGCCAAAUUAAUAGAAAGUACCUUAACACGGUCAGAGUCAGACAAAGGGCGUGAUAUUGCAUCUUUUCCCAGAAGUUGGGCAACAAACUCUAUCACCGGAAGAGCCUCAAUAAAUGCAGCUGAAGCCAUAUCUUCAUGAAAUAAACAACAUAAAGUUGUGUAACCAUAAAAGUAGAGCCAUUGUGAUUUAAAUUUCUAAAUCACCAGGUAAAUUACCAAUAUUGAGAGACAAGCCCAUUUGAGUUGGUCUUAUACUCUGGUAGAACCCACACCAUGCUUCUAAGCCAUCUCCAAGACGUUGAGGCCUCCUGAUAACAGGAGAAAAGAAUGAUCUCCCCACUGGGCAGUACCUAUUAAAGUGUGCAGUAUAAAAUUAAAAAAAAAAGGAAAAAGAUGAAGGACAAAUGCAUUAGUUUUCAAGUAGUCAUAUUAAGAUACACUAAUAUAUCCAAGGAAGAAUAUACUACGUAUAUCAUUGUGAUACCUUUUUACAGAAAGCUCUCUCAACACAAUGUCAAGUAUUUGAAGAGCUUCCUGCGGACCAUCUGCCCGUUUCCCAGCAAGAAAUUGGCCUAAAUGAUGCAAAUUUGCCCGUGCAACAAACUUGAGUACAACUUUGUACUCCCUCUCUCUCCUGAAAUGAAUUCAGAUGUUCAACUAAUUACCACAACAAAUUUUGCUAAUUAAAAUUUGAAAGGUUCUGAUUGUAAAGGUUAUAAAGACCAAUCCUGUUGUAUUUUUAUUCUUAUGCUGAAUAUUCCUUUGAGAAUUUUUCAUCCUUAGCUGGAAAAUGAAGUCUUUAAAAUUUUAAAAUUGAGGUUUGUACUUUGUAGAGAGCAAUAAAACCAUACUUGGGGCCAUUGACUCCAUCCUCUUCAUCUAUUAACUUAAUUGUGAACUCUUUCCAAGCGAAAGGAAGUUCACCAGCAGUGUAUAGACUUUUUCUGCCAUCAAAUGCAGGCAAUCUCAUCCCUAAGUCAGAUUCUUUGUACAGUUUCACCAACUCUGCCAUGAUAGCUCUGUUCACGUUUUUAGACGCCACUUCAGGAGUUACAGUAACCUGCAAAAAUGGGCAGGAAUAAUUGCAAAAGGCAAUGAAAUAUACAGAACAUUAAGUACAAUGCCCAUUACCAUUUUCAAGGGCCAUUAAUGCUACUUAAAAGCAGAGGACAAGGAAGAGAAAUGAGCCUACUCAAUUUUACCUGCAAACUAACAGCAGAUACAAAAAGAAAAAAUAAAAACAUAAACAUACUGAAUGUCAGCCUAAGGGCCCCAGCAGUCGUGCCCCAAAUCAAUAAGUAUAAACAAUUAAUAACUCUGCAGCAUUACACUCAACAGUUAAGUUAAUGAAGAACAUGAAAGAAAAAAAAAACAAACACACAAACAACUUACAUCAUAUUGGUUCAAGUCCUUGUCCGGUAACUCUGCAAAGAAAUGGUUGGCCUUAACCAUACAUUUCGUUCCAAGUUGCCCAAACCCAGGUCUAGGUGCAAAACUCAAUGACUUGCUUGAAGAGGGAAAACCCAUGUCCACUUUACAUAGUUUAUUGUUCCCAUUCUUAGCACAACUACUUGUUGGAGUUGAUUCAACAGGACCAGCAGGUUCAGCCGAAACCGGCUUAUUUGCGGCAGUGCAAGGCCUUGAACUUGGCCGCAUCAAGGUGUCACCUUGAUCAGAUUUCCGGCCACCUCUUCCCCUUCUCCUUCCUCUAUUUCUUGAUGGAGGUGAGGACUGGUUGUAAGGCUUGGUGUUCUGAGUUUCUUGGGCGGGUGGCCCUUUGCCGUUUUGAGCUGUUUUGGGAUUCUUCUGAACUGGAUUCAUUGAGCUCUGGCACUGGGGUUUGAUCACGAAAUGCUGUUCUGAGCUCUCUUUCAUUUGCCUAAUAGGCAUGAUGAUAGUAAUGAUGAUGACAGCUUGCUUGCAAAGACUUUUUGUGCAGAAUACGGAAACCUGCUUAAAACAAAAAUUCUCCCCUUGAUGGCACAAUGCAAGACAGUCACCCUUUCUCGCAAUCACUAUUCAAUCUUCCCUCAUUACUCCUCAAAAAUUUAAGGCCAACCCAACUGCAAUCCAGAAACAGAGAAGAGAAGCCAUGUCACUAAAAUAACCCAACAGGGAAAAAAACCAGUAAGAGAAAUUGCGGAUGCUUAAACCAAUUUUCACACGCAAUAGUCAAAUGUCAGGCAUUCAACUUCAAGUCUACAUAUAGUUCUACACACAUUACCAUUCUUUUGCAAAACUAAGUAGCCCCAAGUUCUCGCACGUUUGUUUCAUCAACAAACACUACCCGCGACUUAGAAGUUGAAGUGGCUAUUGGACAUUUGAACUCCUAGAGUGAAGUAAAUCAAGAAUAUAUUCAAUAAAGAGGUUAACGAAGUAAAAAUAAUCACAUAUAACCACACAAUAAACUGUAUAUGAGUUUGGUAUUUCUAAGAAUUAUGUUCCAUGAACCCUUAUUAUGAAUGAUAUCUACAGUACAUGGAUAUAUUUCGUUAAUAUCAACUCUCAAUGACCCUGUUCAAAAAGAGCAUGGAAUAUCCAAAAGAAAAGGGGAAAAAAAGGAUUGUAACUAAACUAGGAUUUGGGCUGGAAAAGACACACACGUGAAGACAGAACAAAAAGAACACAACCCAGAACCGAAAUCGUAUUAGAUGCUUCUGUUGGAAACCCAACAUCCAUGAAUCAGGAUGAGAAUAGGAGAAUAAGUUGAUAAAGAUAACAUCUAUGUGUUGAAAUAUGCAUACAAAUACCAAUAAAUAAAAGUAAUAGGGGAAAUGCCCAGGAGACAAAAACCAUUCCUUUACCUUGUCUAUUAACCAAGACCAAACCUUUGCAUCAGAAAACUACAAAAUAUGGAUGAGUAAAUCCAAAGAAAAAAGACACCAGUAUCUCAUAUAUGCACAUAUAAACAAGCAUUAAUAAAUGUGGAAGGCAAAGUAUGACUGCUCAAGAAGAGAAUAAAAUUGCCUAGAAAGAAACAAAAGUCACAAGAGGUAAUAGUAGCAUGUGUGUAGCUAGAACAGAUAAAAGGAAUAAACAUUGAAAAACUCACUCCAACAAAAAUCACACUAUCUGAAGAAAGAUGGCCCCUAUACCACUGCUUCAUAGAAAAUGACACUGAGAUUUUAAAGUUUACUGAGCUGAGGUUUGAAGCUUUAAGGAAAAAAUGGUGGGCUAACAACGAAGGGAAGGGAAGAGAGCUAGAAAGUGGAGAUUUAAACUAAAAAGAUGGGAUUUUUGGUGGGGUGAUUCAACUUUCAAGAUUACAUGAGAGAGAGAAAAAUUGAAAUGUUGAAGAGAAAGAAAUUAAUAAGAGUGGUGAUGAUGAUGAUGAAGAUGAAUCUUUUCUAUCCACGCAUGCAAUUGCUUUUGGUGUUUUCUUUAUCACGUGUAAAAGGCUUUUCGAAGUCCUCUCCUCCCCUUUUGCUUUUCUCUAUAACUCUUGCUCUAUCUCCUCUUGCUCCCCUCCCAUCCUCUAAUGUAGACAGACACAAACGGGGACUCAUUUCUACCUGCUCCAAAAUGUGAUGGCUUGCCAAAUGAAAAAGAAAAUACACCACUCAAGCUAAAGGACAAUUGUGUUCGAGUGUGUGAGCUGCUACCUACAUGAAAGCAAAGAAAAACAGAAAAAGAAUAACUGAAACCUGCAGCCCUCACCAGUUCACAAAAUGGGAUCUUCUCUUCUCACUUCCACAGUUUUCAGUUUUGACAGCAACACAGCGCUCUUUCUUUUCUUUCUUCGCUCAUGCUUAUGCAUGCAUUUUGCUUGUCUUGGUUUUGUUUGGAUGCGAAGAGAGGAAGAGGACAAACUACAAAGGCAAGCAAGCCUUGUACAAUGGCAGCUCAAUUUUUUGCUACGGCUGAAUACUUUAGCUUUUAGCUUUGGCUUCUCAACAAGAAAGUCCCAUGAAUCCUAUCCUACGUAGUAGAGAUGUCCCAGAAUCUUUUAUUUAUGUACUCAAGCAGUCAAGCUUUGGUAAGCUGUAACGGUCGGUUCAAUCCCUCCAACUCAAAGAGUGAGAUGGCGUCCACUUUUCUUUAGGUUUUCGGUUUGGUCCACAACAUGUGUGGCCUUAUCUGCUUUUUGGAACUAUGGGAAUUAUUAGUUCCUUGGACCAGUUGGGACUGCAAUUAAUCACAGAGAUUUAGGAUUAGUAAAGUUUUUAUCAAUGCGUCCAAACAACUAAUGUUGCCAUGUGUCAUAUCUAUGUCCUCUAUUCUCGUUGUUGUCCAGUCGAUAAACACUUCUUGGUAGUUCAACUUUUUAGACUCGAUGCAUGUUCGAUACAGAUGCUAAACACAGCGCGGUACGACCUCAGUACAAUGUUCUCUGUUCAACAAAAGAUAGUAGAAUUUGUUUUGGAUCGUAAUUUUUCUAAAUUUUUAUAUUUUUUACGAGCAUAGUUUCAUAUUACUUUUUUAUCUCACAUAUAUCAAAUCGUUAUAUUAUAUUUUUCUAUCAAAACUUCUAAAUACAAUAAUUCCACCGAGUUUUUAGUAAGUCAAAACUUAACUCUCUAAUCAUUAUUCAUCUUAAACACCCUAGAAAUUAAACCACAUUAUCUACCUAUUUGUAUACCCUCUUGCUCUUUUUUUUUUCAGACAAAUUCUUGGUGUUUGGGGAGAAAACACAACAUAACACUAUUCAGAAUGUUCAUGCAAAAUUUUGAAAACAACUCUUAAUUCUCAAGUAUCAUAUUAAUUUUCUUUGAUGUGAAAUUUUGAAGUAAAUUCAUUCUUGGUUAUUUGGUAGUGCUACAUCCCAUGCAGUAUGCAAUAGAGUACUGCAAAGGCCUCAUCAUGACAUUCUCUGGCUAACUAGCAUUACUCUGUGCGUGAUUCUUAAUGAAUCUCACUUAAAUGGUGGCUCCACCAGCUGAAGGGGUGCUUGAUAAAUAUGAUAUAAUAAUGAGGUGAGACAGCAUGGGUCUGAGAUCAGAGGUGUUGAAAAUUGGGAACCAUUUUGAUCUGUGAGAUUGCAAAGUACAUGAUUACACCUCCAGGGAGCAAGGUCUUGGGGCCAUGAUUAGAAAGGGGAGGAAACAGAAUCAGAGUAGGGAUUGUCUAUGAUGGCAUCUUGGACUUGGAACUCAUGGGUCCUUAUAAUCAUGCUACUCUUGAUAAGUGAGAAGCUUUCUUGCGUGUUUAUUUCAGUAUCGUGUUUCAUGAUCCCACUCUUUGUUAUGUUAGCAUAAUUAGUUAAAUAAAAGUCGUGAUUGUUCCUGCGAGUACAACCCAUGAGUACCUGCUGACCAUGCGGUUCACAGAAUCUGUGCUCCAUUGAUGCCAUGAGGGGAGAUCAACUUCCUGUUGAUAUCAUCAUUAGGAGUCUGGGGGAGGACUGGAAAUCUCUUUUGUCACCUCAAUAAAUGACUACAUGUGAUUGGUAGUUAAGGCUAAUCCAGUGAAAUUGGAGAAAUACCAUGGGAUCCAUGACCAAAUUUUAAUAUUCCCUGACUUGAUCAAGGCAAAAGGAACAUCACAAACAUGAAACACACUACUAUCUUAUCACAAGACUUGUCUUCUAGAUAAUAAUGUGACAAGUUAGAUUCUCUUGUAGCUUAUGGCACAUUACACAUUCAACAGGGCAAUUUAGGUAAAUCAAAUGGGAUUUUAAUUGAGAAAUUCAGUAAGCAAAUUAAUCAAAAUUGAGAAGUUUAGUUAAUUUUUCAAAGUUUAUUGAAAAAAUUGUAAACAUCACGUGAGAUCUUCAGCGCCACUUUUUCGAUGACAAUUCAAUGUCACUUCUACAUUUAUGUCAAGUAUUCUGUUUAUUUAAUUUGUCAUGUGUUGUUUAUUUAAAUUUCUUCUACCCUCACGCGAUAAGUGUGAUUGGUACUGAACUUGACACCGAGUAAUGACACAGAGGAUCCCAACUCCAUAAACAUUCUGUGAAAAGUUUACACUAAUUUUGGGUUUGUUUGGAUAAAGUAUUAUUUGAAAUAUUAUUUAGAAUAAUUACUGUAGCACUUUUUGUAACGUGAUGUAUGUGAAAUAAAAAGGUAAUUGGGAAUAUAAAAAGGUGAAUUGAAAUAUGUGUUUAUGAUGCGAACGAAAUAUUAUUUGAGAUAUUUUUGCUAUCCAAUUGUUUCCAAAAGAAACACAAAGAUUGCUUUUCCAAGUCAACUUCUUAUUUUUUUUUAAAUAACUACUUUUAGCCUAUUAUAAAUUCGAAAAAAGACCUCAAUAUUUGUAGGAUUCUGAAGACAAAAGUGAUGAUUCAUUCAUAUAAUGACUCGAAUUAUGGUUUGUCUAAAUAAAAAUAUAGAUUUCCACAGCAAAGUAUUGACAAUAAGAUCUUAAAUGGGCCUUAAUUACUAGUAUGAACCCAAAUUUUGAUACCUUUUUUUUCCUUCUAAUAAUCUAAAAUAACAAUGCACAAAGACAAGUUGACCUUUUUAAGGCUGUCAAAAUACCUCUUUCAAAGACUCCUUAAAAGAAAAAAAAAAUAUAUAUAUAUAUAUAUUUAAACAACUUUUAGAUAAUUAUUCUAUUACAUUUACAUCCAUCUGCCGAGCAUUCACAAGAUACUACUACUACUUAAUCCUUGUGCCAGAGGUGCACCAUAAUAGACGGGUUAAACUGAUUAAAACUCAAAUGCAGGAGGAGGUAAAGUCCUUAUCUUGAUGACGACUUUGCAUGAAGCAAAGCAGCAUCACAGAGGAAAUAUUUAUAGAUGUGGGAAAUCUCGUGUAAUCGUAGAUUCAUGGAACAGGACCACAUCUAGUCAAGGCAGCUCAGGAGCAGAAGGAGGAGGAGGAGGAGGAGACUUAGGAAGCCAUCAACGAGUGGAAAACAAUGGCAGUGAGUAGAUCAAAAUCAUUAUGGAGAAGACCCUCUCAUGUCAUGUCCGGACUAAGCCACAUCAAACAAUAUUAAUAAAAGAAAGCGUACCUUUCUCUUGGAUUGGAGGACAAUACGGACGGAGGGUCGGGGAGGGGCCUCCCGGAUACAAAACUUCAACAAAUACCUAAUGUUUUAUUUCAUCUUUCUUUAGUUAUGUUAAUGGGAUUUAUUUCUUUGUUUGAUGACACUCUAUUUUCUUUAUGUACUUUUUCCGAAAUUUUCAAUCAGAUGAAGUGUCAUUUCUCUUUGUACAUCAAUUAUGCAUGGGGACUGUGAGUCUUGUAAAAACUUUCUCGAACUAACUUGCUUUAAUUUCCAUGUCUAGAUUGUUUGUAAUAUAUAUGGAUAGAUUAACCUAGAAUUAGGCUUUCAAAAUUUUUUUUUUCAAAAUUUUCUUAUUUGUGCACCUCUAGGAUGCAUGAUAAAACUGUAAAAAUAAAAACACUAUAAAAAAAAUAUCAUCAUUUAUUCCUAUAUUAUGUACUCCCCCCGUCCCACUUUGAUAGUCUUGUUUUCCUUUUUGGUCUGUCCCAAAUUGUAGUCCACUUUCCCAUUAAGAAAUGUAAUGAUCUUUCAAAUUGUCUACAAUACCCUUAUUAAAUAUCUUGUUAUUAAUACAUUGUUAUUAAAUACUAACCCAUUACAUUGAAUACAUUGAGCUUUUCCAAUGCACUCUUCGUUAUUAGCAUAAGGGUAUUUUAGGAAAUUAUUAAUCUAAAUUUAUGUUUCCAACCAAAUUAAUUACACUUUCUUAAUCUGUGUGAAAAAAAAAAUCAAGACUAAGUAAACGGGACGGAGGGAGUACAGUUUAUUAGAAGAAAAUUUCUAUUUUACCAAUAAAGUGGCAUGGAGCUGAGUUUGACUUUAGCCAUUGAAGUUCCAAACUCUCAUGAAAAUGUUCCAGAGCAGCGUAUUAAAUGCAUAGUUUCAGCACUCUUACAGCGAAAGAGAGAAAGGGUGAAGAGCAGGCUGGUCAUGGAUGGAAAUGAAGAAAUGGUUAUGGGCUAUCUUAUCUUUGUUGUUACACAAACAAGCUUUGGAUUUUCCUUUGUACACAUUAGGAAAGACUGUGGCAGCACUAGUAGUAAAUUGCAGGCAGUGAAGUGGGGAACAACUGCCGGGAACAACUGGGAAGGAAGAUUAAAUAUAUGGCAUGAAGAAGAUAUAUGGGCUAACUUUGUUCUGUUUUGGGAUUGAUAAUUUUUUAAUUCAUAGGUGUCAUCCAGUAGAAGGAGGACGGGAAAAUAGAGGUUCUGGAAUCUGGACAAAGAAAAGGUAUUUUGGUGAGAAUAUAGAAGAAGUGGUGCAUGGGGUUUGGGUAACCUUGCCAAAUUGUUUCAUAUUUUACUGCUUCCCAAGUAAAAAUGGUGCGUGUGGUGGGCCUCCAACAUCCACCACCAUUAGAGGACUAGGAACACAUCCACAUACUCACGGUCACACACCAUCAUAUUAUAUACUUCCUCCGUCCCAUUUGAUAGUCCUGUAUUCCUUUUUCAUCUGUCCUAAAUUGUAAUUCACUUUCCAAUUGAAGAAUAUUUGUAUUUUAAUUUUCCUAAAAUACCUUUAUUCAAUGUAAGUAGUUAUUACUAUAAACCUACCCCAUUUAAUGAGAAUUGAUUCUUUUUUUACCAUCAAUUCAAGUUCCCAUAAAGUUGCAUCAUAUUUAAUGUGAGGAUAAAAAAAACAAGACUAUCAUAGUGGGACGGAGGGAGUAAUAAACAUACGUACGUACAAAUUUGAUUUAAAAUUUGAUGUUUCAAUGAGGCUUCUAAUCAAGUUUUAUACAUGCAUCACACAUUUUUUUUUAUCUUCUUUUUGUUUUAGUUUUUUUUUCAUAUGAGAGGAUCAAAAGUGACGUUCUACCAAUUCUUUAGUGACUUGAAAACUCGAGACCUAUAAGUCACGCGUGAAAUAUCUUACAAUUAAACAAUUUAAAACAGUAUAGUGCAUCGGAGGAAAAAAUUAAUUAACUAGCUAAAAAUUGUGAUCCCUUUUUCUUCUCUUUGUUUAUCAAGAAAAUGAUUUAGAGGCAUGGGUGAGUGAUUGAAAAAGAGGUGCAUGGCAUUGCAGAGAGGAAAUGCAUUAAGUAGUAGUAGUGUGGUUGUAGUUUGCGCUGCUGGGGGUUGCUUGCUGCAAUAAUUCCACCGAUCUCAAACGUUAGGUUAGGUGCUUUUUUGUUGGGGAGAUGGUGAGUGCUUCAAUGAAUUGGAAGAGCAGAAAAGCAAUUAUGUUUGACCCUCCUUUUGGAAAUCUGUGAAGUGCGUUCGUCUGUGAAGUGCGUUCGUGCUGGCUGCCUGGCUCAAUCUCAAAAUGAUCCAAUUGCUUGAAAAACAUAAUAUCAUUUUUUACCUUCAAAAAUUUUUUUGACUAAAAUAUUUUAGGUGGAGAAGCAGUUUUGUAAAUGAUUUUUUUUUAAAAUUUUUUUGGAGUGUGGACAAUUAGAAGAUGACUUCAUUAUUUUGCAUUUGCAGAAAGUUCUCGUUUGGAUUGUGUUUUUAUGCAAAAAAUAAAAAAUAAAAAAUAAAAAAAUUAUGUCUUUCGUAAAUAUAUUUUUCAAUCAUCUUUUUACUUCACAGUUAUCAAAUCGCUACGGUACAUUUUUCUAUAAAAAAUUCUAAAAAUUGCAAUCCAAACAGAGUAUCAAUACUUUCUCAAUCUUAAUUUCUAAGAGCUAUCAUUUUGUAAACUUCCACAAAUUACUCCGAAUUUCUUUAGCAUGUCAUCUUUUAUAUUGAGGUUGGCUCUUUCAAGAUCGCUUCAUGUCCAACUAAUAACCUUUAACUAGCUACCUACCCCCCCCCCCCCCCAAAAAAAAAAACCUUUUAGCUAGCCACAUAUUAGUACAAUUCAAUGAUAGUACUUUCUGCUUGCACCUUAACAAUUAACUCAAAAAGUGUUUUUUUUUUUUUUUUGGGGUUCUUGAAUAGUGCAUGCAUGAGAGGCGGCUAAAAGCUGCUUAUCCACCACCUUAUUGUUCUUUUAUUUCAGACAGUGCAUUAUUGCUUUCUGCUGCAUUAAUAUGGCACGGUCUUUAUAUAUAUAUAAUUGUUCUCAAUUAAGGGAAAAAGAGAUGUAAGGAUGGAUUUGUUCCUUCAACAGUAGUAGUAGUUUAAUUGUUCUUGAAAAGUUGAAUGAAAAAGACUACAGCUUUAAGUGGUGCUGUAGUGGCAAUGGGAUUCACGCAAGAGUAUGGCAAAAGGAAUUAAAAAGAAAUGUAUGGAAUUCUCCCCAUCAAGAAACAUCAGAGAACUAUCAUAACAACGACACCAAACAUAUGCUUCCCAUUAAUGGACCUUCGAUGCUGCUGAAAUCUGUUUUGUUUAAUUAUUUUCUGACCUAAUCAUUUUGUGGCAUGCACCAGUUUGCACUAAAUUAAGUAGCAGGUUAUGGCUAAUUGGCUCUAGCUAGAGCUUGCUUUUUGGUAUUUGAGAUCUAUAAUGCAUUUAGAUUGUUGUUUUCAUUUGGGCAUGCGCUUAAUUCUUAAAAGGUAAAGGUAUGUAAAACUAACAAUCUUCAAUUCUUAGGUUAGAGAUUAGGGAUAAACCUAUUCUUCAUUUUUAGUGCUAUCAUAUUUGGAAAACUUGAGGUCUUAGAAGAGACUCCUUGAGUAUCACAUAAGCACAAAACACACACAUGGAUAUUUAGAAUAUCUUAUAAACAAAUGUUUAUUCAAACAAUGAAAAUUCUCAUCUGUGCACUGUAAAAAUCAUUGCGAAUAUACGUGUAUUUAUUUGAAUAGUAAAUUAUUUGAGAUAAUUUUAUAAUUAAAAAAAAGUACCGUAACACAUUUUUAUUGUGAUGUAUAUAAGAUAAUUCACAACAUGAUUUCGCCCCGUGGACAAGAGAUGAUGUUGGUUUUUGCUCUUACUAAUUUUAGUACAGCUUGAGCAAGAGAACUAGAAGAUCCUGAAUUUUUACUAAUUUUAUAAUGUAUAUACAACAUUUUGAUAAAGCAAUCUGAAGGGAGUAGUUAGUGUAACAAGCAGCCAAAGAACAAACAGUAAUAAGCUUUCCCUAUUCUGGUACACAAAAGAGAAAAUCUUUGGCCUAUGAUUCUGUGGGUCUUCCUUAAAUGGUAAUAUAUCUUCCCAGCACCAGCAGAGCUGCCACACAAAUAAGUGUCAAAUCGCGGGCAGGAAAAACCCAACUUUCAUAGGCAAAGAGAAAGGUCAAUCUAUGCUGAUCCACAAUUUCAUCAGUCUUUCCUAUCACGUCUGUGUUAUAUUCUCCAUACCAAUUACCAAUGCCCUCCCAUAUAUUUCCGCUUUUGAAAAAAAUAAAUAAAUUACCAAACCCCUCCCUUUCUUUCUUCUAGUUUGGCAAUAAUAAUGUACUUCUUCUAGCUCUAGGUCGUGAGAAACAAACAAGUGUCAAUUCAUGUGUAUCUGUGCCAAUUAUGCAAAUUUAUGGUACACAUCAAGAUUAAAAAUUAUGGCAUGUACAAGCUUUCACAAUAUUGUAUCACGAGCCAUGAGCCAUCAGUCCUUUUGCUGGUGAUCACUGCCAGGCACUUAAAGUCUUGGCCGCGUUGGUUCAACCAUUGACCUCCCAUCAAAUUGUCAUUAUAUGUGGUUAUUUUCAGUGACUUUUUCCGAUGGAGUUUCUAUUCUCAUCGAUUUCCUUUUUUUCUUGAUUAAGAUAGCUUAGAUUAUAAAAAUGUUACCGUUGCGACAAAAGAAAAAAAAGUAUCACAGGCCAUGUAACACAACGAACUUUUGAUUUGGUUAAUUGAUACAAUGUCAUGUUACAUGAGAUCGUUUCAUAUUCCAAUGUAUUUAGAAGGGUUUGGACCGAAGAUUAUUUGAAAUUCGUUGUAACAAUUUUUGUAAUUUAAUAUAUGCAAGAUGAAAAAAUAAUUAAAAAGACAAAAUAGUUGAUCGAAAAAAUAUAUUUACGAUGCAAGUAAAAUAAUAUUUGUAAAUAAAAGCUAUGCACACACGUUCUAGUUUUCAAUUAGAGCCAAAAAGAAGGAGAGAGAGAAAAAAUAAAGAAAAAAGAGGAUGGCAAACCUACAUGUCUUGCACCCAAAUGGCAACUUUUAACUUGUCCACCUACCAAAUUGUCUACUUCCACAAAAGUUUAUAUAGAUUACCAGCACAAGUAAAAUGUGCAACUUGUAUACACUGCAAAUAACUGGCCUGGGGUUGACUCGGUUGGUGUUGGGGGUGCCUCUUCAGGUCCUGGCAUUGGGUGUUCGCGGUUCGAUUUCUGUUAACGUCAUGUGUCUCUUGGGGGACGGGGGCAACAAGCGCAAUGGGAUUAAUUGGGGCCGGGAAUAUUACUCCGUCGAAUUUCAGAUAUCCACUGUGUUCGAAAAAAAAAAAAGUAUACAUUGCAAAUAUCUGGAUGGAUCAUUGCAUCUUUAUUGUCUAUCUCAAAGAUCCCCCCUAAAGCCACUCCAUGACUGUUGAAUGUUAGUUUAGCGUUUCAAAAAUAUCAUGAGUAGCCUUGUGUUAAUUUUGAGUUGACAGAAGAAUGCCAAACCCAAGUGACAAUUAAAUUGCACAAUAUCGCAAAGAACAAAUCACCUUUAGUUUCAUAAUUACAAAAAAAAAUAAAUCAAGUUUUCCAAACAAUUUGGACAAACACCGGACUCAAGGUCAUCGCAACUCUAAUUUAUUAUCUAGACAAGAACGAAUCAAAAGAGCAAAAAAAAAAAAAAAAAAAAAAAAAAAAAAAAAAAAGAAAGAAAAUGGGAGAAGAAGAAGAAGAACAGCUGUCUACUACGGAAUGAGUACAUCAGGGAUUUGUCCAUCCUAUCCGACGCUGCAAAAUUUACACAUAAUAAUAAUAAUAAUGCUCUUCCUAUCCGACCCUGAUAACUGUUGUCAUUGAUAUUUGAUAUUCCCCUCUGCUCGGUCUUCUGGUCUUUUGACAAAUCCUUUUCCUACCCUCUGAGGCAUUACAAAAGUGUCAGCAUCCAAAGACACUGAUAAACUCAUCUCAUCCACUCUCCCGUCCGAAAGCCAACAAGCCAUUUGCUCCGAGAAAAGAAAAAAAAAACCUCAGUACUUUCCCCACGUCCUUUAAUCACCAACCCUACCCUUUUUCGUGAAAAGCACUAGGGAGUAGGGUCCCGUUAUGCCCCUCAAGAAUUAUUUUGGCAAAUCGUAAACAAUGGCUUUGUUUGGAUUGGGCUUUAUUUCUCAAAAUUUAUUUGCUUACAUCAUCAUUACAAUUUUCAAUACACCUUUUUACCUUCCCAAUUAUCUUUUUAUCUCACAUACAUCACAUCACAAAAAGUGCUACAGUAAAAAUAUCUCUAAUAAUUCACAAUCCAAACAGACCCAUUAAUGAAUCUUAAUUACCUUUUUCUUUUUUUGAUAAUAAGAAUCUUAAUUACCUUGAGAUGUUGUAGCUCACCAAUAUGAGUGCCCUACUGGGAUUUAGGGAUCCCAAAAAUAUUUUACCGCUAAUAUGAACGCCUGUUUGAGUUGCAUUCUUUUAGGAGUUUUUUUCUCCCAAAAAAAAAAAAAAAAAAACUAACACUGUAUGACUUUUUUAAGAUAUCAUGUAUCAUGCAAGUUAAAAUAGCAAUUCAAUUUGUUUUUCAAAAAAAUAGUGAUACAUACAAGGCCUUAGAUUUUCUGGAUUCCUUUGCCUUUCAUGCACAAGAAGUAUUGUUUGUAAACAUACUACUACCUUUUUCUGUAUUGGUGCAGCAAUGUAGUCACAUAGAUCCAUAGUACCUUUUUCUUUGUUGGCGCAGUAAUGUAGUAGUCAUGGAAACUACUUCCCUUUUUUUCUUUUUGGCCAUUCAUUCAUUUCUCGCAAAUCUUUUGUCACAAUUUCUUAAGUAAAUGGAUCGUACCGUUUCGAGUGCCUAUGCGAUAUCUUCAUCAUUUAUCUAGUGCGGCUAGCUAUAGGUCCCAAGCGGAUAGUUCGCUGGUUGGUUCUUUGAUCUUUAUCUGGAGAUCACCAUUUCGAUUCCCGCUUGUCUAUCUAUCGUGUGAUGCAUUUUUGGGGGGAGUUCUGCACUGUUGCAGAGAAAUUAAUCUGAUACAAGUCAGGAUUCUAGAUAUAGGACUAUUUUUCACCAAUUUUGCGACCUAGAAUUAAGUGAAUUUUAAAUAUUCCAUACAUUGAAAAUUUUCAUCUAACAGAGAACUUAUGUGGCAUUUAAGUUUUUGACUAAAUGAUUGGUUAAAAUUUACUCUUUUUUCUUUUAACCAAAAAUUGGACCUCAAGGAUUUUCUCUUAUGCAGUCGGCCCGCACGAUGAGAAAUUCAGUGUUGGUGAGUUGGUCAUCGAUCGAGGCAAGCAUGCUUCGACAAACCGCCACCCUUCCUGAUUCAACUACCAUAUGCACACAAUUAUUAGGACAUUUUUUUAAAUAUAUAUACAGGUACAUGAAUGAGUGAUGCAUGAUUUCAAAAGUACUUUUUUUUUUUUUGAUAACGAUGUAUCAGAAAUUCGAGCUUUAGAACUUUUUUGUCGUGAAAAAUGCUCUUGCUUGGUCCCAAUUCAUUCAUCCCAUUCCCAUCCCAGCUAGUAGUGAAACUUAUAGUAACAUCUCAUUCUCGUCAAAAAGUGCUUCUCUCUCAAUAAGCUUGAAAGAGCUUUACUUCUUUCACUUUUUACGUUUUUAUUGGAGAUGACAAAAGGGUGUUUUGUUGGGACCGUGAAUAGCUGGAUGCACAGGACCAACGUUGUAACCCCUUUUCUUUUUUGACUGGUAAACUUUUGCGAGCCCGACAAGACAUCAUCUUUUCUUAGAACUAGCUAGUUUCUUUAGUCUUUAUUAUCAAGCUACUUUAUGGAUUAAAGAGAUAGGAUAGUAGUAUCAAUUUAGCCCGCCUCCGGCUAAGGAGUUAUUUCUAGAAUCUGGGGUUUAACAUGUGGUUUAACACAUCCGCAUGAUUGCUGCCCCAUGCAAUUAUGCAAGGAGCAAGUUAAUCAAAACUCAAGCCUAGCCUGCAUAACAACUCACCUAUAAGCACUUGCAGGAUUCCUUAGGUAAAAGCAGAUAGAGGAUUCUAAUCCCAUAAACUACUGGUUUUUUUUUUCUUUUUUUGAAGAAUUACUCUAGUUUGGUUUGUGAUCAAGAUUAGGCCACGAGACAUAUUAUUGGAAUAUGAGCUGUUUAGCACAUUAAGAAUGUGGCAAGACUCUAAUGCUACCGCAAUGAUACUCUGUUUGGCUAGAAUUGAAUGAUCACGCGAUGUCACUAGAACAGUUCAUUUGUCACUGAAGAUUACUCAUAAUUCAAUUGUAUAAGUGAUUAACAUAUUCAUAUAACGAACUAAUUCUGUUCAAUAUGUCAUUCAAGUGAUAUAAUUGAAGCUAAUGUAAAAUAAAAAAAAUUAAGUUGAAGAUUAGCCUAAGAAUAUUUUUUUUAUAAUUUUUCUUUCUAGUAGGCAAUACGUGAGGCGUAAGAAGUGGAGAUGGGAGAAGAAGAUUUGAAUCCAAGAUCUAUAAGAAUUGGAGUUUUAACUUUAGUCACUAUAUCAACUAGAGUUGCAAACGAGUCGAAUCGAAUCGAAUUUUGGCCUAAUCGAAUCAAAAUCGACUCAAUUUUACCAAAAUUGAACUCAAGGAAUUUUCAAUGUAAAACUUGAUUUCGAACUCAACCUCAAAUUUGAGUCUAAUUGAACUCGAGUUCAAGCUUACUUGAGUUCAAAAAAAAAUGAUUAUUUUAUCUUUGAAAAAAAUGAAUAAAAUAUUCAUUUUUUUAAUAAAUAAUAAAAAUAUUAUGGAUAUAUAUAUGUGUAAUUUUACUAUUAAAAAUAUAUAUAUAUAUAUAUAUAUAUAUGUGUGUGUGUGUGUUAUUUGAACUGACUGGCGAAUUAACGAAUUGAGUUUCUCUAUACUCGACUCGAACUCGAUGUUGAUCAAGUUCGCGCUGAACUUUGAUCGAGUAAGCUUGCAAGCGACUUUAUUUAUUUGCAGCUCUAAUACCAAUGCCUCUAAACAUAUUGAAAAACAAAAAAAUAUAUGUUUUUAUCUUCAUUAGUAUGUUUCGUAAUAAACUUCUUUUGCGUAUGCCCAUGAAGAAUACUUGAUACUAAAAUACAUGUAAUACAGCCAAAGAGUAACGUAAAUAAAUUUUCUUCACCACUUGCCUAUAUUUACAUGCUAUCAACAAAUCAUAAUGAUACGAAUAGACAAUACCAUGAUAGAUAGGUUCUUCAUCAAAUAUCUAGUUUCACUAAUCAAAAAGCAUCACUAAGUGGGAUCGACACUCGAAAACCACAGAUGCAUAGAAGUAAUUUAUAGUUUAUGCAUAUUUGAUGGUUAAACAUAUCUUUGGUGCCUUUAUCCUAACAAUACUUCAUUUAUGUGGAUGCAAAGCAAAGAGAGGCAUUGCUCACUUUCCUGCGAGUGAAAGGUUCCCGUGCACUUGUUUAAAUACGUAUGGAUGAUGCACAAUUCGACUUUCAAUACCACAUACGUUAAUCAUAAAAACUACCAAUGUACAUACCUGGCUAUCAGAGAACUACCAGUAAUUUGUGCAUGCAAAUUGUCUCUCACAAACUCGCACCUCAGUUGAAUCUAAAAUGGUAACUUGUUACCAAAUGAAAAAGGAAAUGAAUGAAUAAGAAAAAAAAAUGUGAUGAAAUUUGUCAAUCAUUUUUAGGAAUAUCGUCAACAAGUGGAACCCUGCAUGCAGGGGCUAGAAUGCUAGAUCUUGCUGUAUCAUUAUGAUUAUUUUGACGUGGGGAGAUGGAUGGGACUCGACGCUUUAAUUUGAUUCGAUCAACAAACAGUUGUGGCUAGGUUCCAAUUCGAAAAGCUAAGCGGCACAAAAUUAUGGAAGUUGAUGGGAGUAUCAUUAGAACGAAGAAAGCUAAAAUCAUGAAGUCAUCAUGAUUUCCUUUGAUCAUUCUGCUUGUCACUGGCCAUGUUAAAGCUGUUCCAAAAGCUUUCGAUUAGACAAUCUCUACCGAAGUCGGAAAGUUGAUUAAACCCAAGCUUUAAUUGUGGAGCUUGACAACUUUUCAUUAUCAGACGAGGAAAUAACUCAAUAUCUUUCGAUUUCAAUCUUUGGAGGAGGUGGAGCCGACUGCGUACCAUGAACAUAUGGUUCUAGGCAAUCAUCAUUAUCACUCGGAAAAGGCAUAGCUUCCAGGCGUAAUCUUUUGCUCUCCAAGCUAAAAUGAUUAUGCUUUCUUUGUGUAUUGUGGCCAAAUAAUAAUUGUACUACGUACCAUUUCUCUUAAUUUCUUGUGUUAGACGACGAUACUACUAAUAUCGUAGGAAAAGACAAAAAUUAGAGUGCAGCUUUAGCAACAAUAAGAGUAAAAUUCAGAGGAAUAGAAUUGCAUCUAAAAGUUGGUUCAACCUAUGAUCAUGCCGGCGAGGGAUGAGUUGGGUAAUUUAGAAGGAAGGAGUGACUCUCCCACUUACACUUCAAAAAAAAAAAAAAUUUCUUCAGCUUACAUAUUCUUUCUCUAAAUAAUUAACUUUUAUUGAACAUCAUUUCACCUUGCUAUAGCAUUAUAAACCUCGUGAAAAAAAAAGCAGGACAAAAAUAAGUCAAAAAAAUGUAAGAAUGGAUUAUUUUUUUGUGGGUUCAAAAAGAAACUCUAAACCUUAUAAAGGAGAAAGAAGAACGCAAAAAAUUUAAGAGUUGAACCACUAAUAUUGUAGUUUUAAGAAUUUUUUGGUUUACUCUUUUUUUUUCAAUGAACAAGAGGUCUUAAAUUCAUAAUCUCUCGUUUACAAUUCCUCCCCUCUUUAUUAUCCAAUCCAACCUUCCUCUGAUUUUGUUCUCUAACCCGGAUUUUUUUUCCGGUGUUUUUUUUGGCGGCUGGGGGGUGUGUUCCUAACACAGUACAGCUAAUAGAUGCGGCCCAUGUGACCUAAAAGAACAUCUUCCAUAGUUUAGCUAAUAGUUAUGGCCCAAAAGCCAAACUUGUCUUCGCCAUGGUUGAAAAACCCGCCUAGCCCAAAUAUUGAGAAAAUGGGAUGAUCCAACCAGAACACGGGCCAACCUCUCCAAUGGUCCAUGGUCCAAAGUUUUAACCAACAAUUACGGUGCAAUUGCUGCAAUAUUUCCCAAAAUUUUUGUCAUAAAUCCAGGAAUUAGUAAAAAUCAAAUUAUAGAAAAAAUUAGCAAAAAUCACUUGUUGAUGAAGUGUAAUGCAGAAAUGCUAAAACGGAUGUACAUAAUUUAAAAAAUCUGCACUUUUCUUGUAAUUAUGAUCAACUUAAAGGAAUAUUAAAUGUAAUUACAAUAUAGAAGGUGCUUUUGGAUUUUAGAUAUCCAAAAAUAUUUUUUAUUUCUCAAAAAAUGUAAACCAAAAUCUUCAAUGUACUCAUUACUCAUUUCAUGUAGUUCUAAUCCUCUAUCCUUUUCCACCUUUUAAAUCUCAGCCCCCUUCUCUUACCGUAAAAAAAAAGUUUUUUAAAACAACAAGCAAGACAAGACUGCUAUAUAAUCUCCUUGUGCGUUACGUUCUUGCUUCACGUGGUUAUAAGCCUUACGCAAUUGCUCAUAUAAGAUACUAGGUAGCUAUCAGUAUUUAUGGGAAUUAAUUUCAUAUAAAGCAAACCUCUGAGGACAUUAUGUUGUUAUUACAUCCCAUUCAGAUUCUCUUUUUCAAUAGAAUAGGAAAAAAAAAAAAAAAGAACAAGUGGACGUUGGGGCCAUGGUAUUGUUAUAAAGAAUAUCUAUAUCAUAUAUAAAAGGAACGGGAAAUCGUUUAAAACGUUUUUUUUUUAUUUUGUAAAAUAAUUUUUUUCGUUCUUCACUUUUAAAAGUAUACUUUUAUGUUCCUUACAAAUUUAAAUUGGUCAAAUUUAGUUCCUAUCUAGGUUUUCGACUAGUUUUUUUUUUUUUUUUUUUUUUUUGUAAAAAUCCACCACGUGUGUUGCACGUGAACAUUUUUUAAGGGUAAAAUUAUCAAAUCAAAAUUUACAUAAUCCGAUCCAUAGUCCAUCACAUUUCAUAAAAUAAAUUUUUUUUAUCUCUCACAUUUCACAAAAUAAAAAUUUUCAUCCCUCAUGUUUUACAAAAUAAAUUUUUUCAUUCAUCAUUGAUCUUGUGUACGAAUAAUUUAUGAAUAGCAUGUAAUACAUAUCUAUUUGAUUUCGUCUAAAUGUACUGUUUAGGUGAAAUUAAUAUAAAUAUAUACAAGGGUUUAAAAAAUUGUUAGUUUUUCAUUCAUGUUCAUUUUCUUUUACUCAAAAAUUGAAAACAAAUAAGACAUUUAAUCCUAAACAUUGUCAAGUAUUUAUAUCGAAUUAAAUUUGGAUAGAAAAAAUAAACAAAGGAAAAGUAUAAAAAAAAAGAAGUAAGUGAUUAACAUUUUCAAAUUUUUAAGAUAAUCACAAGGUAAAAAAUUCAGCCGUUGAUCUUAAAAGUGGUGAGUAAAAUUUUAGAUUUAAACUACAAUUUGUUAGCAUGACUGUAGAAUUCGAAUUAGAAUCGAUUAAUUAGACCUUAUUACACAACUCAAUGAGUGAAUUGUAUAUGGAUUUAAAACAAAAUUGUUAGAUUUGAACCCAUGUAUAUAUCUAUUGAAUAGUAUAUGUACAACUACAAUUAGUCUGUUUAGAUAAAAUCAAAUAGAGAUAUAUUAUAUAAUAUUCAUACUAUUCAUGUGAAAUCAAAUAGAUAUAUACAUGGAUUUUAAAAAAAUUAUUCGUACACAUGAUCAAUGAGAGAUGAAAAUUUUCAUUUUGUGAAAUGUGAGUGAUGAAAAAAAUUUAUUCUGUGAAAUGUGAGGAACGAAACAAUUCAUUUUGUGAUAUGUAAGGGAUUAUAGAUGGAUUAUGUAAAUUUUGAUUUGUCAAUUUUGUCUCUAAAAAUGAUCACCUGCAAGACACGUGAUGAAUUUCGAUAAAAAACUAGUCAGAAAUCUAGGCAGGAACCAAAUUUGACCAAUGUGAAUUUCUAAGGGACGUAAAAUUACGCUUUUAAAAGUGAGGGACAAAAAAAGUUAUUUUACAAAACAUGAGGGACGUUUUGAAUGAUUUUCCCAAAAAGGAGAGAUGGGAAUUAGGAGUAAAUAUUUUUUUAUUAUUUUAUUUUAUUCUCAUUAAAAUCACUUAUUACUUUACAACCUAAACACAGAUUGUUAUAAACAAACUACCUGUAACUAUUUUUAACUAUAACUAAUCUAAAUAUAUAUUAACAAAAUGACUACCUCUAACUUUCCAAGUAUUAUAACUACUAAAACCAUCAUUUGAUAGGAGAAAAAGGGUAAAAUAUCACACUUUACUUCAAUCAUGAAAAUUUUAUAAAAUUAAUUUGUAAAAAGAAUUUUGAAUUGCAUACAUAUCGUGUGUGCCUUUAGCACUAGUAUCUAUAAGGGUGAGAAGACUUUUGAUGUAAAUAACUAUAUAUGAAGGGAGAGGAGACUUUUGGUAUAGGGGUGUGCAAAAUCAAAAAAUUUCGAUUUACCGACCAAAUUUGAAUUGAAUUCGGAAUUUUUGAAAUAGGUAAUUUGGAAUUCGGCACUAAAAUCGGAAUUUCCGAUUUUGAAUUAUGCAAAUUUGGUUCGAAUUCAGUAAUGGAGUUUUUGAAAUCGGAAUUUCCGAUUUCGAAUUCAUAAUUCGAAAUCAGAAAUCGAAUUCGAAAUUUUUGAUUUCAAUUUCGUUUUAUAAUAUAUAUUAAUAUUUUUUUAUAUAUAUAAUAUUUUUUUAUUUCAAUUUCAUUUUAUAAUAUGUAUAUUAAUAUAUAUUAAUAUAUAUAAUAAUAUUUUUUAUAAUAUAUUUAUAUAUAAUAUUUUUUAUAAUAUAUGCAAUAUAAAAUUUAUAUUAUAUAACAAUACAUCUAACAAAAAAGAAAAAAAGGGAAAAAAAGGUUUCCGAAUUCGGUGAAUUUGGAAUCGAAAUCGAAAUCGGAACUGGUGAAUUCGAAAUCGAAAUUGGUCGGUAAUUCCUAUACCAAAAUUCCGAAUUCAAACUUCCAAAUUAUUGAAUUCGAAUUCGUUGUACACCCCUAUUUUGGUGUAAGAAAAAACGGUCACUUUAUGUACUCUCUAAACUAUCUUUGAUAAAUAAUCGCUACCAAUAUUGCUUUCUACCAAAUAAAAUAUUUUUAUUCUAUCUUUCAACUUAUUUAAUAAAUUUUAAAUUUUGUUUGCAACUACCAAUUAUGGUUAUAAAUUGCUAUUAAAUAACUAUUUUUUGUACAUUUUAUUUUGGUGAAUUUUAUACAUUCGUAUUGUCAAAAUAUUAAACCAAUUUUAUGAAAAUGAUUUUAGUAAAUAUACUCAAAAAAACUUAUAAAUAUUUUUUCUAUUAGUUGCACACACAUUAGUGUGUGCAUUGAACACUGAUGGUUAUUAAGGACAUGGAAUUGGAUAUCGAAAAGUACUGCAAUUCGUAUUUAGAGUGAACAAAAAAAAAAAAAAUCACAACCCUCGAGGCAAAGCCUCAAUAAAGUUGAUAUUGCACUAUCUAUUAUUAUGUUAAUUCUUGCCAUCUUUGUCCGAUCCUCUUUGGUUAUUAGGUUAAAUUGUUAAUGUUAAUCACUUUAAAUAUGAAAAAAUGCCCAUGACCUUUGACUACCCGUGUCGGCCAACUAAAUAAUUAAUCAAUUAAAGUUAUUUUGGUUUUCCUAACUCUUUGUCUUUUUGGGUGACUGAGCAAGGUUUGAGUUUAGAUAUGCUAUGUGUUACGAACAUGAAAAGUUUGUCUUCCAUUCCACUUGUUGCCGCCACACGAACAUGGAUGGAAUUCGGGUUAGAUUCAUAAUGGAAGAUGUUAAGCAUCGAUGAGAGAGGUUAAUACGUCAUGGAUUAGUGCUACUUUCCUGCACGAAGAAGACUCGUGGAAAUGGGGAACAGCAACGGACCAAAAAAAAGCUACGCUAUCACAUCCAUCACUAAAUCACCCAUUUGAAUAAAAAAAAAGAUUUUCCUUCCCACAUCGGUUGGAUGUGGGUUAUUCAAUCUGGAUUUAAGGUUUAUAGGAUUCUCGUUUAAUUAUCAAUUGAUUGGACGUGAGUUUCUUGUGGGUCUUCCUUAAAUUACUCUUCAUGAAUCGUUUAAUCGCUAACUUUCGAGUUUUUAAUUUAAUUAGGUGUGCGUUUCUGCCUAAUGACAGAAAAAAAUAAAAAAAAAUAUUUAUUAUUGUACUGUUACUUUAAAAAGGACAAGACAUAAGAGGAGUUUUUAGGUUACAACAGAUAGUUUACAGAAUUUGUUCCAACUGAAAGUUCAAUCAAUGCUUCCUUUGAAGGGCCUUUGUCAAUUUCAUCCAAGCUUGUCUUCUCAUCAGAAUCCCAAUAGUUUUUGUGAUAUGAUUGCCAUGUUUGGUCUGCCAUGUGUGAAAAUCCUUUAGCUUGAAUCUAUUUUUCAUUGUUUUCCCAUAUUCGACAAAUACUGUCUUAUAACAAAGAAAGAGGGAAUCGAGGUAAGUUUGCUUAUUCUACUUAUUUUAUUUUUUAUUGAAUACAUUUUUGAUUGGUGUGGAUUAAAUAAAUCAGGGACUUUUUCACCACGUCUUUAUUUAUUUUCUCAUCUACACGUGUAGAAUAGAAUUAUUUAGAUAUGCAGUGUCAAUCCAACGAUUUGAUCAGUUUGUAUUUUAACUGUCAAUUGAAUUUAUUAUAUUUUUUUCAUAUAUUCUUUUCGCAAUAUUUAUAUUGACAACAGUGUAUCGAACAAAUAUAAUUUAUUGUGAUAAGUCAAGUAGAUCUAUUUAGUUUUGUGCCCUAGGUUUUUUUUUUUUACAUUCAAAUCGUGGGUUCUAUUAUAUGCAAGGUUUUUUGAUUGAUUGAAAAAGUAAAUUAAGGGGGGUCGGUCUAUAAAUUUUGAUUUUUAUCUAUUUUUUUAUUUUAUUGAAUUUUUUCUGAGAAUUUCUUGUAUUUUCAUCUGCCUCUAUUCAUUUCAUUUUUAUGUUUUUGUUUUGAAUGCAUUAGAAAAUCCUUUAGCUUGUGACGCGUUUUCUACAUUUUUCGUGAACACAUUUCUUAAUUAUCUUUUUACCUCAUAUAUAUAUAUAUAUAUAUAUAUAUAUAUAUAUAAAAUGCAGUAUAUUUUCUAUAGAAACUCCAAAAAAUUUCUACAUUUUUCGUGAACACAUUUCUUAAUUACUUUUUUAUCUCAUAUAUAUAUAUAUAUAUCAAAUUGCUGCAGUAGAUUUUCUAUAGAAACUCCAAAAAAUUGCAAUUCAAACAAGGUAAAGAUCUUCGUUGUUGAGCUCCAUUUUUGGAGAAGUUGUAUGUAAAAUAUUUCUACAUAUGAAAUCAAUAUCUAACAGAGAAACUUAGGAGAUUCGUAUUGGAUGCUUUUGCAUUUUAAAUGGAUUUCUCUAAUAGGAUUAAGAAAGAAGUACUACUACUAUUACUUUGAUGAUAUCUUUAGCACUAGUGCCUUUUUUUUUUUUUUUAAAAAAAAAAGAAAGAAAUCUUUUGUCGUUGUGCCUAAAGCACAUUAUUAUUAUUACUACUACUACAAAGAAAGAAUUGUUUAGUACUAGCAGGUACUAGCAUUGGUUUCUUCCACAAUUCUUGAAUCUUUGUGAUGUGCACGCCAUAACGAAACGCUCACACAAAACCAAGGUAAAAAAAAAAAAAACACAAAGAAAUCAAAAUGAACACAACAAAAAGAAAUCAAAAUGAGAUCCUUUUGAAGUCUUUUUCUGCAAAAUUUAUAAGCAUGGUAAUUUUAUGGAUGAAAUCACACAUCUUCAAUUAAAGAACGUGAUUAAUUGACCAUUAACACGUCUAGGAGCCAUAAUUCAGGAGACCAUUCAAACAAACACAGCAGUGUCCAGGUUCAUCCUCUCAGAAUCUUCCCAUAACUUUAUCCCAAAACUUUCUUAUUAUAAAUCCAACGUAAAUCCCUCCAAAACUUCCAACUCAGUGCUUGUCUUCCUCUUACAUAAAGAAAUCAUUCUUCGGUUUGGCAAGAAUUAGAUUAGUAUUAAAGCCACCACCAUUAUCACCCCUCACCAUCCCUCAAAUUUUAUUUCCCAAAACACCCCUGCUUCAUAUACACAAGCCUAAACUUCAUUGCCCAGAGAAUCCCUCUUCCCCUCUUAAACUACAAAUUUACCCCACUCCAACCAAGAUCUUUCUUUUCCCGAAGUACCCUCCAUUCCUUCCCUCUCCCUCCAAUAUUAUAACAAAACCCAGACUGCCAACCCAACUGAGGGAAAAGGAGAGAGCUUUUAAUCCCCAUUUCAAUGGCGACAAUGGCCUCUCUUUUCCUCAAUACCCCAACUUCAUCACCAUCUUUGCCGAAAACCCAGAAAACCCUUUUCGUCCCACCCCUCACUUUCACUCUUCCCAGCCGCCCCACCUCCAAAACCCGCCUUUCUCUCUGCUCCCCGCCUCUAUUUAUAGCCAAUUUGCCCUCCCUUCUCUAGGCGAGCCUUUUACAGAAGACGAAGAGGAACCUGGCCCCUUGUAGCCAUAUAGGUCUCUCUCUUUAGUCUUUCUCUUGACCUACACACCCUGGUAGGAGAAGGGUCGUGAGGGAAUAGUUGUGCAGCUCAGUUUCUUGGCCGUGCUUCAUUAUCAGUUGAAGCUGCCAGCAUGAUCUAAACCUUUCUCCUUCGUUUGAGGAAAGAUCAGAUCAUGUGGUAGCUUCACCUGUUGGUGAUGACACGAAUAUGAAUGUACGGACCCUAGUUUUCUUUCUUCUUACUUGUCAAUUUUGUUAGUCAUACAAUAGUAGUUAUAAUUCGGUACCAUUCACUUGGUGGAAAAGGUAUGCAAUGUGAAAUUUCUUGCUUCAAUAUUUACUACGGGAUAUAUGGUUAGUUUUUCAGGUGGGGUGGGAGAGCUUUUUAUUGUGUUUUCAGGCGUUUUCGAUUGAUGAUUAAGGUUAAUAUGUGACAGGAAACCUGUGUCAUGGGAAUUGCAUGAUUCCAAGACCCUUUGUUGUGCUUUGGACUUCGAGCUAUGAUAUGCCUAAUUUUACCUUCCUGUGUUGGGUAAUAGUCUCAGUUUUCGUUAGUGUCUUUGCUUUUUCAAGAACAGAUUUCUAAAUGUCAUGCGAAAUAUGUGUGCCACGGAUGACUACUCAUUGAAAAUAAAUUGCAUUAUAUUGCCUCUCCAAAUAUUUCAAGAAAAAGCCUCCUUCUUCAUGGGAAUUAGAAUCUGGGAUUAGCCCUGUCCUGAUAUCCUUCUUACCUGAGUAGGGUUUCCAGUUCUACAGGCCGGGAGUUGGUGAGUAAUGUUUUCUUUUCAUUUCUGUUUUAAAUUUUAGAGAUAAUUUUGAAGAUUCUUUGAGUUAAUCGUCUAGCUCACUUCUCAGCUUUCGUGACUCCUAGCAAGUUCCCGUGUAGAAACUGAUCCUGUCUUAACAGUCAAUGAUACAGUACUAGGGUUUCCUGAAGCUCAAAAAAUCUUGAAGAAACGUGGGAUUAUAAUGAUAAGUACCCAGAACCUUGAAAUUAGUCCCAGGGGAUCACAAGUACUCUAUCAUUGUCUCCAGUAGGCAACGGUAUUAAGAAGAGCAAAAGAUUUUUUUUUCUCCUUUGCCCAUCCACAAUUUCUUGCUCUUCCUGAACUUUUCUUGCCUUGGAUGUUUUCCUUUUCCAUCAAUGUUUCUUAGCUUUUUCUGAAGUGUGUUGUGUUGGGGAGGGUGGUGUAGCCAAACUAUGAGAGAAAGAAAGCCAUGGGAUGGACAAGAACAUGUGUUAUCCGCCUAUUUUAGUUGUGGCCUUGGGAGCAUAGUCUCCUUAAUUUGCAUCUUGCUUGUUCUUCUAACUUGAGUCAUGGAUAUUUUGUGAAGAAUAAAUGAAACUAGAUAUUUAACUUGAUUAUAGUUGGUCCGAGCCUGAGAGGGUUAUAACAGUGAUGUUUCACAGCAAGGUGUCCUUUUAUAUUUCAAGAUACCAAUAUCCUUAAGCAACUAUCAGAUCUGAAUCAUCUGAUUGUGCAGUACCAAAAGAUGUAUCUUUUCACUUGGCUUGACAUGAGAAAUGAAAGCACAAGUGCCCCACGCAUUGAUGAGACCGUUUGUGUUCUGAUAUUUUAGUUACAUCCUCAUCUCAAUAUCUUCUGUCAUUUCCAGGAAUUGAAGUUUCCUUUGCAUAUGCCAUUAUCACUGUCUCAUGAUUGAGUAGGAAAUCAUUUUGCUUGCAGUUUGAUUUCUGAAUUUAAAAAAAAAAAUCCUUGCUUUGACACAGCUUUGCUCUUUGGAAAUGAUCAUUUGACUAGAGCAUAUGGACUCCAAAAUUUUCUUUACAUAACUAUUUCAACUUGUACACUCAUAUUGACAGCUGAUCAAUAGGAGACAAAAUUCAUAUCCAUUACAUAAGUUGAAAACUCCCAUUUGGCUUUGCUUGCAGCCCUUCUUAGUUUUCUUUAUGUAGAAUCUCACUUAUUGGUUUCUUAAAUAAUUUAUUCAGUAAACCAAGUAUAAAAUCUGAUUUAACAAAUAGGAAGGCAGUAUCAAUAUUGUAGCUUCAUGAACAGUGGCAUGCAGGUAUUCCAACAGCAAGUCUAUUUCAAGACUAAAAUUUCUUGUGAGCUUCAAUUAUUCUCCCCACCUCUCUCUCUCUCUCUCUCUCUUGCACCAGAUAGCUCCACCUCCAUCCGUUUCUUUCUUUGUCUUACUCUUCUGGUGAGAGGAGGUUGUUUUCCACGGUGCAGUUGUUGAGAGCAGCGAGCUUUGGCUUGUUUUUCUAGUUGGGAAAUUUUCAUUUUUAGCAAGAUUCUUUGAACCUUUCAUAUCCAUCAGUACACUAUAUAUGUGAAACGUCAUUGAUUCUCCCAACUAUUCCCAGGGACCAUUCUUUAUAAUUGAUCUUAUUACUGAUGGAAAUAUGGAGAAGGGAUUCCCCUUUUAGGGUUCGUUACAUAGCAUUAAGGGAACGGUCCCCUCAAUUAACAUUUCAACAACAAUGUCUUUCGUUGGAAGAACUAGACAUUAUUAAGGCUAACAAGAGCACAGGUGAUAGUGAUACAGUCAGCGUCUCAAUGAUUUCUAGCCAAAAUGUAAUCCACUGAGGUCUGAGAACUGGAGGCCCUAGUCACCUUUUACCCCAGCAGGCAGCAAUGACAGAUAUGAACUUGCCCACAUUCCCCUUCCCCACAUGCCUGGAAAGGAAUGGUUUUUUUUUUUCUUCCCUUUUUAAAGAAACACAACUAAAAUUGAAGUGACAAGGAAACCAAGGUAAUUAAAAAGGACUGACUCCAAGAACAGCAUUAUAACAUGACUCCCACCAUCAUUAUUUUUUACAAAACGUAGAAAUGCUUGUUCAGCCAAUGUACUUACGCAGCAUUAGCCAUGUCUUCCAAGGAUUACUGCAUUAAGUGUUGACAUUCUUUCUACUGCUCAUCGGAGUUGCAAUUCAAGAGUUUCGACUGUUUGGCCACUCCUAAUGAUUAUCAGUGAUUGACUGCCUGCUUUUUGAAAGAGCUGCUUCUGAUUCUUUGGUUAAAAAGAUAACAAAAAGAUGAUAAGUUAUGCUGAAUGCAUUUAUUUACACUGACCAUGAAUGCUUCCAGUGCAAAUCACACCACAAAAUCAAUGGGCUUGGAAGUAAUCAGAAUCGGUUUUAGGUUCUAUCAGUUGAGGUGUGAGCUUGAGGGCAUUAUCAUGCCAUGGCCUUUUUCUUUGUUUCAAAUGAUAGGAAUUUGUGUGAUAAAUCUUAGGAGACAGUCAUCUUGUACUUUGGUAGACAAUCAGCUAUAGAGUAAGGUUUCAUAAUUAUAAGUAGACAUGGUGAGCCGCUUUGAGUUCAUAUCUACCAACAGCUUGUGAUAGGAAAAAAAAAAACUCUAAAUCAUUUCAAUUUCAAUAACUGCAGAAGAACAAUAACAGCAAAAGACUGAUGGUGCUAAGAAUUAUUCAGUUUACCAAGUGGAAGUAACUUCAUUUGUUUUAAACUCGGAAGAGAGGGGAAAAAAAAGCUUUAUAAUGAGCCCAAAAUUUACUCUGUAUGUACAAUCUACAAGCAUAGCGGGACACAAGAAGAGUGGGAGAAACUUGAAACCAAAUUGGCUGAAGCCAAAAUAGUGAAAUUUGAUAUAUACAUCAUGAUUUAUGACAUUCAGAUUCCAAUAUAUCCUACAUUAGUGGAGGUGCUUUGAAUUUUAGCAUGGUUCAAAGACAUUAUUGUUGAGCCUCAGAAUUGAUGCUUUCAGCAAUGUUUUGGGCUACCUUCUGUCAUCCUUGUAGUUUUCAUGCAAGCUAAAAUACAUACGAUUCUCGGGGGCAUGGUGAAAAUGCAACAAACUGUGAACUGUGUAUUUCCUUAAUUAAGAACCAUCCUUUGUUCACUGGAAAGCUUAUUCUCUUCAUAAAUUCACUCUGAAAAGGUGCAAUUACUGAAAAUUUCAAGGGCACACCUCUAACUGUAAACAACUUGCUUCCACUCAAAAUAGCUCUCAAUUUUCAAAGUUUGUAAAUGAAAUCCUGACAAUUAGAUAAACCUAUAUAUAAGCGUCCAUGCAUCCGUUGUCAUUUUUUAAAAGACAAUUGUCUCCAAAACUUUCUUUCUUCCUCAAAUGGAUCAUUAACACUAGAUGUCACAGUUUAGGAACAAUAAAUCCCAGAGCUUCUUGUCUGCCUUUAAAAAAAAAAAAAAAAGCAACAAGAAGAAGUACAAGUAGAAUAGAAUUGGAAGCUUCAGUUGCAAAAAGGGUGGAAUUUAAAGUCCCAAGUUUCGCAAGUCACUAAAACAAGAGCAAAUUGACAUGGUCAUCUGGAUAUUUUGCUAUUUAGGACAGCCAACUCCCUUUUUGUGGUCUUUUCUUGUUUCGACUUCCAAUACGUGUUUACUGUUAACAGUGCAAUGCAAUUUGAUUUUUGUUUUUUCAAAAUGGCAAAAAGCUGACCAUUUUAGGACGCCUGUUGGAGCUUGGAAACUUUGACAUUGAUUUUCCCUCCGACAAAAUCCCUGUCCUCUCGGCGGAUUAUGCGCACAAAUAUUUUAGAAAUUCUUAGUUUGUGCUGUCAACAAAAUCAUGGUUAGAUUUAGUCUGUAUAUAUUGGUCAACCUGCUUGAACACUAUUUGAACUUGCCACCAGAUGUAAAUGGCAUCAUUUUUUCUUUCUUUUUCAAGGGAGACUUCAUGUCCAAUUUGGACCAUAUUAGCUCAUGAUAUUAUUACUAUGGGUAGAUCCCAUCGUCCGUACUAGGAAAUGGCAUCAUUGCCAACUUUUUAGGUGUUUCAGACCAGUAGAAUUGUUCAGGGAUCAUGUACUUUAAGCAUCCACUUUGAUAUGCAACCUCAGUACUUUUAGCCAAUGCUCAACUUUAGCAUUAGACAGAAAGCCAUUCAACAGCAAGCGGAACCUGUAAAUAUAAUCUAAAGCACAUCGUUGAAGCCAUGAAGGAAGGUACAGCUACUUUUUACAUCAUUCAUCUGAUUUCUGAACCAUGCAACAUAGCAUGACUAGCCGUCCAUUUACAAAGAGGCUCUACGUUGCAUGUAAACUACCUUACCCCUGAUUUAUAAGCUACCUCUGCUACUCGCUAACUAUCCUCUGAUUAGCAAUAAAACAUUACCCUUUUAACAUUUUCUUUUAGCGCUGGCAAUGGUCGUACACCAGACUCUCCAGCUGCUCUGGAACUUUUUCUUCCAGCAGCAGCACAUCCGUUCUCCUGCAAAUCUGGUUCCAUGUAGAAUCUGGCUCGGAAUGCAGCUAAAUGUGCAUAAUAAGCAGGAGGAACUGCACAAAACCGGAAAUUCUCAAUGAUGUUAAGAAGAUCAAGUACAACACAAAUGAAAAUAUUCAAAGGACUGAGGGAGCAUUAAAAUGUUUCAUCAAGUAGAACAUAAAGACACAGGUGAGCACAAAAUGAUGAUCUAGGUCAAAGAAGAGGGUGGUUCUGUGCCUCUGGCCGCCCUGAUUGCAGCUGAGAAUAUCUUUGAAGCAUACGAUAUGCGAAAGUUUUAAUUAACUUUGUGUGAAAAAAAAACUUCCAGAAUCACCAAGAUAUUUUGAAGGUGGAUGUUGGAAAGACGGGGAGGAAGAGUGGGAGAGGAAAGUAUGGAGUUCCUCAAUCAAGCCCUGCUAGCAGGCACCAAGUGUUGUAAGGCGACACACGAGGUAAUAUCAUGCUAUUUCCAACCAAAAUUAUCUUAACUUAGCAUAGGCCACAAGAAGUUAAAACAAUUCAGCACAUGCUCUUCCAAAUUCGUAGUCUUUAUCUUUUUGGCCAACUUCCACCUUUCUAUAAUCUGUUACAAUCAUUCUUUUAACUUUUUAUCCUUUUUUCUGGGGGAAGGAGGGCAUUUCCACUCACCAACAGAAACAGAACGGGUGCACCUUGCAUAUGUAUAGCAGAGAUUGUUUGUCAAUGACUGAAUGCCAUCCGCAGUAAAAUUGUUCUCAUCCCAUAAAACAUGGUAAUGUGCUGGUCGACUUGUACCCUGUCAUGGCAGAGAAUUAUAUGUUACCAUCUCAUCCUGGAGGUAAAACCAAUGUAUAUAUAGAGACAUGUUAAAAAAUAAAAUAUAUUUGUAUGUCAUAUCACAAUAAGCGAAUCAAUUAUCAUCUCAUCCUAAAUGCAUUAUAGAAGUGAAAAUAAUGUACAUGUACUAGCGAUCCCAAUUUAAGUCUAUCUUCACAAUGAGAUUGGCCAAAAAACCCGAUCCACUCAUCUUUCCAAACUGACUUCUAAGGUUCCAUAUUGGAUAGAAAAUAAUUUUCAAAUACUAUUCAGAUUAAGCCUUUGCCUGACAAAAAACUACAUAUGAGUGUUAUUUCUUUUCAACUAGAAGUGUCAUGAGCUCUUGGUUCCAUAAGAUCAUUCAUACAUACUAAUGCAAGAUGUGCAACUAAAUGGACAAGACGCGAACUCCUUGCUCUAUAAACAAAUCAUCUCUGGUCAUAGCACAAGUUGGCAGGCAUCAAGAUCCUCAGUUAUACAAGCUAAGGGCCUUAAGAUUAAUGAUGUUGUAGCAACAUAAGCCAAAAGCCAAUCUUUUACCUGAAUGCCAGCAUGGCUGCAAAGGUAAAAAUCAAAUUCUGUUGGGUGACAGAUUUUAGUGUCAACCACAGUGCCUAAGAAACAAGAGAUAUAUUGACAUCAGAUAAAUUCCAAAAAGAAAUAGAAGCAUUUCCCUAAAGAAAGAACUGUGCUUUGUAAACUGUAAUAGUUUACCAGGUAAUAUAUUUCCACUCUUGUCCAUGCUACUGCGAUCCCUAUGAUUAUUAGCAAAUAGCCGGGUGUGAUGUCUCUUUUGUACCACAAUAAAAGUUACUGGCGGCUGAUAAUUUGGUUCUAAAGAAGCACAAGCCUAGAGCAAAAAAGUCCAUUGAUGAGAACUGGAAAACAAGUGAUGAGAGCUACAAACCAAGUUGAAGGUGUUUGUAGAAAUGAACUUAAAGACAAUAAAUUUUACCAGUAAAAGAAAACUACACACUCCAGGGACACGUACCUUCCGGAUUGCAUCUAAUUCAAAAAGCAGGACUUGAUAAAAUUGCCCUUCACUCACACCAUCCCUGCUUCAAUGAACAUCACUAUCAGACAUCAACUAUAGUUGUAAGGACAUUUAAGUGUUUUUUAACAAAUCUUCAAAGUUUCAAACCACUUUCCUCCACCGAAAAACCCACAGAAAACAAAAAGAAGCAUAUUUGUAAAUAAGGCCAAAAGCAGAGACUUUUAUUUGGCAACGUAAAGACAAUCAUCCUGCAAAGACAUAUUAGCUCAUUCUGCACAGUCGCAAGUAAACUCUUGGUUGGUAGGAAGUGACAUCAACUUUCUUAAAGCUUAAUUUUCAACCACAUCCUUGUGGCACUUACUCAAGUCUAGCAUUACAGCCAGACAAUACAAGACAGUUACUGACCUAUAAAAUAUGAUCCUUUGUGGCUUUUGACCAGUUGCCUUUCUGAAGGAAACCAAAAGAUCUCUGAAACAAGAAAACAGGAGAUGGUAAAGAACCAACUCUCUUGCAUUUCAAAGGAAAUCCCAGAACAAAAUUCCAAAAAGAAGGAAUAUUGCAAGCAGAAACACAGACAAACAAAAAGCAGCAAAUGCGAGGACUUCACAGACCGAAUCAUGCCACCACUGACGGUUCCACGGGCAGGAUCAUGCCAUGUCUUGUACAAAUCUUGUAUAAGCUCCUGUCUAUGAGCUUGAGCACAAACUAGUCCCGCGUACUUAGUGACUUCAGGCCAAUCCUGGGAAGCUACGACCUUCAAGCAGAAAUAGUCUAAGCAACCUAAUAUUUCAAGAUAAAUAAUGCAGAGAAGUGCAAUUACAGUAAGUGAAGCAUACUGCAGCUAUUGACGGACUGGAGUCUUCUCCAUUCUCUGGAUGGGUUACAUCUGCUCCAAAUAUGAUGGUUGGAAUGUCACUAACCAAUGGUAUCCUACAGCUUAUAGCAUCCAAAAGUACGGUGUUUCUUCCACCCAUCUGCUUGCAUAAAUUGAGAGAUCUAGAAGUAAGGAGUACAUUGAAUAGGCCAAGCAAUCCUUCUGAGUGGAAAAGUAACUAACAAGGUUAAAGGUACUAAAACUUAUUGUAACAAGUAGUCAGAGAGGCAGCCAAAGGGGAUACUAUCGGCAAUGCAAAGCAAUCAAGGCUCAAUGAAGCCAUUCACCAGAAAUAAAGCUAUGAUCAAAAUAAUUUAAAAUAAAGUAUCAUUGCAUCAUUCCUACCUUAACAUUAAUUUUCAAGGACACAUUGGCCAAGUACUGCUUGCUGAUCUUGAAGACAUGCUUUGUCAGACAACAUUGUGAUAUCAAACCAAGUUCAGUUUCACAUAUUCUCUUCAGAUCGCCUAUAAAGUAGAAUCAAAUCGUAUUAGAUACAUUAGAUAAUGAUAGUAUUGAGCUCAUGCCAAUUUAAAAAAGUUUCUGUCUCUCAAACAUACCAUACAAUGAACCAUUGUUGUCUGGUAAAAUGGCUAACAGAAGCUCCAGUUCCUUUCCUCUUAGUCUGUUCAUACAAGCAUGAUAAACAUGCUUUAGAGCUUUCUCAACUUGAUCAGGCCUAGCACAGUAGAUUGGAAUUACAGGCUCUGAAUUGAAUUCCUGUAAUAGGAGAGCCAACUAUCAACAUUUUAACAAAGGGCAAAAAUUCAAUACCAUAUACUCUUUAGCACAGACUAAUCAAAGUAGAAAAGAACAAAACUCUACCAUGCCAGACACUUGACACAUUUGAGCCAAUUCAUUGCAGAACCCACGAGCAACGCUCUCUUGGACACUCCUCGAGAAGUUGAUGCACGCCCACCGGCUAACAGUCAUCCCAUUGAUCAUUUUCUAUCAGCAUGAGAACAAGUAUUCAGUUGCAACUCCCAAAGAAGUCACAUAGCAAAAAUGUGUUGCAACAAUUCAAUUGAAAAGAAGAGAGACCCCAUCAUGCAUACUAAGGGUCCUUUUAUGGUUGGCCAACAAAUAACUAGCAUGCAUUACAAAGUUGCGCCUUUUUUUUUUGCCACUUGGAUUUGCUAGCUAACAUGGCCCUUUAUGUCGGAAAGGAGUAUUUUAUAUGUCAGUUGAGAAACGAGGGAGGGGGGGAUGACUACUAUUGUUUCAUAUCUCAUGUAAGUUGUAACCAUCUUCAACUAUAAUUAUGGCCUUGUAUUCAAUAAGUAACUUGCAAAAUGAUAUAGAAGCUGGAGAAGAUAUUUACAAGAAUUAAGUUGCAACAGAAUUUUCUAAUAAAACAGAAAAUUAGUUCAAGCAUAAUCAAUACAAAAAAAAAAAGAAAGUCUUACCUUAUUCAUCAUGUUCCACUGUCCAACUUGAGGCAAACAAUCCUUCUCUUUUCCAUUCUCAUGAUAUUUCAGCUAAAAAUAAGUGAAUGAUGUCGUUAAGGACAACAUAAGAUAUUCUUCACAGAUAUGAAUCAGAACAAAAUGCAUUCGUACCCAAGGCGCUGGAAGUACCCUUGCCUCCACAGAAGCUAGAUUUUCGCUAAUUUUGAUCCCAAAUUCCUUGGCAUAUGGAUCUUGAUCAUAUGCAUUUUGCUGAACUGUCUGCAUAGGAGCAGAACAAAAGGAUACCACAUCAAUUCCUCAGGCUCAGUUAACCUCACUUAAGACUUUCUGAAGUUCAGAAAUCAUAGAGUAAGCACUAAAUUUUAGGCACUUAAUUGAGAAAAGGAAGAGAUGCUAUGGUAAGAAUCCUAAUAGAGAAUGUGUAAUGUAGAAAUGGUUAUUAUUCAAACAACAUAACCAGGGACUUCAGUAUCAAGUUAAAUUCCUACCCUGCUACAUUGUCAUAGAGAUAAUCCAGAGCUUGAUAACUCCAAGGUUGUUGCAGAAGGCAGAAGCUUUUAGCAUGCAUCAAGCCUUAGGAAGCUAGCAGAGAAUAAGGAUUUCAACAUUUUCUCCAGCUCAACUAUUCAACUAUAUGCACUCAAAAGGUAGUUUUUUUUUUUUGUUUAAUAGAUGGUGUGUAUGUUUUGGAUUGAUAAGACAUUCAACUGGUGAAAUUUCCUCCGGUACCAUGAGAUUUGAAGGUCAAACUGAGACUGGAACUAGUAAGGUGAUUAGGUGAAGUACCUGCAAAAUGUCAUUUUCACGCUCCCUGGGUCUUUGGCAUGUAAACUUCAGAAGAGCUGUAAUUUGCUUCUCACUCAGCCUUUUUGUAUAUCUUUGGCCCUCAACAAUUUUACAUGCCUGAAAGUUCAAUAAAAUUAGAGCACAUGCAAGAACUUGAAAGACAGUAAAAAGUUGAACCCAUCCACUGGAACACAAAAUGUUGACUAAUAAUCAUGUUACCUCCAUUGGUAGAUAGUUAGCCUUCUUUUGGUUCCCGACUUGAAGGCAAGGAAGAUGAGUAUACUGAAUUUUGAAGCCAUACAUUUCUUGGAAGUAUUCAACAACUGAUUUCAUCGUUGAAUUGUCAUCAACUGGAAAACUGCUUUAGAACUAUUUAUUAGUUUCUCUUGUUCAGCUUGCAAGUUCAAAUUGAGAGUGUUAACAUAAAGGACGAAUAAUAAUAAACACAUCACGGGAACUAGGGGUUAAACGAACUGAAACAGCAGACAAGAAUUUGUUUAAAAUGCCCAUGUUACCAGAGAGGAUGGGCUUGGACUAGUUAAGUUAGAUGCAACACAUUUCGUUUCAACAACUCUUUGUUCCAUCAACUUUCAAUUUGUUUAUAGGAUGAGGGACAGCUACUUAAAGAAAUGAACAUCAAUCUUUAGCGAAAGACAAAUAUCUUACACUAGUUCUCGAGUUGGUUGGGUUGUUAACCCAGAAACCCGAUACUUUCUUCGCACACUUCCCCUAUGCGUUACUUCAACUUUCACUCCUCUGAGAGCCUUUUUUAUCUGGAUCACAUGCGAAUUACAAAACCACUAUAGGCAUUUAGCAUAAAGUACUUCAAGCUUAUAUUUGCCAAAUUAAUAGAAAGUACCUUAACACGGUCAGAGUCAGGCAAAGGGCGUGAUAUUGCAACUUUUCCCAGAAGUUGGGCAACAAAUUCUAUCACCGGAAGAGCCUCAAUAAAUGCAGCUGAAGCCAUAUCUUCAUGAAAUAAACAACAUAAAGUUGUGUAACCAUAAAAGUAGAGCCAUUGUGAUUUAAAUUUCUAAAUCACCAGGUAAAUUACCAAUAUUGAGAGACAAGCCCAUUUGAGUUGGUCUUAUACUCUGGUAGAACCCACACCAUGCUUCUAAGCCAUCUCCAAGACGUUGAGGCCUCCUGAUAACAGGAGAAAAGAAUGAUCUCCCCACUGGGCAGUACCUAUUAAAGUGUGCAGUAUAAAAUUUAAAAAAAAAGGGAAAAAUAUGAAGGACAAAUGCAUUAGUUUUCAAGUAGUCAUAUUAAGAUACAGUAAUAUAUCCAAGGAAGUAUAUACCACGUAUAUCAUUGUGAUACCUUUUUACAGAAAGCUCUCUCAACACAAUGUCAAGUAUUUGAAGAGCUUCCUGCGGACCAUCUGCCCGUUUCCCAGCAAGAAAUUGGCCUAAAUGAUGCAAAUUUGCCCGUGCAACAAACUUGAGUACAACUUUGUACUCCCUCUCUCUCCUGAAAUGAAUUCAGAUGUUCAACUAAUUACCACAACAAAUUUUGCUAAUUAAAAUUUGAAAGGUUCUGAUUGUAAAGGUUAUAAAGACCAAUCCUGUUGUAUUUUUAUUCUUAUGCUGAAUAUUCCUUUGAGAAUUUUUCAUCCUUAGCUGGAAAAUGAAGUCUUUAAAAUUUUAAAAUUGAGGUUUGUACUUUGUAGAGAGCAAUAAAACCAUACUUGGGGCCAUUGACUCCAUCCUCUUCAUCUAUUAACUUAAUUGUGAACUCUUUCCAAGCGAAAGGCAGUUCACCAGCAGUGUAUAGACUCUUUCUGCCAUCAAAUGCAGGCAAUCUCAUCCCUAAGUCAGAUUCUUUGUACAGUUUCACCAACUCUGCCAUGAUAGCUCUGUUCACGUUUUUAGACGCCACUUCAGGAGUUAUAGUAACCUGCAAAAAUGGGCAGGAAUAAUUGCAAAAGGCAAUGAAAUAUACAGAACAUUAAGUACAAUGCCCAUUACCAUUUUCAAGGGCCAUUAAUGCUACUUAAAAGCAGAGGACAAGGAAGAGAAAUGAGCCUACUCAAUUUUACCUGCAAAGUAACUGCAGAUACAAAAAGAAAAAAUAAAAACAUAAACAUACUGAAUGUCAGCCUAAGGGCCCCAGCAGUCGUGCCCCAAAUCAAUAAGUAUAAACAAUUAAUAACUCUGCAGCAUUACACUCAACAGUUAAGUUAAUGAAGAACAUGAAAGAAAAAAAAAACAAACACACAAACAACUUACAUCAUAUUGGUUCAAGUCCUUGUCCGGUAACUCUGCAAAGAAAUGGUUGGCCUUAACCAUACAUUUCGUUCCAAGUUGCCCAAACCCAGGUCUAGGUGCAAAACUCAAUGACUUGCUUGAAGAGGGAAAACCCAUGUCCACUUUACAUAGUUUAUUGUUCCCAUUCUUAGCACAACUACUUGUUGGAGUUGAUUCAACAGGACCAGCAGGUUCAGCGGAAACCGGCUUAUUUGCGGCAGUGCAAGGCCUUGAACUUGGCCGCAUCAAGGUGUCACCUUGAUCAGAUUUCCGGCCACCUCUUCCCCUUCUCCUUCCUCUAUUUCUUGAUGGAGGUGAGGACUGAUUGUAAGGCUUGGUGUUCUGAGUUUCUUGGGCGGGUGGCCCUUUACCGUUUUGAGCUGUUUUGGGAUUCUUCUGAACUGGAUUCAUUGAGCUCUGGCACUGGGGUUUGAUCACGAAAUGCUGUUCUGAGCUCUCUUUCAUUUGCCUAAUAGGCAUGAUGAUAGUAAUGAUGAUGACAGCUUGCUUGCAAAGACUUUUUGUGCAGAAUACGGAAACCUGCUUAAAACAAAAAUUCUCCCCUUGAUGGCACAAUGCAAGACAGUCACCCUUUCUCGCAAUCACUAUUCAAUCUUCCCUCAUUACUCCUCAAAAAUUUAAGGCCAACCCAACUGCAAUCCAGAAACAGAGAAGAGAAGCCAUGUCACUAAAAUAACCCGACAGGGAAAAUAACCAGUAAGAGAAAUUGCGGUUGCUUAAACCAAUUUUCACACGCAAUAGUCAAAUGUCAGGCAUUCAACUUCAAGUCUACAUAUAGUUCUACACACAUUACCAUUCUUUUGCAAAACUAAGUAGCCCCAAGUUCUCGCACGUUUGUUUCAUCAACAAACACUACCCGCAACUUAGAAGUUGAAGUGGCUAUUGGACAUUUGGACUCCUAGAGUGAAGUAAAUCAAGAAUAUAUUCAAUAAAGAGGUUAACGAAGUAAAAAUAAUCAUAUAUAACCACACAAAAAACUGUAUAUGAGUUUGGUAUUUCUAAAACCCUUAUUAUGAAUGAUAUCUACGAGUACAUGGAUAUAUUUCGUUAAUAUCAACUCUCAAUGACCCUGUUCAAAAAGAGCUUGGAAUAUCCAAAAGAAAAGGGGAAAAAAAGGAUUGUAACUAAACUAGGAUUUGGGCUGGGAAAAGACACACACGUGAAGACAGAACAAAAAGAACACAACCCAGAACCGAAAUCCUAUUAGAUGCUUCUGUUGGAAACCCAACAUCCAUGAAUCAGGAUGAGAAUAGGAGAAUAAGUUGAUAAAGAUAACAUCUAUGUGUUGAAAUAUGCAUACAAAUACCAAUAAAUAAAAGUAAUAGGGGAAAUGCCCAGGAGACAAAAACCAUUCCUUUACCUUGUCUAUUAACCAAGACCAAACCUUUGCAUCAGAAAACUACAAAAUAUGGAUGAGUAAAUCCAAAGAAAAAAGACACUAGUAUCUCAUAUAUACACAUAUAAACAAGCAUUAAUAAAUGUGGAAGGCAAAGUAUGACUGCUCAAGAAGAGAAUAAAAUUGCCUAGAAAGAAACAAAAGUCACAAGAGGUAAUAGUAGCAUGUGUGUAGCUAGAACAGAUAAAAGGAAUAAACAUUGAAAAACUCACUCCAACAAAAAUCACUAUCUGAAGAUAGAUGGCCCCUAUACCACUGCUUCAUAGAAAAUGACACUGAGAUUUUAAAGUUUACUGAGCUGAGGUUUGAAGCUUUAGAGAAAAAAUGGUGGGCUAACGAGGAAGGGAAGGGAAGAGAGCUAGAAAGUGGAGAUUUAAACUAAAAAGAUGGGAUUUUUGGUGGGGUGAUUCAACUUUCAAGAUUACAUCAGAGAGAGAAAAAUUGAAAUGUUGAAGAGAAAGAAAUUAAUAAGAGUGGUGAUGAUGAUGAUGAAGAUGAAUCUUUUCUAUCCACGCAUGCAAUUGCUUUUGGUGUUUUCUUUAUCACGUGUAAAAGGCUUUUCGAAGUCCUCUCCUCCCCUUUUGCUUUUCUCUAUAACUCUUGCUCUAUCUCCUCUUGCUCCCCUCCCAUCCUCUAAUGUAGACAGACACAAACGGGGACUCAUUUCUACCUGCUCCAAAAUGUGAUGGCUUGCCAAAUGAAAAAGAAAAUACACCACUCAAGCUAAAGGACAAUUGUGUUCGAGUGUGUGAGCUGCUACCUACAUGAAUGCAAAGAAAAACAGAAAAAGAAUAACUGAAACCUGCAGCCCUCACCAGUUCACAAAAUGGGAUCUUCUCUUCUCACUUCCACAGUUUUCAGUUUUGACAGAAACACAGCGCUCUUUCUUUUCUUUCUUCGCUCAUGCUUAUGCAUGCAUUUUGCUUGUCUUGGUUUUGUUUGGAUGCGAAGAGAGGAAGAGGACAAACUACAAAGGCAAGCAAGCCUUGUACAAUGGCAGCUCAAUUUUUUGCUACGGCUGAAUACUUUAGCUUUUAGCUUUGGCUUCUCAACAAGAAAGUCCCAUGAAUCCUAUCCUACGUAGUAGAGAUGUCCCAGAAUCUUUUAUUUAUGUACUCAAGCAAUCAAGCUUUGGUAAGCUGUAACGGUCAGUUCAAUCCCUCCAACUCUAAUGGCUAGUUUGUGAGUUGAGGAUAGAAAAGAAAAGAACAGAAAGCACAAGUUAUGAGAGAAAAGAAAGGAUAAGAAAAAAUUUUGUAAGCUUCCAUCAGUUUUCCUUCGCUUUCCGCCCGUUUUGGUCAGAAAAAAUUUUGCACUGUAGCAGCUUUUGGCUUCCCUUCAAGAUCCGUUCGUUUCUUUUCUUUUCCGUCCUACUUAAAUGUCCCAAACAUAGAAAAGUCCACCUUUCCCUUCCUUUCUUUUCUAUUCCUUUGAAAUCUGAACUCCCAAACUAGCUAUAAGAGUGAGAUGGCGUCCACUUUUCUUUAGGUUUUCGGUUUGGUCCACAACAUGUGUGGCCUUAUCUGCUUUUUGGAACUAUGGGAAUUAUUAGUUUCUUGGACCAGUUGGGACUGCAAUUAAUCACACAGAUUUAGGAUUAGUAAAGUUUUUAUCAAUGCGUCCUAACAACUAAUGUUGCCAUGUGUCGUAUUUAUGUCCUCUAUUCUCGUUGUCGUCCAGCCUAUAAACACUUCUUGGUAGUUCAACUUUUUAGACUCAAUGCAUGUUCGAUACAGAUGCUAAACACAGCGCGGUACGACCUCAGUACAAUGUUCUCUGUUCAGCAAAAGAUAGUAGAAUUUGUUUUGGAUCGUAGUUUUCCUAAAUUUUUAUAUUUUUCACAAGCAUAUUUCUUCGUUAUCUUUUUACCUUCGCAUAUAUCAAAUCGUUACAUUAUAUUUUUUUUAUAAAAACUUCUAAAUAUAGUAAUUUCAACGAGUUCUUAGUAAGACGAAACUUUAAUCUCUAAUCAUCGUUCAUCUCAAGUACUCUAAAAAUUAAACUGCAUUAUCUACCAAAUAAAAUUGUAUAUCCUAUUUGCUAACUCUUACUUUUUUUUUUCAGACAAAUUCUUGCUGUUUGGGGAGAAAACACAACAUAACACACUAUUCAGAAUGUUCAUGCAAAUUUUUUAAAACAACUCUUAAUUCUCAAGUAUCAUUAAUUUUCUUUGAUGUGAAUUUUUCAAGUAAAUUCAUUUUUGGUUAUUUGGUAGUGCUACAUCUCAUGCAGUAUGCAAUAGAGUACUGCAAAGGCCUCAUCAUGACAUUCUGUGGCUAACUAGCAUUACUCUGUGCGUGAUUCUUAAUGAAUCUCACUUAAAUGGUGGCUCCACCAGCUGAAGGGGUGCUUGAUAAAUAUGAUAUAAUAAUGAGGUGAGACAGCAUGGGUCUGAGAUCAGAGGUGUUGAAAAUUGGGAACCAUUUUGAUCUGUGAGAUUGCAAAGUACAUGAUUAUACCUCCAGGGAGCAAGGUCUUGGGGCCAUGAUUAGAAAAGGGCGGAAACAGAAUCAGAGUAGCGAUUGUCUAUGAUGGCAUCUUGGACUUGGAACUCAUGGGUCCUUAUAAUCACGCUACUCUUGAUAAGUGAGAAGCUUUCUUGUGUGUUUAUUUCAGUAUCGUGUUUCAUGAUCCCACUCUUUGUUAUGUUAGCAUAAUUAGUUAAAUAAAAGUCGUGAUUGUUCCUGCGAGUACAAGCCAUCAUUACCUGUUGACCAUGCGGUUCACAGAAUCUGUGCUCCAUUGAUGCCAUGAGGGGAGAUCAACUUCCUGCUGAUAUCAUCAUUAGGAGUCUGGGGGAGGACUGGAAAUCUCUUUUGUCACCUCAAUAAAUGACUACAUGUGAUUGGUUGUUAAGGCUAAUCCAGUGAAAUUGGAGAAAUACCAUGGGAUCCAUGACCAAAUAUGAAUAUUCCCUGACUUGAUCAAGGCAAAAGGAACAUCACAAACAUCAAACACACUACUAUCUUAUCACAAGACUUGUCUUCUAGAUAAUAAUGUGACAAGUUGGAUUCUCUUAUAGCUUAUGGCACAUUACAUUCAACAGGGCAAUUUAGGUAAAUUAAAUGGGAUUUUAAUUGAGAAAUUCAGUGAGCAAAUUAAUCAAAAUUGAGAAGUUUAGUUAAUUUUUCAAAGUUUAUUGAAAAAAUUGUAAACAUCACGUCAGUGCCACUUUUUCGAUGACAAUUCAAUGUCACUUCUACAUUUAUGUCAAGUAUUCUGUUUAUUUAAUUUGUCAUGUGUUGUUUAUUUAAAUUUCUUCUACCCUCACGCGAUAAGUGUGAUUGGUAUUGAACUUGACACCGAGUAAUGACACAAAGGAUCCCAACUGCGUAAACAUUUUGUGAAAAGUUUACACUAAUUUUGUUUCCAAAAGCAACACAAAGAUUGCUUUUCCAAGUCAACUUCUUAUUUUUUAAAAUAACUACUUUUAGCCUAUUAUAAAUUCGAAACAAGGCCUCAAUAUUUGUAGGAUUCUGAAGACAUAAGUGCUGAUUCAUUCAUAUAAUGACUCGAAUUAUGGUUUGUCUAAAUAAAAAUAUAAAUUUCCACAGCAAAGUAUUGACAAUAAGAUCUUAAAUGGGCCUUAAUUACUAGUAUGAACCCAAAUUUUGAUUCCUUUUUUUUCCUUCUAAUAAUCUAAAAUAACAAUGCACAAAGACAAGUUGACCUUUUUAAGCCUGUCAAAACACCUCUUUCAAAGACUCCUUAAAAGAAAUCUAUAUAUAUAUAUAUAUAUAUAUAUAUAUAUAUAUAUAUAUUUAAACAACUUUUAGAUAAUUAUUCUAUUACAUUUACAUCCAUCUGCGAGCAUUCACAAGAUACUACUACUACUUAAUCCUUGUGCCAGAGGUGCACCAUAAUAGACGGAUUAAACUGAUUAAAACUCAAAUGCAGGAGGAGGUAAAGUCCUUAUCUUGAUGACGACUUUGCAUGAAGCAAAGCAGCAUCACAGAGGAAAUAUUUAUAGAUGUGGGAAAUCUCGUGUAAUCGUAGAUUCAUGGAACAGGACCACAUCUAGUCAAGGCAGCUGAGGAGGAGGAGGAGGAGGAGAAGACUUAGGAAGCCAUCAACGAGUGGAAAACAAUGGCUCAGUGAGUAGAUCAAAAUCAUUAUGGAGAAGACCCUCUCAUGUCAUGUCCGGACUAAGCCACAUCAAACAAUAUUAAUAAAAGAAAGCGUACCUUUCUCUUGGAUUGGAGGACACUACGGACGGAGGGUCGGGGAGGGGCCUUCGGGGUACAAAACUUUAACAAAUAUCUAAUGUUUUACCUCAUCUUUCUUUAGUUAUGUUAAUGGGAUUUAUUUCUUUGGUUGAUGACACUCCAUUUUCUUUAUAUAUUUUUCCAGAAAUUUUCAAUCAGAUGAAAUAUCAUUUCUCUUUGUACAUCAAUUAUGCAUGGGACUGUGAGUCUUGUAAAAACUUUCUCGGACUAACUUUCUUUAAUUUUCAUGUCUAGAUUGUUUGUACGUUGUUAUAUAUAUGGGUAGAUUAUCCUAAAAUUAGGCUUUCAAAAUUUUUUUUUCAAAAUUUUCUUAUCUGUGCACCUCUAGGAUGCAUGAUAAAACUGUAAAGAUAAAAAAGAAUAGGACACUAUAAAAAAAUAUCAUAAUUUAUUCCUAUAUUAUGUACGGUUUAUUAGAAGAAAAUUUCUAUUUUACCAAUAAAGUGGCAUGGAGCUGAGUUUGACUUUAGCCAUUGAAGUCCCAAACUCUCAUGAAAAUGUUCCAGAGCAGCGUAUUAAAUGCAUAGUUUCAGCACUCUUACAGCGAAAGAGAGAAAGGGUGAAGAGCAGGCUGGUCAUGGAUGGAAAUGAAGAAAUGGUUAUGGGCUAUCUUAUCUUUGUUGUUACACAAACAAGCUUUGGAUUUUCCUUUGUACACGUUAGGAAAGACGGUAGCAGCACUAGUAGUAGAUUGCAGGCAGUAAAGUGGGGAACAACUGCCGGGAACAACUGGGAAGGAAGAUUAAAUAUAUGGCAUGAAGAUAUAUGGGCUAACUUUGUUCUGUUUUGGGAUUGAUAAUUUUUUAAUUCAUAGGUGUCAUCCAGUAGAAGGAGGACGGGAAAAUAGAGGUUCUGGAAUCUGGACAAAGAAAAGGUAUUUUGGUGAGAAUAUAGAAGAAGUGGUGCAUGGGGUUUGGGUAACCUUGCCAAAUUGUUUCAUAUUUUACUGCUUCCCAAGUAAAAAUGGUGCGUGUGGUGGGCCUCCAACAUCCACCACCAUUAGAGGACUAGGAACACAUCCACAUACUCAGUCACACACCAUCACAUUAUAUAGUACUCCCUCCGUCCUAUUUUGAUAGUCCUGUUUCUUUUUUUCACACAGUUUAAGAAAAAGUAGUUAACUUUGUUGGAAAAGUAAAUUUAGAUUGUUAUUUUCCUAAAAUACCCUCACAUUAAAUAUGAUACAACUUUAUGGAAACUUGAAUUGAUGGUAAAAAAAGAAUCAACUCUCAUUAAAUUGGGUAGGUUUAUAGUAACAACUACUUAUAUUGAAUAAGGGUAUUUUAGGAAAAUUAAAAUACAACUACAUUCUUCAAUUGGAAAGUGGACUACAAUUUGAGACAGAUGAAAAGGGAAUACAUGACUAUCAAAGUGGGACGGAGGAGUAAUAAAUAUACGUACAAAUUUGAUUUAAAAUUUGAUGUUUCAAUGAGUCUUCUAAUCAAGUUUUAUACAUACAUCACACUUUAUUCUUCUUCUUUUUAUAUGAGUUUUUUUUUCAUAUGAGAGGAUCAAAAGUGACGUUCUACCAAUUCUUUAGUGACUUAAAAACUCGAGACCUCUAAGUCACGCGUGAAAUAUCUUACAAUUAAACAAUUUAAAACAGUAUAGUGCAUCGGAGAAAAAAAUUAAUUAUCUAGCUAAAAAUUGUGAUCCCUUUUUCUUCUCUUUAUUUAUCAAGAAAAUGAUUUAGAGGCAUGGGUGAGUGAUUGAAAAAGAGGUGCAUGGCAUUGCAGAGAGGAAAUGCAUUAAGUAGUAGUAGUUUGCGCUGCUGGGGGUUGCUUGCUGCAAUAAUUCCACCGAUCUCAAACGUUAGGUUAGGUGCUUUUUUGUUGGGGAGAUGGUGAGUGCUUCAAUGAAUUGGAAGAGCAGAAAAGCAAUUAUGUUUGACCCUUCUUAUGGAAAUCUGUGAAGUGCGUUCGUGCUGGCUGCCUGGCUCAAUCUCAAAAUGAUCCAAUUGCUUGAAAAACAUAAUAUCAUUUUUUACCUUCAAAAAUUUUUUUGACUGAAAUAUUUUACAUAGAGAAGCAGUUUUGUAAAUGAUUUUUUUUUUAUUUUUUUUGGAGUGUGGACAAUUAGAAGAUGACUUCAUUAUUUUGCAUUAGCAGAAAGUUCUCGUUUGGAUUGUGUUUUUCUGCAAAAAAAAAAAAUUUACGUCUUCCGUGAAUACAUUUCUCAAUCAUUUUUUUACUUCACGUACAUCAAAUCGGUACAAUAUAUUUUUCUAUAAAAAAAAAGUUCUAAAAAUUGGAAUCCAAACAGAGUAUUAAUACUCUCUCAAUCUCCUUUUCUAAGAGCUAUCAUUUUGUAAACUUUCACAAAUUACUCCGAAUUUCUUUAGCAUGUCACCUUUUAUAUUGAAGUUGGUUCUUUCAAAAUCGCUUCAUGUCCAACUAAUAACCUUUAGCUAGCUACCUACCCCACCAAAAAAAAAAAAAAAAAAAAACCUUUUAGCUAGCCACAUAUUAGUACAAUUCAAUGAUACUUUCUGCUUGUACCUUAACAAUUAACUCAAAAAAAAAAAAAAUUUUUGGGGUUCUUGAAUAGUGCAUGCAUGAGAGGCGGCUAAAGCUGCUUAUCCACUACCUUAUUAUUCUUUUAUUUCAGACAGUGCAUUAUUGCUUUCUGCUGCAUAGGAGAACACCAUUAAUGUGGCACGGUCUUUAUAUAUAUAAUUGUUCUUGAUUAAGGGAAAAAGAGAUGUAAGGAUUUGUUCCUUCAACAGUAGUAGUAGUUUAAUUGUUCUUGAAAAGUUGAAUGAAAAAGACUACAGCUUUAAGUGGUGCUGUAGUGGCAAUGGGAUUCACACAAGAGUAUGGCAAAAGGAAUUAAAAAGAAAUGUAUGGAAUUCUCCCCAUCAAGAAACAUCAGAGAACUAUCAUAACAACGACACCUAACAUAUGCUUCCCAUUAAUGGACCUUCGAUGCUGCUGAAAUCUCUCUUGUUUAAUUCUUUUCUGACCUAAUCAUUUUGUGGCAUGCAUCAGUUUACAGUAAAUUAAGUAGCAGGCUAUGGCUAUAGCUAUAGCUUGCUUUUCGGCAUUUGAGAUCUAUAAUGCAUUUAAAUUGCUGUUUUUAUUUGGGCAUGCGCUUAAUUCUUAAAAAGCAUGUAAAACUAACGAUCUUCAAUUCUUAGGUUAGAGAUUAGGGAUAAACCUAUUCUUCUUUUUUAGUGCUAUUAUAUUUGGAAAACUUGAGGGCUUAGAAGAGGCUCCUUGAGUGUCACAUAAGCACAAACACACACAUGAAUAUUUAGAAUAUCUUAUAAACAAAUGUUUAUAGAACCAAUGAAAAUUCUCAUCCGUGCACUGUAAAAAUCAUUGCGAAUAUACAUGUGUUUGGACUGUAGAUAAUUUGGGAUAAAAAUUUUUUUUAAAAAAAAAUUACUGUAAUAUUUUUUUGUUGUGAUGUAUGUGAGAUAAUUCACAACAUGAUUUUCACCCCGCUGAUAAAGAGAGCAUGUUGGUAUUUGCUCAUACUAAUUUUAGAACAGCUUGAGUAAGAGAAGUAGAAGAUCCUGAAUUUUUACUAAUUUUAAAAUAUGUAUACAUUUUAAUAAUGCAAUGUGAGGGGAGUAGUUGCUAGUUAGUAUAACAAGCAGCCAAAGAACAAACAGUAAUAAGCUUUCCCUAUUCUGGUACAGAAAAGAGAAAAUCUUUGGCCUAUGAUUCUGUGGGUCUUCCUUAAAUGGUAAUAUAUCUUCUUCCCAGCACCAGCAGAGCUGCCACACAAAUAAGUGUCAAAUCGCGGGCAGGAAAAACCCAACUUUCAUAGGCAAAGAGAAGGGUCAAUCUAUGCUGAUCCACAAUUUCAUCGGCCGUUCCUAUCACGGCUGUGUUAUAUUCUCCGUACCAAUUACCAAACCCCUCACAUAUACUGCCGCUUUUGAAAAAAAUUAAAUAAAUUACCAAACCCCUCCCUUUCUUUCUUCUAGUUUGGCAAUAAUAAUAUACUUCUUCUAGCUCUAGGUCGUGAGAAACAAACAAGUGUCAAUUCAUGUGUAUCUGUGCCAAUUAUGCAAAUUUAUGGUGCACGUCAAGAUUCAAAAUUAUGGCAUGUACAAGCUUUCUCAAUAUUGUAUCACGAGCCAUGAGCCACCGGUCCUUUUGCCUGGUAAUCAUUGUCAAGCACUUAAAUUUUGGCGGUGUUGGGUUGAACCAUUGACCUCUUAUCAAAUUGUCAUUAUAUGUGGUUGUUUUCAAUGACUUUCUCCCAUAGAGUUUUUACUCUCAUCGAUUUCCCUUCUCCUUAGAUUAAGAUAGAUUAGAUUAUAGAAAUAUUACCGUUGCGACAAAAAAAAAAGUAUCACAAGCCAUGUAAAACAACUAACUUUUGAUUUGGUUAAUUGAUACAUUGUCAUGUUACAUGAGAUCGUUUCAUAUUCCAAUACAUUUAGAAGGGUUUGGACCGAAGAUUAUUUGAAAUUCGCUGUAACAGUUUUUGUAAUUUGAUAUAUGCGAGACGAAAAAGUAAUUAAAAAGAUAAAAUAGUUGAUUGAAAAAAUGUGUUUACGAUACAAGUAUAUUUAUAAAUAAAAGCUAUGCACACACGUUCUAGUUUUCAAUUAGUGCCAAAAAGAAAGAGAGAGAGAGGGAGAAAAUAAAGAAAAAAGAGAAUUGCAAACCUACAUGUCUUGCAACCAAAUGGCAACUUUUAACUUGUGCACCUACCCGAUUGUCUACUUUUACAAAAGUUUAUAUAGAUUACUAGCACAAGAAAAAUGUGCAACUUGUAUACAUUGCAAAUAACUGGAUGGAUCAUUGCCUUCAUUGCAUCUUUAUUGUCUAUCUCAAAGAUCCCUCCUAAAGCCACUCCAUGACUGUUGAAUGUUAGCUUAGCGUUUCAAAAACAUCAUGAGUGGCCUUGUGUUAAUUUUGAGUUGACAGAAGAAUGCCAAACUCAAGUGAUAAUUAAAUUGCACAAUAUCGCAAAGAACAAAUCACCUUUAGUUUCAUAAUUACAAAAAAAAAUCAAGUUUCCCAAACAAUUUGGACAAACACCGAACUCAAGGUCAUCCCAACUCUAAUUUAUUAUCUAGACAAGAACGAAUCAAAAGAGCCAAAAAAAAGAAAAAAGAAAGAAAAUGGAAGAAGAAGAAGAACAGCUGUCUAUUAUUGAAUGAGUACAUCAGGGAUUUGUCGAUCCUAUCCGACGCUGCAAAAUUUACACAUAAUAAUAACAAUAAUGCUCUUCCUAUCCGACCCUGAUAACUGUUGUCAUUGAUAUUUGAUAUUCUCCUCUGCUCGGUCUUCUGGUCUUUUGACAAAUCCUUUUCCUACUCUCUGAGGCAUUACAAAAGUGUCAGCAUCCAAAGACACUGAUAAACUCAUCUCAUCCACUCUCCCGUCCGAAAGCCAACAAGCCAUUUGCUCCGAGAAAAGAAAAAAAAACCCUCAGUACUUUCCCAACGUCCUUUAAUCACCAACCCUACCCUUUUUCGUGAAAAGCACUAGGGUCCCGUUAAGUCCCUCAAGAAUUAUUUUGGCAAAUCGUAAACAAUUGAAUCUUAAUUACCUUUGUCUUUUUUUGAUAAUAAGAAUCUUAAUUACCUUGAGAUGUUGUAGCUCACAAACAUGAGUGCCCUAUUGGGAUUUAGGGAUCCCGAAAAUAUUUUACCGCUAAUAUUAACGCCUGUUUGAGUUGCAUUUUUUUAGGAGUUUUUUUCUCCCAAAAAAAAAAAAGACUAACAUUAUUGUAUGACUUUUUUAAGAUAUCAUGUAUCAUGUAAGUUAAAAUAGUAAUUCAAUUUGUUUUUCAAAAAAAUAGUGAUACAUACAAGGCCUAGAUUUUCUGGAUUCCUUUGCUUUUCAUGCACAAGAAGUUUUGUUUGUAAACAUACUACCUUUUUCUGUAUUGGUGCAGCAAUGUCGUCACAUAGAUCCAUAGUACCUUUUUCUUUAUUGGUGCAGCAACGUAGUCAUGGAAACUACUUCCCUUUUUUUUCUUUUUGGCUAUUCAUUCAUUUCUCGCAAAUCUUUUGUCACGAAUUCUUAAGUAAAUGGAUUGUACCAUUUCGAGUGCCUAUGCGAUAUCUUCAUUUAUCUAGUACGGCUAGCCAUAGGUCCCAAGCGGGGGUAGUUCGCUGGUUGGUUCUUUGAUCUUUAUCUGGAGAUCACCAUUUCGAUUCCCGCUUGUCUACCAUGUGAUGCAUCUUUGGGGGGAGUUCUGCACCGUCGCAGAGAAAUUAGUCUGAAACAAGUCAGGAUUCUAGAUAUAGGACUAUUUUUCACCAAUUUUGCGACCUAGAAUUAAGUGAAUUUUAAAUAUUCCAUGCAUUGAAAAUUUUCAUCUAACAGAAAACUUAUGUGGCAUUUAAGUUUUUGACUAAAUGAUUGGUUAAAAUUUACUCUUUUUUCUUUUAACCAGAUUGGACCUCAAGGAUUUUCUCUUAUGCAGUCUGCCCGCACGAUGAGAAAUUCAAUGUUGGUGAGUUGGUCAUCGAGGCAAGCAUGCUUCGACAAACCGCCACCCUUCCUGAUUCAACUACUAUAUGCACACAAUUAUUAGGACAUUUUUUUAAAUAUAUAUACAGGUACAUGAAUGAGUGAUGCAUGAUUUCAAAAGUACUUUUUUUUUUGAUAACGAUGUAUCAGAAAUUCGAGCUUUAGAACUUUUUUGUCGUGAAAAAUGCUCUUGCUUGGUCCCAAUUCAUUCAUCCCGUCCCAGCUAGUAGUGAAAUUUAUAGUAACAUCAUUCUCGUCAAAAGUGCUUCUCUCUCAUUAAGCUUGAAAGAGCUUUACUUUCACUUUUUACGUUUUUAUUGGAGAUGACAAAAGGGUGUUUUGUUGGGACCGUGAAUAGCUGGAUGCACAGGACCAAUGUUGUAAUCCCUUUUCUUUUUUGACUGGUAAACUUUUGCGAGCCCGACAAGACAUCAUCUUUUCUUAGAACUAGCUAGUUUCUUUAGUCUUCAUUAUCAAGCUACUUUAUGGAUUAAAGAGAUAGGAUGGUAGUAUCAAUUUAGCCCGCCUCCGGCUACGGAGUUAUUUCUAGAAUCUGGGGUUUAACAUGUAGUUUAACACAUCCACAUGAUUGCUCCCCCACGCAAUUAUGCAAAGAGCAAGUUAAUCAAAAUUCAAGCCUGCAUAACAACUCACCUAUAAGCACUUGCAGGAUUCCUUAGGUAAAAGCAGAUAGAGGAUUCUAAUCCCAUAAACUACUGGUUUUUUUUUUUUUUUUGAAGAAUUACUCUAGUUUGGUUUGUGAUCUAGAUUAGGCCACGAGACAUAUUAUUGGAAUAUGAGUUGUAGAAGUGGCAAAAUGGAUAUAUGGUUGAUAAAUGGUUUUAGUUAAAUGGAUGGUGGAUCAAAUUGAUCCAAUCCAAUUAAAACCAUUUAAUAAAUGGAUCUAAAUGGAUAGUGUAAACCAUGAUCCAUCCAUUUAUCCAUUUACUCUCCCAAAUCCUAAAUUUAAGAUCCAAAUGUUUUUUUCCAAAAAAUACAUAUCCCCAAAGUUCUAUUCUUAAAUCACUUAAAACCUUUUGGUAAUAACAAAUGCUUGUACUACUACUCUAUUUCAGUUCUUCAUAAAAUUAGUUUAGUUCCAAGAAAAUUUAAUUGCUGUGAUCAAUUUAACCUUUCAUCAUUACUUUAAGUAUCAUUUUGUAAAGUAAUGAACAAUUAAGAACUUAGCUACAUUUUUAUAACUUUUGGGUGAAUUGAAUACGGUUUUACAAUGAAAAGAAGUUUACGUUUCCAAUAUUUUGCACUCCUGUUCAAGAGGGAUGCCUUGAAUAAAAGUGGAGUUCUAAUAAGAAAUCUUAUGUUAUUUGACAAGUAAGAUAUUUUCAUCACAUGUGUACAUAGUACCUAAAAAUGUAUGAAACUCCUUAUUAUACCAUUGAUAUAUAAGUUACCUUAUAUUACUUAGUAAAUUAGAUGUCUUGUUUUUUUUUUUUGAUAGUUAGGUUGGGUGAUAAGGGGAGAGGGAUUGUAAGUAUGAGGGUUUGGAUUCAAAACCUUCCACUUAUUAAAAAAAAGAAGAAGAAGGUGCAUUUACGUAUCUUAACCAAUGUUGCGGGGACACUCGUUAGAAAAAUUCUUUUUAUAAAUAAAAGAAUUAAAAAAAUAAAAAAUUAUUUUGACACUGCAUGAUGCAUUCUCGCUUUUUCUUUACUUAAGAAUGUAAAUGUUUGCAAUCAUUACUACAUAAGAGUUUAAUUAAAAAAAAAAUAAGAGUAGAGACUAAAAUAUAAUUUUGAAAAGGAUGGAAGAAGUCUAAGAACUAGAAGCAAAUAAAAUGCAAUUAAUGUUAUUGGCAACUUGGCAUAUGAGGAAGUUAUGAAGGAAAGAAUAGGUGGUCCCACAAAAUUAAUUUGACAUAUAAGGAAGUUAUGAAGAAAAUAAUAAAUGGUCCCACAAGAUUCUAUCCCACUUUUUUAUAAAUAUUUGCAAUCACUAUGUGUGUUUUAUAUUUUUUAAGUUAAAUAGAUGUAUAUGGAUGACAUGGAUAAUCCAUUUAAAUCCACCAACAUAAUUGGAUUUAAAUGGUUAUCCAUUUAAAAUCAUUGAAUUUAUAUGGAUCAUCCAAAUCCAUUUAAGGUUGGUUUAUAUGGAUGGAUUAGUGGAUAUGAAUCCAUUUUGCCACUUCUAAUGAGUUGUUUAGCACAUUAAGAAUGUUGUAAGACUCUAAUGCUUCAACAAUUAUACUCUGUUUGGCUAGAAUUGAAUGAUCACGCGAUGUCACUAGAACAGUUCAUUUGUCACUGAAGAUUACUCAUAAUUCAAUUGUAUAAGUGAUUAACAUAUUCAUAUAAUGAACUAAUUAUGUUCAAUAUGUCAUUCAAGUAAUAUAAUUGAAGCUAAUGUAAAAUAAAAUAAUUAAGUUGAAGAUUAGCCUAAGAAUAUAUUUUUAAAAUUUUUCUUUCUAGUAAGGGGUACGUAAGGCGUAAGAAGUGGAGAUGGGAGAAGAAGAUUUGAAUCCGAGAUCCAUAAGUAUUGGAGUUUUAACUUUAGUCACUAUAUCAACUAGAGUUGCAAACGAGUCGAAUCGAAUUUUGACCUAAUCAAGCCAAAAUCGACUCAAUUUUACCAAAAUUGAACUUAACGAAUUUUCAAUGUAAAACUUGAUUUCGAACUCAACCUCAAAUUUGAGUCUAAUUGAUCUCGAGUUCAAGCCUACUUGAGUUUUAAAAAAAUAAUUAUUUUAUUUUUUAAAAAAAUGAAUAAAAUAUUCAUUUUUCUUUAAUAAAUAAUAAAAAUAUUAUGGAUAUAUAUAUAUAUGUGUGUGUGUAAUUUUACUAUUAAAAUUAUAUAUAUAUAUAUGUUAUUUGAACCGACUGGCAAGUUAACGAAUUGAGUUUCUCUAUACUGGACUUGAACUCGAUGUUGACUAAGUUCGCGUCGAACUUUGAUCGAGUAAGCUUGCAAGCGACUUCAUUUAUUUGCAACCCUAAUACCAAUGCCUCUAAACAUAUUGAAAAAUAUAUAUAUAUAUAUAUGUUUUUAUCUUCAUUAGUAUGUUUCGUAAUAAACUUCUUUGCUUAUGCUCAUGAAGAAUACUUGAUACUAAAAUACCUGUAAUACAACCAAAGAGUAGCGUAAAUAAAUUUUCUUCAGCACUUGCCUAUAUUUACAUGCUAUCAACAGAUCAUAAUGAUGUGAAUAGACAAUACCAUGAUGGAUAGGUUCUUCAUCAAAUAUCUAGUUUCACUAAUCAAAAAGCAUCACUAAGUGGGAUCGACACUCGAAAACCACAGAUGCAUAGAAGUAAUUUAUAGUUUAUACAUAUUUGAUGGUUAAACAUAUCUUUGGUGCCUUUAUCCUAAUAAUACUUCAUUUAUGUGGAUGCAAAGCAAAGAGAGGCAUUGCUCACUUUCCAGCGAGUGAAAGGUUCCCGUGCACCUGUUUAAAUACGUAUGGAUGAUACACAAUUCGACUUUCAAUACCACAUACGUUAAUCAUAAAAAAUACCAAUGUACACACCUGGCUAUCAAAGAACUACCAGUAAUUUGUAGCAUAUCUACAUGCAAAUUGUCUCUCACAAACUCGCACCUCAGUUGAAUCUAUAAUGGUAACUUACCAUUUUAGAUUCAAUUAAGAGCGUUGUUGAAAUGAAAAAGGAAAUGAAUGAAUAAGAAAAAUAAAUGUGAUGAAAUUUGUCAAUCAUUUUUAGGAAUAUCGUCAAUAAGUAGAAGUGUAGAACCCUGCAUGCAGGGGCUAGAAUGCCAGAUCUUGAUGUAUCAUUAUGAUUAUUUUGACGUGGGGAGAUGGAUGGGACUCGACGCUUUAAUUUGAUUCGAUCAACAAACAGUUGUGGCUAGGUUCCAAUUCGAAAAGCUAAGAGGCACAAAACUAUGGAAGUUGAUGGGAGUAUCAUUAGAACGAAGAAAGCUAAAAUCAUGAAGUCAUCAUGAUUUCCCUUGAUCAUUCUGCUUGUCACUGGCCAUGUUAAAGCUAUUCCAAAAGCUUUCGAUUAGACAAUCUCUACCGAAGUCGGAAAGUUGAUUAAACCUAAGCUUUAAUUGUGGAGCUUGACAACUUUUCAUUAUCAGACGAGGAAAUAACUCAUUAUCUUUCGAUUUCAAUCUUUGGAGGAGGUGGAGCCGACUGCGUACCAUGAACAUAUGGUUCUAGGCAAUCAUCAUUAUCACUCGGAAAAGGCAUAGCUUCCAGUCGUAAUCUUUUGCUCUCCAAGCUAAAAUGAUUAUGCUUUCUUUGUGUAUUGUGGCAAAAUAAUAAUUGUACUACGUACCAUUUCUCUUAAUUUCUUGUGUUACUACUAACAUCGUAGGAAAAGACAAAAAUUAGAGCGCAGCUUUAGCAACAAUAAGAGUAAAAUUCAGAGGAAUAGAAUUGCAUCUAAAAGUUGGUUCAACCUAUGAUCAUUCGAGAGGGAUGAGUUGGGUGAUUUAGGAGGAAGGAGUGACUCUCCCACUUAUACUUCAAAAAAAAAAUAAUUUGUGAUCGUAUGAUGCAAGUUUUAUUUAUUUUAUUAUUUUUUGGUUAAUUUCUUGCCACUGUAUUGGAGAAGAGAGAGAAUAUCUUUGGUGGACCGUAGGGCUUAGGUACGGGCAACGUACGGAAUUUCUUUAGCUUACAUAUUCUUUCCCUAAUUAAUUAACUUUUAUUGAACAUCAUUUCACCUUGCUAUAGCACUAUAAACCUCAUGAAAAAAAAAGCAGGACAAAAAUAAGUCAAAAAAAAAUAUAAGAAUGGUUUUUUUUUUUUGGUUCUAAGAGAAACUCCAAACCUUAUAAAGGAGAAAGAAGAGCGCACAAAUUUUAAGAGUUGAACCACUAACAUUGCAAUUUUAAGAAUUUUUUGGUUUACUCUUUUUUUUUUUAAAUAAACAGGAGGUUUUAAAUUCAGAAUCUCUCGUUUACAAUUUCUCCCCUUUUUAUCACUCAAUCCAACAUUCCUCCAUUUCUCUUUUGAUUUUGUUCUCUAACCCGGAAUUUUUUUUUUGGGUUUUUUUUGGGGGCUGGAGGGUAUGUUCCUAAAUAGUACAGAAAAUAGAUGCGGCCCAUGUGGCCUAAAAGAACAUCUUCCAUAGUUUAGCUAAUAGUUAUGGCCCAAAAGCCCAAACAGGUCUUCACCAUGGUUGAAAAACACGCCUAGCCCAAAUAUUGAGAAAAUGGGAUGAUCCAACCAGAACACGGGCCAACCUCUCCAUAUAAUGACUUUUAGGUUGCCCACUAAUGGUCCAUGGUCCAAAGUUUUAACCAACAAUUACGGUGCAAUUGCUGCAAUAUUUCCCAAAAUUUUUGUCAUAAAUCCAGGAAUUAGUAAAAAUCAAAUUAUAGAAAAAAUCACUUCUUGAUGAAGUGUAAUGCAGAAAUGCUAAAACGGAUGUACAUAAUUUAAAAAAUCUGCACUUUUCUUGUAAUUAUGGUCAACUUAAAGGAAUAUUAAAUGUAAUUACAAUAUAGAAGGUGCAUUUGGAUUUUAGAUAUCCAAAAAUAUUUUUUAUUUCUCAAAAAAUGUAAACCAAAGUCUUCAAUGUACUCAUUACUCAUUUCAUGCAGUUCUAAUCCUCUAUUAGAUAAUGUACUCAUUACUCAUUUCAUGCAGUUCUAAUCCUCUAUUAGAUAAUGUAAACCAAAGUCUUCAAUGUACUCAUUACUCAUUUCAUGCAGUUCUAAUCCUCUAUUAGAUAAUGUAAACCAAAGUCUUCAAUGCUAUUAGAUAACUAUUUUUUGUACAUUUUAUUUUGGUGAAUUUUCUACAUACGUAUUGUCAAAAUAUAAAACCAAUUUUAUGAAAAUGAUUUUAGUAAAUAUACUCAAAAAAAUUUAUAAAUAUUUUUUCUAUUAGUUGCACACACACUAGUGUGUGCCUUGAACACCGGUGGUUAUUAAGGACAUGGAAUUGGAUAUCGAAAAGUACUACAUUUCGUAUUUAGAGUGAAAAAAAAAAAUUCGCAAUCGUCGAGGCAAAGCCUAAAUAAAGUUGAUAUUGCACUAUCUAUUACUCCCUCCCUUUUUUUAUAACUGAUGUUUAAAGUUUUGUACACCAAUUAAGAAAAGUUUUUCAUUGUUUAAAUCUGUACACUACUUUCCUUUUGUAUCAUCAGUAAUUGUCCAAUUCACCCAUGUUUUCUCUUACUAGAGUACAAAGGGGGUUCAACAUACUGCGAGAAAAGAAGAAAGAAUACGAAGGGGCAGAUAAUUACUAGGGUUGUUACAAAGAGAGAAGCAAUAAUUACUAAGAGUAGUAAUUAAGAACCCUGUAUUAGAAAAGAGAGAUAAAAUGGUAAAAUUGUGAAAAAAUAAUUAAUACUGUACGGGAAUAAUAAAACGACAGAUAAAAGUACACUAGAGCAAAUUUCUUAAACGUCAGUUAUAAAAAAAGGGAGGGAGUAUUAUGUUAAAUCUUGGCAUGUUUGUCCGAUCCUCUUUGGUUAUUAGGUUAAAUUGUUAAUGUUAAUCACUUUAAAUAUGAAAAAAUGGCCAUGACCUUUGACUGCCCGAGUCGGCCAACUAAAUAAUUAAUCAAUUAAAGUUAUUUUGGUUUUCCUAACUCUUUGUCUUUUUGGGUGACUGAGCAAAGUUUGAGUUUAGAUAUGCUAUGUGUUACGAACACGAAAAGUUUGUCUUCCCUUCCACUUGUUGCCGCCACUGAACAGGGAUGGAAUUCGGGUUAGAUUCAUAAUGGAAGAUGUUAAGCAUCGAUGAGAGAGGUUAAUACGUCAUGGAUUAGUGCCAUUUUCCUGCAUGAAGAAGACUCGUGGAAAUGGGAAACAGCAACGGACCAAAAAAAGCUACGCUAUCAUAUCCAUCACUAAAUCGCCCAUUUGAAUAAAAAAAACAUUUAUUAUAGUACUGUUACUUUAAAAAGGACAAGACAUAAGAGGAAUUUUUAGGUUACAACAGACAGAUAGUUAGAGAAUUUGUUCCAAUUGAAAGUUCAAUCAAUGCUUCCUUUGAAUGGCCUUUGUCAAUUUCAUCCAAUCUUGUGUUCUCAUCAGAAUCCCAAUAGUGUUUGUGAUAUGAUUGCCAUGUUUGGUCUGCCAUGUGUGAAAAUCCUUUAGCUUGAAUCUAUUUUUCAUUGUUUUCCCAUAUUCGACAAAGUCUUAUAACAAAGAAAGAGGGGAUCGAGGUAAGUUUGCUUAUUCUACUUAUUUUAUUUUUUAUUGAAUACAUUUUUGAUUGGUGUGGAUUAAAUAAAUCAGGAAUUGUUUCACCACGUCCUUAUUUAUUUUCUCAUCUACACGUGUAGAAGAGAAUUAUUUAGAUAUGCAGUGUCAAUCCAACGAUUUGAUCAUCAAUUGAAUUUAUUGUAUUUUUUUCAUAUAUUCUUUUCACAACAUUUAUAUUGACAACAGUGUAUCGAACAAAUAUAAUUUAUUGUGAUAAGUCAAGUAGAUCUAUUUACUUUCGUGCCCUAGGUUUGUUUGUUUUUUUUUACUUUCAAACCGUAGGUUCUAUUAUAUGCAAGGUUUUUUUAUUGAUUGAAAAAGUAAAUUAAGGGGGGUCGGUCUAUAAAUUUUGAUUUUUAUCGAUUUUUUUCUGAGAAUUUCUUGUAUUUUCAUCUGCCUCUAUUCAUUUCAUUUUUAUGUUUUUGUUUUGAAUGCAUUAGAAAAUCCUUUAGCUUGUGACAUGUUUUCUACAUUUUUCGUGAACACAUUUCUUAAUUAUCUUUUUACCUCAUAUAUAUAUAUAUAUAUAUAUAUAUAUAUAUAUAUAUAUAUAUAUAUAUAUAUAUAUAUACUGCAGCAUAUUUUCUAUAGAAACUCCAAAAAAUUUCUACAUUUUUCGUGAACCCAUUUCUUAAUUAUCUUUUUACCUCAUAUAUAUAUAUAUAUAUCAAAUUGCUGCAGUAUAUUUUCUAUAGAAACUCCAAAAAAUUUCUACAUUUUUCGUGAAUACAUUUCUUAAUUACCUUUUUACCUCAUAUAUAUGUAUAUAUAUAUAUAUAUAUAUAUAUAUAUAUAUAUAUAUAUAUAUAUAUAUAUAUAUAUAUCAAAUUGCUGCAGUAUAUUUUCUAUAGAAACUCCAAAAAAUUUCUACAUUUUUCGUGAACACAUUUCUUAAUUACUUUUUUAUCUCAUAUAUAUAUAUAUAUAUCAAAUUGUUGUAGUAUAUUUUCUAUAGAAACUCCAAAAAAUUGCAAUUCAAACAAGGCAAAGAUCUUCCUUGUUGAGCUCCAUUUUUGGAGAAGUUGUAUGUAAAAUAUUUCUACAUACGAAAUCAAUAUCUAACAGAGAAACUUAGGAGAUUCGUAUUGGAUGCUUUUGCAUUUUAAAUGGAUUUCUCUAAUAGGAUUAAGAAAGAAGUACUACUACUAUUACUUUGAUGAUAUCUUUAGCACUAGUGCCUUUUUUUUUUUUUUUAAAAAAAAAAGAAAGAAAUCUUUUGUCGUUGUGCCUAAAGCACAUUAUUAUUUUUACAAAGAAAGAAUUGUUUAGUACUAGCAGGUACUUGCUUUGGUUUCUUCCACAAUUCUUGAAUCUUUGUAAUGUGCACGCCAUAACAAAACGCUCACACAAUACCAAGGUAAAAAAAAACACAAAGAAAUCAAAAUGAACACAACAAAAAGAAAUCAAAAUGAGAUCCUUUUGAAGUCUUUUUCUGCAAAAUUUAUAAGCAUGGUAAUUUUAUGGAUGAAAUCACACAUCUUCAAUUAAAGAACGUGAUUAAUUGACCAUUAACACGUUUAGGAGCCAUAAUUCAGGAGACCAUUCAAACAAACACAGCAGUGUCCAGGUUCAUCCUCUCAGAAUCUUCCCAUAACUUUAUCCCAAAACUUUCUUAUUAUAAGUCCAACGUAAAUCCCUCCAAAACUUCCAACUCAGUGCCUGUCUUCCUCUUCCAUAAAGAAACCAUUCUUCGGUUUGGCAAGAAUUAGAUUAGUAUUAAUUGGCAUAAAGCCUAAAGCCUCCACCAUUAUCACCCCCUCGCCAUCCCUCAAAUUUUAUUUCCCAAAACACCCCUGCUUCAUAAACACAAACCUAAACUUCAUUGCCCAGAGAACCCCUCUUCCCCUCUUAAACUACAAAUUUACCCCACCCCAACCAAGAUCUUUCUUUUCCCGAAGUACCCUCCAUUCCUUCCCUCUCCCUCCAAUAUUAUAACAAAACCCAGACUGCCAACCCAGAGACACCCAACUGAGGGAAAAGGAGAGAGCUUUUAAUCCCCAUUUCAAUGGCGACAAUGGCCUCUCUUUUCCUCAAAACCCCGACUCCAUCACCAUCUUUGCCGAAAACCCAGAAAACCCUUUUCAUCCCACCCCUCACUUUCACUCUUCCCAGCCGCCCCACCUCCAAAACCCGUUUAAAAGCUCGGGUUUCUUGCGGGUUGAUCGAGCCGGAUGGUGGAAAACUGGUUGAGCUCUUCGUUGAGGAGUCUCAUAAAGACGCCAGAAAAGGGCAAGCUUUGGGUUUGCCGUCGAUUAGGCUCUCGACUAUUGACCUCCAAUGGGUUCAUGUGCUCAGCGAAGGCUGGGCCAGCCCAUUGAAGGGCUUUAUGAGAGAGUCUGAGUUCCUCCAAACUCUUCAUUUUAACUCGCUCCGACUCCGUGACGGCUCAGUCGUUAACAUGUCGGUGCCAAUCGUGCUCGCCAUCGAUGAUUCUCAGAAGCAGAGGAUCGGUCAGGAGAGCUCCGUGGCGCUUUUGGAUGAUCAGAACAAUCCAAUUGCCAUUUUGAAAGA